This 90368-nucleotide long non-coding RNA is filed under the name Coffea arabica (coffee). RNAcentral's name for it is "long non-coding RNA (CARA_LNC001774)". The stretch from base 52542 to 52649 matches the Rfam family "Plant small nucleolar RNA R71". The record is from RNAcentral. Lineage: Eukaryota; Viridiplantae; Streptophyta; Magnoliopsida; Gentianales; Rubiaceae.
AAUCAGUCAUCCUUUGGGGUUCUAUAAAUAGCAUCCUCCCUGUCAGUUAUGGACACAUUCUUGCCUAGCCACUUUUAGUUUCAGCCAAACUACAUUUUCAUACCUAGCUCAACUGAAAUUAAACUUUCCAUGGCAUACCAGAGCGCCUACAAUAUGAAUUACCAGAUACUACUAUGCUUGAUACUCUUCUCCCUAGGCCUUCUCCUACCACUGCCAUCCCAUUCUGCUGAUCCAAGCCCACUGCAAGAUUUCUGCGUUGCAGAUCUUGAUUCCUCUUUAUUCAUUAAUGGCUUUCCGUGCAAAAACCCUGAUAACGUAUCUUCACAAGACUUCUUCGCCAAUGGGUUCCAACAAAGUCCAGGAGAAUUCAAUAUUUUCGACGUCAAUGUCACUCGGCAAGAUGUUCAUCGAUUUCCAGGACUCAACACUCUAGGGCUGUCAAUGAACCGAGUGGUUUUGAAGCCUGGAGGGCUGAAUGCACCCCACGUCCACCCUCGUGCAGCCGAGCUGGCUCUAGUCAUGGAUGGAAAACUGUUUGUAGGCUUUGUGACAACCGGAAACGUUUUCUACUGGAAAAUUGUGACUUCAGGAGAGUUGUUUGUGAUUCCUCCUGGGCUAGUGCACUUCCAACUGAAUAUUGGACACGAGAACGCACGCUUCUUCGCCUCGUUCAACAGUCAAAAUCCAGGGAUUCAGUUCGCCCCCCUUGCUCUUUUUAACUCCACGCCUUCGAUUCCUGAUCUCGUGUUGAGUAAAGCAUUUCAAGUAAAUCAAAGUAUCAUUGAGCUCAUUAAGUCUAGGUUUGCAACUGUGUCGACUGUGUCGACCGUGCUUAAGUCAUCUUACUAACAUCGUAUUCCAGGGUGUUGUUCAUUAUAGUUGGCAUAUUAAAUAAUAAAAACUUCUAUAUUAUUGUUUAAUUGUAUUUUGGUCAAGUUAAUUUUUAGUAGUUUUAUUGGCGUCAAAUUAGGAUAGUUUUACUAUUUAGAAACUAGUAUUGUAUUAAGUAAUUUCUUAUGGUUGUCAGUAGUCUGGUGUCGGAUUUAGUUGGAAACAAUAAAAGUUUGAGUCUUGUUAUUGAUAUUAGUCCUCUUCAUGUAAAUUAGCCUCCAUAUAUAUAUAUAUAUAUAUAUUAUAUUUAUAUUUAUAUUGGUUUUGUGAAAGUUAUCUCCUAUAUUUUUUUUGGGUAUAAUUAUUAGGCUCUACAUCUGGUAUCGGAUCCUAUUUGCAUGAAAUUAAUCUUUGGGUGAGUUGUCAGAGUUAGGACACAAGAUUUGCCGGGACCGUUCAAUUGAUCACGUAGGGCCAUUAUGUUGGUUUUGGAGUAUUUAAUUGGUGAAAAUUAGACCAUAAAAUUGGUGUGAAAAUUAUUAACUUGAUUGUGGAUAUUGCUAAUGGUGACAGUUUUUGACAUGGUACGUAAACACGGCACAAAAAAUCCUAAAUGAAACAUGAUACGGAAUAAUUUAUGUUAAAAAUGAAUCCACACGAACAUGACACGCAAACAGAAGGGUUGUAUUGGGCCAAUCCGUAGGUUGAUAUGACUAACAUGUUUUUGACACGUUAAGAAUUUUGAAAAAAUGCUACUUGCUUCCAUCCUAAUACUGCACUUAAAAUAAAUGGUUUUGUAUUAAAUUUUAUAGUUUAAGAACUAAAAUAAUAUAAUCAACUUCCUAUAAGAAUACAUAAACAACACAUAAAUCGAGACUCUGCAAAUUCACAUAUGCAACUGUUAUGAUUUUAAUUUUUUGCUUCCUUCCUUUAAUAUUCUUAUUUUCUCAAAUUGACAAGCAUAAACAACCUCUAUGAUUUUAACUUUUCACUUCCUGCCUUCACUCUUCAAAUUGAUCGAAACUUACCUUUAGAUCAAAUAUUGCUCAAUUUUUCUUCCUUUCUUGUGAUUAAAUAUCUUUUCUAGGUAAACUUUAAUAUUUCACAAAUUUUCUAUCAUUUUUGUCUAUUUUAUUUGAACAUUUUCUAGUUUAUACUGCUCCUUUAUUUUAUCAUUUUCCCUAUCAUUUUCUUUCUUGUGAAAGAAAAAUAAAAUAGGCUUUUUUCUGUAUAUUAUUAAUGAGAUAAUCAUGCAUCCAAAACUUACACAAGUAAAAAUCCAAUGACAGGCUACAGCCAAAUUAGAUUAAGAGAAUAUUACAUAUAUUCUUGAAAGAGAACCAUGUUUUAUUUUUUGGCAAUAUUUCUCCUAUAAUUUUUAUAUAAAAAGUUAAAUGAGUCAAUUGGGUCAAAACAUGUGAUGAACCUGUCCAAAUGUGUGGAGAAUUGCAGCUUAAAAAUGUUUUUGAAGAUUAAGAAUUCAAAUUUAUAUUAAUGAAAUUUACAAAUGAGAUUAUUAUUGCUAAACUUGAUUCAAUAGAGAGCUUGAUUUAAGGGAAACAAUGUUGGCAUAUUAAAUUAUAGCUAAAAAUUUGAAUUUUCUAUACUAUUAUUUAGUAGCAUUUUGGUCACACAAAUUUUUUUAGUAGUUCUAUGAGAGCUAAGUUAUGGUAGUAUAUUUAAGAAUUGGAAGCUCUAGGACAUAGAGGUUCUGGGUUCAAAUCUCCAUUCCUCCUCCCCAUUUCUUAAAUCCUAUCCCUCCCCUUGAUUAGAAAAAAUUAAAGAAAAGGUUAAAAUAAUUAUUUAGAAAUUGGUACUGUAUUAGAUAAUUAUUGUAGUUAUCAAUACUUGUUUAUCAAAUCAUGUAAUCUGUAAGUAGAGUCAUAUUACCAUACCCACUUGAGAAGAUUGGAAGUUUAAUAGCCUUGUUGUUGUGGUGUUAUUAAUAUUAUAUUAUUAAUAUCAUUGUUCUUUUCUCGCAUAUACGUGUAUAUGUGUAAAUUAGCCUCCCAUAUACAUUGGGUUUGUGGAAUUUAUCUCUCAUAAUGAUUUUUUGGGUAUAAUUGUCAGGCCCCGUUCCCAGAAUGUAGCACCAUCACGCCCUAGACAAUGCUAAAGGCGUAAGGCAACAAAUUUCCAAAGCAACUACAUUUACCUUUAUAUAAACUUUUUAAAUCCGCAAAUACAAGAUCAUCUAUAACAGCAAUUUUGUGUCUUCCAAAAUAAAAGAAAGAUCAAACCUUCUACAAUAUGUACAAUAUUCAAAUCCUAUCAUAAGGUAUCUUAUAUAUAAGUACAAAAGUUAUCCUCCAACCCAAAGUCAUCUCCAUCUCCAUUACAACCCCCAAGAGCUAUCAAGGUUUACUUCAAUGAACUCAUCAUUAACUGCAUAAUUAUAACAAAGGGGUGAGCAAAAUCUCACUCAAUAAGUAGUGCAUGUAUCUCAUUAUUGGCCUGAGCAUGUUACAUACAUAAUAUAUAUUUCAAACGUCAUUAACUUACACAUAUAACUUUAUAAGAACAUGGUUACUAUAAACAUUUCAAUGGCAUAUCAUACAUCACACACAAAAAGGAGCUCAAACCAUAAGACAACAAUUGACCCAGGAUAUCCAGUUGUUAACUUAAACUUAACCAGUUAACACAGUUCAUAGUGCUAACAACCACACAGUUAGACCGUUUCAUAUUGCUAACUACAACACGGAUAGCUCGUUUCAUAUACCAAUUACUUGCGAGCAACUAGUCCUGUCAAAAGUCGCUUAUACAAGAGCUCAACAAACAUAACAUUUCAUUUCACAAAUGACCAUGGCAAGAGUAAUAACUAAUAUCACAAAUUAUACUUGCUCAUGCCAUUUUAGCAAUUAGACAAGUAGCUUUCAUAAUUUAUCAUUCAAAAGAUAAAGGAUACGUGUACCACUUACCUCGAUCCAAUUGAUACCCACGCUAGUUCAAGUAAUCGGAAAAAUAGCUACCUUCCUCACCUAGACAUAAUAAUAAAAUGUUCAAUUACAAUCUUAAAGAUACCAAACUACUCCAAAUUAUCAUAAACCCUUAACCACUAAUUCCUAAUAAAAGAUCACUUCCUCAUCAAAGUAGGACAUAAGGGUUUACUUUAAAGGGUCACUAACUUCCAGAAAUACAGAAAUAGGGCAAGAGAUUUAUAUAGAUUAAAGCCCCCUGAAUCUAGUUUCCAACGCAACAAACGGCACCUAAAUCUGAAUUUUCUACACCAAGUUAUAUCCAAAGCAUUGAAAUAUGUCUAUAGAGAAAAUUCAAUCUAUCCGAGGAUUAUAACCAAUCCAUCCGAGGAUUUUAGCCAAUCCGUCCGAGGAUUAUAGCCAUGGAUUUCCAGCAAGCUUUCAAGGCAAAAACAAGUUCCAAAUUCAAUAAUCAAGUUCCAUUUCCAUCUCAAGUCAUCUUCCAACCUCCAUAGUUGUCAAAAUCAACAUAUUUCAGCUCCCAAAGUCAUGUAAAUACAUAAAUAAUCUUGAAAAUGAAUUGCUAGCUCAAGUCAUUCUUUCCCUCAACAUUUCUCCUUUUUAUAUUGAUGAUAGCCCUAUACCCAUAUGAAAAUAGAGACCAAAACAAACUUUAUACACCAUAGCCAUGGAAGCUAACCAAGGAUUUGAACCAAAUACUACCCAAUCACCCAAUCAAAGAAAACCAAGAUCAUGUUCAAGGUUUCAAGAAAAUACCUUGGUUAGUUGGCAAAGUAGAAUCUCCUAACUCCUCACUCCUCACUCCUUACUUGUACUUGAUUUGUCAAGAAUCCUCCUUGAUUGUAAGGAAAAAGGAGAGAAAUAAGAAAGGGUUUUGUUGGAGAAGGAAGAAAAAAAGGAAAUGAAGAAGAUGAAGAAAUUUUUUGGUAAAGAUGAAUAGUGAAAUCCCAAUAUUACUUUUAUUCUUUCAAAAUUUCACUUAUUAACACAUUGGUCACUCAACUUAACAUCUUUCACUUUUCACCCCAAAAUAGUAUUUCUUCACACAAAAUGCUCUACAUGACACUUGGGUAUCACAUUCUCCCCCUCUAAUAUAAGUUUUGACCUCGAAAUUUAUUGUACCUCGUUGGUUAAACAAAUGUGAAUACUUAGUUCGCAUUUCCUCUUCGAGUUCCCAAGUGGCUUCACGAAUACUAUGAUUGGACCAUUGAACUUUAACAUAGAGAAUUGUUCUUCUUCUUAGCACUUGAUCUUUACGACCCACAAUUCGAAUUGGCUUCUCACUAUAAGUUUGAUCCUCUCAUACCAUUAAUGGCUCAUACUCUAGGAUAUAACUUGGAUCAAAUACAUAUUUUCUCAAUUGCAAAACAUGAAAUACAUUGUGAACUCUUGAUAAAGAUGGUGGCAAGGCUAACUUGUAUGCCAAUUCUCCAAUUAUAUCCAAAAUUUCAAAAAGCCCAACAUAUUUUGCACUCAGUUUUCCACUUUUCCCAAAUUACAUCACACCCUUCAUUGGUGAAAUUCUAAGAUAUAAUUUAUCCCCUUCUUGAAACUCUAAGGGUCUUCUUUUCAAAUCAACCAACUCUUUUGUCUAUCUUGUGCUGUUUUCAACCUUUCUCUUACUAGUGCCAUCUUCUUGAUUGUAGCUUGUACAAGUUCAGAUCCAGUAAUGAUCCUUUCACCUACCUCAUCCCAAUAUAAGGGCAAUCUACACUUCCCCCCCCCAUAUAGAGCUUCAAAAGCUAGCAUGCCGAUACUACUAUGAUAACUAUUAGUGUAAGAGCACUCAAUUAGCACCAGAGAAUCCUCCCAACUGCCCCCAAAAUCCAUAACACAUGCUCUAAGCAUGUCCUCCAAGGUUUGAAUUGUACGCUCUGAUUGCCCGUCGAUUUGAGGAUGAUAAGCUGAGUUGAGGUUUAACUCGGUUCCCGUGGCUUGUUGGAGACUUUUCCAAAAUCGAGAGGUGAAUCUAGGAUCACGAUCAGAUACAAUACUCAUUGGGACACUAUGAUAAUGAAUAAUACAAUCCAUAUAGAGAUUAGCCAAAGUAUCCAUAGAUGCAGUAGCAACCAUAGGUACAAAAUGAGCUGAUUUUGUCAGUUGAUCAACUAUCACCCAAAUGGUGUCAUUACCUCUCCUAGACCUUGGUAAUCUAACAAUGAAAUCCAUUGCUAUAUGCUCCUAUUUCCAUUCCGGUAUUGUCAAAGGCUUUAAUAAUCUAGCAGGUCUUUGAUGUUUGGCCUUUAUUUGUUGACAAACUAAGCAUUUAGACACAUAAUUCGCGAUCACCCUCUUCAUACCACUCCACCAAUACGACUGCUUUAAGUCUCGGUACAUCUUGGUGUUAUUAGGAUGAAUAGAGCCUUGGAAGAGUGAGCCUCCGCCAUUAUUUCUUUUCGUAACUCCGGAUCUUUAAGCACCACAAGCCGAUUCCACAUCCAUAUACUACCAUCCUUGAGUAGGUGAAAGUCGGGUAAUUCCUCACUUUUAACUUUUUCCUUGAUUUUCACCAACUCAGUAUCAUUUUCUUGAGUUUCCUUGAUUCUCGAAAUUAAAGAUGGUUAGGCAACUAGAGUUGCGAGCACAUGCGUGAAGGAUUCUACCACCUCUAAAUUCAAUUCCUCCAUUUUUUUUACUAACAUAAUUGCUAUCAUUCCUGAAUUUUUCCUGCUCAAAGCAUCGGCAACCUUGUUUGUUUUUUCUGGAUGAUAACUAAUGGUAAGAUCAUAAUCUUUCAUUAACUCAAGCCAUCUUCGUUGUCUCAUGUUGAGCUCUUUCUGAGUGAACAAAUACUUUACGCUUUUAUGAUCUGUAAAGACCUCACUUUGCUCCCCAUACAAGUAGUGCCUCUAAAUCUUCAAAGCAAGAACAACGACUACCAAUUGCAAAUCAUGUGUAGAAUAGUUUUGUUCAUACCGCUUCAAUUGACGAGAUGCAUAAGCUAUGGCCUUCUCAUUUUGCAUUAGCACACAUCCCAACCCAUUUUUGGAUGUAUUGCUAUAAAUAGUGAAACCUCCAGAUCUAGAAGGUAAGGUGAGAACUGGUGCUGAAACAAGCUUAUUCUUCAAUUCUUGAAAACUAUCUUAACAUUUAGGUGUCCACUCAAACUUAACAUGCUUUUGAGUUAGACAAGUCAAGGACAAAGCAAUAGUAGAAAAACUUCAACAAAAUUUCUAUAGUUGCCAGCUAAGCUCAAAAAACUCCUCAAUUCUACCACGUCAGUAGGUCGGGGCCAAUCCACAAUAGAUUCUAUCUUCUUAGGAUCCAUAAAGACACCAUCUUGAGAAAUAACAUGCCCAAGGAAGGACACACUUUGAAGCCAAAAUUCACAUUUGUUGAGUUUAGUAUAAAGCUUCUCAUGCCUCAAGACUUGUAAAACAUCUCGCAGGUGAUUUUCGUGCUCCGCAUCACUUGUGGAGUAUACCAAUAUAUCAUCAAUGAACACCACCACAAAUCGGUCUAAUUGCUUUUUGAAUACCCCAUUCAUCAAAUCCAUAAAGGCUGCAGGAGCAUUAGUCAACCCUAAAGGCAUGACGAGAAAUUCAUAAUGGCCAUACCUUAUUCUGAAUGCACUCUUUGAAAUAUCCUACAGUUUAAUCCUUAAUUGAUGGUAUCUAUAAGAAGAUCUAUUUUUGAAAAUACCUUAGCCCUUUUUAAUUGAUCAAACAGGUCGUCUAUACGAGGCAAUGGAUACUUAUUCUUGAUCAUAAUUUUAUUGAGCUCCCAAUAAUCAAUGCACAAUUGCGUACUUCCAUCCUUCUUUUUUACAAAUAAAACUAGGGCACCCUAAGGGGAUACACUUGGUCGAAUCAAUUUCUUGUCAAGCAACUCCUGAACUUGAACUUUAAACUCCUUCAACUCUGUGGGGGCCAUCCGAUAGGGUGCCUUAGAUAUAGGUUCUGAGUUGAGUAUUACAUUAAUCUCAAAAUCAAUUUCUCUCUUGGGAGGCAGACCUAAUAAUUCAUGUGAAAACACAUCUGAAAAUUCUCUUGCAAUUGGGAUAUCCUCAAGUUUUAUCUCCCCUUUCUUACUAGAGUCUGCUAUAUAAGUUAGAAAACAUUCACAGCCCUUCCUAAUUGCUCUCCAAGUUUGUAUGGCAGAUAAAAUGGGUAGAGACUUCUUUGGUUUUCCUCAACACCCUUGAAAAGAAAAAGGUGGAAUGUUUGGGGUUUAAAAAUCAACACUUUUACCCAUACAAUCUAUAUGGGCAUAAUUUUGCGAUAGCCAAUCCAUACCUAAGAUAGCAUCAAAUUAUAUUCAAUUGCACUAGAUUUGCCUUAAACUCUCUCCCACCUAAAUCUAAAGUACAGCCUUCAUACAUAAGGUGAGAAACUAAAACUUUUCCCCCGGGAAUGGCUACACGAUACAGGUCAUCCAAAACAUAGGGUUUAAUAUCUAACUCUCAUGCAAACUUCUUUGAAAUGAAAGAAUGGCAAGCCUCACAAUCAAAUAACACAUACGCUGGAAGAGACUUAAUCAUUACCAUACCUGUCACAACAUCCUCUACUCCCGCUGCUUCUUGUUCAGUCAAGGCAUAUACCUUAGAGUUUGAGUAAGGUCGAUUUGCACUAGAAUUCAAGCUGUUUCCUGGGCUAUUGUUGCCUCUAGUUUGCUUAGAAUUCGGGCAAUUACUCAUUUUAUGCCCCACUUCUCCACAACUAAAACAAGCUCCCGUUUUCCACCUGCAUUCUCCCGGAUGAACCCGAUGACAAUAAUCACAUAACUUAGAUGGGUUAGUAGGUAGACACAUUGGAAAAGGUUGUUGAGAAGAAGUAGCCUGUUGCGAAAUUAUAGGUCUUGGUAACGGUGCUUGUCGGGGAGGUUGCAUUGGUCGAAGAGGUUGCAUUACACGAGAAGGCUGACCAUGUUGACGAAGUUGGCCUUGUAUUACAAUUUGUCUAUUUCUCCUUUGUCUCGUCUCUUCAUCCUCCUAAAGAAUGUCUUGUUCAACAUCUAAACUAGCUUCAUACAUUUGGUCACAAUUGGCAUAGAAAUUUUCAGAUAUUUUUUAUUGAAUCCGACUAUUCAAUCCUCCCUUAAAGGAGACCAUCUUCAUAGUCUCAUCGGCCAUUGUAGAAGGGACGAAGCAUCCCAAGGAGAGAAAAGUAGUGUAGUACUCGCCCACAGACAUGGAACCUUGCUUAAGGUUAUUUAAUAUUCGAAUCUUUUGAACUCGAAUAGCUGGUGGAAAGUAAUGUUAUAGAAACAUCUUUUUGAACUCAUCCCAUGUCAAAGUACGACCUGAAGAAACCAUGGUGAGGGCUACACCAUCCCACCAUUUCUCUGCUUCACCAAGAAAGAUGUCACUACUUGAGGUCGAAUAUCUUCUGGCACCAUCAUAGUUUUGAAUUUCUUCUCAAUUUGGGAUAACCAUCUCUCUGCCACAUUCGAGUUUGGGCCUCCAUCAAAAGUAGGCAAAUAGACCUUGCUAAGCUCCUUGAAAUGGUACUUAACACUAACCCAUAUCUUGCUCUCUUUUUUUUUGUUGUUGUUGUUGUUGAUAUUGCUGCCAUCCAUGCAUGAACUAAUAUGCCACAGAUAAGGUAGCUGGAUCUAAUUUUAGGGAGGAGGGGUGCUUUGAUUUGUAUUAUUUGAAUUCAAAGGAGGUGUUACCCUAGACGUAUCUUCACCUUUACGUCUUUGAGCGGCUUGGUGAGCAUCUAACAUAAAUCCCCCAAUAGGGGUAUCCAAUUCAUCUUCAUUCCCAUUCGGUCCAAGAUUUUCAAGUACCACAUCUUCUUCUCCCGUAGCUCAUACAUUAUUCUCUUGAAUACUGACAAUAUCCCUUUGCUUUCUUUUUGGUGCCAUCCUGCAAACACAAAUUAGGCUAGGGCAAAAUCUACCUACACUAAGCUACCGAAUCCUCAAGUGAUAGCAAUAGGUAUUUGAACACAAAAAUCAAAACUAAGUCAAUCCAAACUAAGGUUGGCCACCCGAAGUGUAAAUCAACUAGCUCGAAUAUUCUGUCCAACAUACACACUACAUUACAUCAAACUUUCAAUAAGUAUUAAUUCUUAAGGUACUAUAAGUAAGAUUGAUAUGUAGGCUCUGAUACCAAAUAAAUGUCACGCCCCGUGUUCGGAAUGUAACACCGCCACACCCUAGACAAUGCUAAAGAUGUAAGCCAACAAAUUUCCAAAACAACUACAUUCACCUUUAUAUAAACUUUCUAAAUCCACAAAUACAAGAUCAUCCAUAACAACAAUUUUGCGUCUUUCAAAAUAAAAGCAAGAUCAAACCUUCUACAAUAUGUACAAUAUUCAAAUCCUAUUAUAAGGUAUCUUAUAUAGAAGUACAAAAGUCAUCCUCUAACCAAAAGUUAUCUCCAUCUCCAUCUCCAUUACCACUCCUAAGAUCUAUCAAGAUCCACUUCAACGAACUUAUCAUUAACUGCAUAAUUAUAACAAAGAGGUGAGCGAAAUCUCACUCAAUAUGUAGCACAUGUAUCUCAUUAUUGGCCUGAGCAUGUUAGAUACAUAAUAUAUGUUUCAAACGCCAUUAACUUUACAAGAACAUGGUCAUUAUAAACAUUCCAAUGGCAUAUCAUACAUCACACACAUAAAGGAACUCAAACCAUAAGACAACAAUUGACCCCAGAUUAACUUAAUCGGUUAACAUGGUUCAUAGUGCUAACUUCAAUAUGGUUAGCCUGUUUCAUAUUGCUAACGACAACACAGAUUACUCGUUUCAUACACCAACUACCUGUGAGGAACUAGUGCCGUCAAAAAUCGCUUAUACAAGAGUUCAACAAACAUAACAUUUCAUUUCACAAAUGACCAUGGCAAGAGUAAUAACAACUAUCACAAAUUAUACUUGGUCAUGCCACUUUAGCAAUUAGACAAGUACCUUUCAAAAUUCAUCUUUCAAAAGAUAAAGGAUACAUGCAUCACUUACCUUGAUCCAAUGGAUACCUACGCUAGUUCAAGUAAUCGAAAAAAUGGCUACCUUCUUCACCUAGACAUAAUGAUAAAAUAUUCAAUUACAAUAUUAAAGAUACUAAACUACUCUAAAUUAUCAUAAAAAGGAGUCUAAUACUACCCUUAACCACUAAUUCCUAAUAAAAGAUCAUUUCCUCAUCAAAGCAGGACAUAAGGGUUAAUUUUAAAGGGUCACUAACUUUCAGAAAUACAUCAACAUGGCAAGAGAUUUAUACAGAGUUAAACCCCCCUGAAUCUAAUUUCCAACGCAACAAACAGCAACUAAAUCUGAGUUUUUUACAUCAAGUUAUGGCCAAAAAACUGAAAUAUGUCUGUACAGAAAAUUCAAUCCGUCCGAGAAUUAUAGCCAAUCCGUCCGAGGAUUAUAGCCAUGGAUUUCUAGCACGUUUUCAAGGCAAAAAACAAGUUCCAAAUACGAUAAUCAAGUUCCAUUUCCAUCUCAAGUCAUCUUCCAACCUCCAUAGUUGUCAAAAUUAACAUAUUUUAGCUCCCAAAGUCAUGUAAAUACAUAAACAAUCUUGAAAAUGAAUUGUUAGCUCAAGUCAUUCUUUCCCUCAACAUUUCUCCUUUUUAUAUUGAUGAUAGCCCUAUACCCAUAUGAAAAUAGAGACCAAAACAAACUCUAUACACCAUAGCCAUGGAAGCUAACCAAGGAUUUGAACCAAAUACUAACCAAUCACCCAAUCAAAGAAAACCAAGAUCAUGUUCAAAGUUUCAAGAAAAUAUCUUGGUUAGUUGUCAAAGUAGAAUCUCCUAACUCCUCACUCCUUAGUUGUGCUUGAUUUGUCAAGAAUCAUUCUUGAUUGUAAGGAAAAAGGAGAGAAAUGAGAAAGGGUUUUGUUGGAGAAGGAAGGAAGAAGAUGAAGAAAUUUUUUGAUAAAGAUGAAUAGUGAAAUCCCACUAUCACUUUUAUUCUUUCAAAAUUUCACUUAUUAACACAUUGGUCGCUCAAUUUAACAUGUUUCACUUUUCACCACAAAAUAGUAUUUCUUCAUACAAAAUUCUCUACAAGACACUUGGGUAUCACAAUAAUUGUUAGGACCGACAAUUCUUAUAGGCUGUCUGAGACCACAAUAUUCAUGGAUAUAAAUGAAAGCAAGAACAUUUGAUAUAGCGCUAGGGAUUUUCGUAUCAGCCUUGACAUCUAUAUGUAUCUCUUCCAUUUGGAUAUUUAUCUACAACGAGUCUUUGUAUCGAUAAUGCCCGACUAAAUCAAAAAGAAAAGACAAUUUGCAUUAUUUCUUUUUUCUCUUUUUUUUCCCAAUGUGUCAAACAACAAGAAUAGUAACCUCCUGUUGGAUCCUUAAUCCAACGUUGGACUUAUAUUUAAAUGAUUAUGUGUUUCAAAUUGUCAAAUACGGUUAAAUCCAAUUAAAAUGAUCAAAUAUAAUUUGGGCUUAAUGUAUCUAAUAGGGUGUGGGCCUUUAAUAUGUAGAGACUUAAGGAUAUUUUUUAUUUCUAUGAUGGGUUGAAAUAGGAAUCCAAAAGAUAAUAGGAAUGUUAUCUAUAAAUAGGGUUAUAGUCCCCAGGUCACAAGUAUUCUUAUUAUCGUAUAUUCUAGUACCACUGACGGGAUUUUAAUAUACGUACAAGUUAAAAAAAAUCGAAUUACACCCGUUCACUGCAAGUAUACAGGUCAACUAGUAGUUUAGGGUAUAUAUCGGGUCGAUCCCACAGGGAAGAGUGAACAAUUAUCGGUAUUACUAAAACUUCUCUAUUAUUUAGACUAUCAAUGAAUUAUAACAAAUUUAACCUACUGAAAUUAUACAAAAUAACAAAUAAAAGCUCCUUAGGUUGUGGUAUCCUUAACUACUCAUGCAAGUGCUAUAUUUGAAUCAUUGAGUGCUACAUUUAGGCUAGUUAUGGUGUAAUUUUCUUAUGCAUUUGAAUCCUACUUUCGUAGUAAAUUAAUUAUACUUAUAACUAAUCCAUACAUAUUCUCAUGGUUAUGAAAUUAGCUACAAGUUCAUUUCUUUAGUGAAAUUACAUGAAAUGAAUCACUAAAAAUCACAUAGGUGGACCUCUAUUUUCGUAAGUGUACUCCUUAUGAUUAGCACUUCUUACACUAGUGUUAAAUCUUAAUUUUCAUUGCAGAAACAAUACCUUAGAUAAUCACAAUCAAUGGUACCAGAUUAAUCAUGAUUUAAAGAGUUAAAGUGCUAAAUAACUUGCUCAAAUAAUAGCAAUCAAAUAGCCAAAUAAUAAACACUAACAAUCAUAGAAAGUUCAACCAAACCCAAGGCAUAAAUUUUAAAGACACGUAAUAAACAUGAAAUCCAAAACUUGUAUAUUAACUAAAUUUGGAAUCAAGUACAAAAGAUAAAGAGUUGGAAGGAAUGUAACCCUUGUCACAUGAGUUUCAACUCCUUCUUCUUCAUCUCUAUCUUCAUCCUAAUCUAGUUAACAUACAAGAAGGAUGAACUAAUUAGCUAAACUAGCCUACACUAAGGAAACCGUAUGAUAAUAGUGCUCUUUUCAAUAUUUGCUAGUUAGAGAGAAUUUGCUAUCAGAAAAUCUGGCUACGUAUGGAUGUCCAGACAUCUCCCAAUGUCUCUGUACAAAAACUGCUCAAGAGCUCCAUUUUUCCAAGUCAAAUUCCCCUUUCUGAUUCCCAAAUCUUAGAUUUGUUAAGAUAGUCAAUAACCAAGGUUUUUGACUUGAAAAUAAGCCAUAUUGUCUGCCCUUUUGUCUUCUGAAGCAUGUGCACCGAAUUCCCUUGCAACUUAUAGCUGGAAAGUAGUCUGAACACGAGAAAUGGCUGAGCAAAUUGUAGAAUUUCGGCUACAAAACGCGCCUAUACAAGCCGCAGCUUCAACCCACAUUUUGCCAACUCGCGUUUUCAACUCUGUGAAAUUGGCCUCACUUCAACUGCAAUUUUCUCUAUGAUGGAGGCCGAACUAGCUUUUGUACAAAACACAAAAGUUGUAGCCCUUUGAGUUAGCUUUACAAUGCUUAAAAAUCAUCCAAAUCGGAGCUUUGUAGCCUAAGAUAUGAUCGAAAUACUAUCACCUGGUCAAACCCCUGUUUCGAUUUUUGACUACAGAAUGCAGCUUCUGUAUUCCGACUUUUUGUCCAUGAAAUAGCAGAAUUGGAUUUCGAUGUUUUCAUACCAAUUGUCGGUCUCUUUCUUAGCUUUAAAAUGGUAUAAAGAUCAUCUCAAUCCGAUAAGUGUAGCUCCAGAUAUAGUCGAAAUACCGAAGAGUGUCAAAACUGUUUUGAACCGCACUUCUUCACUUAAACGUUUUUCACUUCAUUUCUCUUUUUUACCACUUGAAUUCAUCACCAAUUAUCUACUUUUCACCUCAUUUGACAUCCUUUGGUGAUUGGAUCAUUAACUUGCAAGAAAAUAAAGUUUUUACCAUUAAAAUCAAUAGAAAUGCCAUAUUAGUCAUUUUUACAAAAGUUGUAUCUUUUUACCAAAACCUAGUUAUUUUAGUUAUAAAACUAAAUAAUCAAACCAAAGUUAACUAAUAAAAUGUACUUAAAAAUACGUAAAAUAAACUCUUAUCAACCACAAAACAGCUCUUUCCUGAUAUCCCAUUGUCAGGAAAGAUACUAAAGAAAAACUAAAGUACUCUCUCAAGAAUUGGUAAAUACGUGUUGACCUGUAAGGCCACCUCAAAAUCUUCAAAGAUUCAAAUGCCAAUUUGUCAACAUGAAUUUAGGUACGCUUCAGCAUUUAUAUUAUUGUUUUGUUCAAAUAUCUGAAAUUGGGAUUCUGGAAAUUCCUACACCUCCUCCCUUUGAAAUUUCAGAGAACAGAACCAAAUAUUUCAUUCCUACUAACUUAUGGGCACGCGUUACAUCAUUCCUACUCAAUUUAACUAUCUUAACGACUUAGAAAAAGCUAGCUACAUAUGCAUUGUCUUCUUACAUAGAUAAAAGAUGUGCAGGGCAUAUAGAAAGAUCGUCCAAAUGGGUUUAAUUUGCUGCUUUUAAGCUUGACAUUUGUAAGACUUAUGACCGGGUAUCAUGGCAAUUUCUACCGGCUGUUCUAAGAAAAAUGGUUUUUCCAGAAUCCAAGAUUAAUGUUGUUUUGAAGAGUAUCUUUUUUGUCUCUUACUCAAUUGUAAUUUUUUUUUUUUUACUUAGGGUUAUCCCAGCCUUUCGGCCAAUUAAUUCCCUAAAACUGUGUAGCAUCUUAUCCUAAGGAUACAGAGUAAGGUAGUACACAGAAUUCGAUCAUGGGACAUGGUAGUAACUAUCAGACUACGGAAUCAGUCCAACUACCCGCAGGACACUCAAUCGUAGUUAAUGGAGCACUAUCAUCGGUAAUAUAUCCUACCAGAGGCCUUCGCCAGGGAUGCCUCCUCUGAUCAUCAUAUCUCUAUCUCAUACCAAGAGGCGUUGUCAGCAGCAUUAUGUUCUUUGGCAUCUAUAGAAUCUGUCCCCAAAUAUCGGUUAGUCGUGCAAGUCCUCCUGCAUCGCAUUUAGUAUUUGCUGAUGAUAAUAUUUUUGUUUUUCAAGUGCUCGGAGGCAGCUGCACUGCACCUGAAGGUGGUAUUGGAGAAAUAUGCACAUUUCUCUGGGCAGGAGAUGAAAUUUAGCAAAUUUAGUUUGGUCUUUAGCCUCAACGCGCCUGCUAAUUUGAAUCAAUUAACAUGCAUCAUAUUCUCUAUCCAAUCAGUUCCUACAAUAGGCAAUGUUUUAAAACUCGGACAGUUAAUUGAACCGGUGAAGUGUUCGGGUCAAGGUUCAACCGGUCGGACCGGUUCAACCCCGAUUCAAUGAAUUUUUUUAAAAAUAAUUUAUAUAAAUAUGUAUAUGCACAAAAUAAGACAUGUAUUGGGCUAAUUUAAAACUUUAUAUGAUGAAAAGUUUACUAUUUUUGAAUAACUUGGAUUUUCAGAAAUAAAUUUUUUAAAUUAUAAGUUGAAACAAAUAAAUUUCAUCUCAAUUUCAAUUAUAUCUACCAAAAAAAAUCUUAAAUCCAACCCAAAACUACCACAAUAUUUUGAAAUUAUACAAAAUUCACGUCUAUGAGAAUUUAGAUAUUGUGAGUUUAAAUUUUAAUUUACGUUUCUGAGAUUUAGAGAUUGCAAUUAACAAAAAAGAAAUUUGGAGUUUGAAGGAAGUUAAGAGAAUCAAAAAUAAAAAUGCAAACUUGAUAAGAAACAAAAAAUGAGAUAAAAGUGAAUGAUUGUGGCAUUUAAUAAUUAGUCUUUAGGGUUAAAGAAAAUAAUUCUUUUUUAAUUUUUUCAAUUUAAUGGACAAAAAAAAUUAAAAGAUGGAAGAAAAUAUCAAUAAAUUAAAACUAAAGAGUUUUGAUUAAAAAGGGAGUGACAAAAGAAAAGAGGAGAGAAAGAGAAAGUUGAACAUUAAAAAGAAAUAAGUCUGAUGUGUCUUAGGAGUUAUGGGUUUAGGCUAGGGUAUUUUUAAUUUUUCACUUCAAGUUAAGUAGAAUCUACACAAAGAAAUUUCGUCCGCUGGCUGUGAUUAAAUGGUAAUGACGCUUUGUUGUAUUCCCAAGGUUUGGUGUUUGAUUCUUGUUGGCCUCAAUCUAGACAUUAUUUUCGAAAAGUUUCAAAAACCGCCGGUUCCCGAUCAAAGCGGUUUUUCACGAUUCGUCCGGGUUAUUCGGUUUGUAGCGGUUUUUCAUUACUCUCCGGCUUUAGCUCUAGACCGGACCGGUGGUCUGUCCGGUUCACGAUCCAAUCGGUUGAACCGGCCAGUCCGGUCCGAUUCUUAAAACAUUGACAAUGGGUAGAUAUGUGGGUUUAAAAGACGAAGAACCCACUACUACAAAGGUACAAGAUUUAUCAACAAAUUCCACCGGAGUCAAACUCUAGACGUGGCGUUGGGACACAACACCCUAUUGUAACGUUGCAAUACAAUGACUUAAAAGUACUGUUAGAUAAUUUAUUGAUUGAUUUGCAAUCUCAAAAAAGUUUAUUGAAGAAAUGCAAGCUUGAUCUCCAAUAGUUGGCUCUUGCGCAAUUUUAGUGUCUAAAGUUUCGUCAAAAACAAAUAUUGUGUCCAAAUUUUCAAUUCAAAAUAUUUUUGAGACAAUUGACAAAUUUAAUAAAUUUGAAUUGAUCCCAAUUUCAAGUAAAUUUAGGACAAUGGACACGACCAAAUUCAUUUUUGUUGAAACCGUGGACACAAAAUUUGUGCAGAUACAUUGGAGACCAAAUUCAUUUUCAAUUCGUUUCUCUCUCUCUCUUUAUUCUGUGAAGGGAAGAUAUGAUUUUGAAAACCUAUACUUUGGCCUACAAAAUCUUAAUUUUUUCCAAAUCCAAUAAAGAAGGAAGGGAAAUAAAAAUAAACAAAUAAAAAGAUGGAAGGGAAAUAUAAAAAAAUAAAUAAGAAACAAAAAAUACAAAAUCUUUUUUUGACUACAAAUAUCAUUAUAAGUUUUUAAUCUAAAACUUUAAUGGUAUUUUCUAUUUCUUAUUUAUGUAUUUUUUUUAUUUCAAUUUCUUCCUUUUUAUGUUUAGAGGAAAAAAAGAAGUAAUGAAAGGAUAAAUUUGUCAAUUUAUUAAUUUGAUUUUGAAUUUUACCACUGACCGUAAGUUUUAAUGAAAAAAACUAAGUGACAUUUUAUUUCAAAUUAUGAGGAGGUUACAUAUAAUUUUCAAACCGUAGGAUGGUUAUGUUGUAAACCACCAAACCAUACGGGGUAAAAGGUAAUUUACCCAUUAAUCUAUGCCCACUAAGUUUCCUUGGAGCUAUUAAUGCAUGAAAAAAAAAAGCAUGCUUUUUUCAGCAAAAUGGGGACAUAGACAAAAGUUUCAAUCUCAUAAACAUAAUAACCACCGGAUGUUUUCAUUAAUUCAUAGUGAAAACAAGAAGAUCCGCAGUCCUAGUUAAGCAAGAAAAGCUUAUGAGUCAGUUCAUUCAUAAACUUUCGGAAUUACCUGAAGAAUGAUGAGCUUUGGUGAUACUUUUUUUGGCAAAAUGCAAGCUUUCUACAAUUAAGGUCGGAAUAAGAUUGGAUACAAACGUCCUCUUUAAAUACGAGCCAUCAGUUUGUAAAGAGGAAGUUAUAUGGUUCUCUUUGGGAAGCUGCAAAUUUUGGUGAUUUGAAACCAAUUUGAAAAUUGACAAAAUUCGUGCUUUCCUUGGCAGCUACUGGCUUUGAUUGAAAGAGAUGAUCUUGGCAAUGGCUAUAUUGAGUCAAAAUCAGACAACGAUCUUGGCUAUGGAAUUUGGAAUGUUUUGUUUCCACUUUCCAAAUGGUAGUUGGCUUGUUGCAAUAAAAAAGAAAAAUUGCAGUGGUCCUCAUCGGCAAAAUUUGAUGGUCAAAAUAUCUAAUUUCUCACGUGGGACAUCUUUUUGUAAGUAUUACUGUAUUGGUUGCUUCUAAUCAACCACAAGUCAAAAAGAAAGUUGUCUUUUAACUACUUGUUCAAAUUUAUAAGUCAGGCUUUCCAUUAAGGAAUUGAAGCCACCGCCUUGCACUCCAUGGUGGUUCUGUGCACUAAUCAAAUUGAUUUAGAUGCAUUACAGGGUUAGCAAACAAAGUUGUGGGCUUUCAAAUGAUUCUAACGGAAUUUACUAAUGAAAAGUCUUGCAACUCAAGACACAUACUUCAAGCUUUGUGUUUGGCAAUUGUCAAGCAAUGCCUUACCAAAUCUUAAAGUUGGGGCAUUUGCAGAAAAUAAAAUUUUUAUUUCAUUUAUUUAUUCAAGAUUUAAUAAAUUGAGUUGAUUUUAAGUAAACUAAAUUAAAUUAUGAAAGCCCUUUAUUUUUUAUCUAACAAAUUGGGCCAGUAUUAUGUGGGCUGUUAAAUCAAUUAAAUAUGCAAGGUCCAUUUAAAUUAAAAUGGAUUAAUGGAUUCAUUGAUUCACAAUGGACUGUUGGGCCAGCUUAUUACUAAAAUCCAUAUUAAAUGGAUUUCAAAUUGAACCAGUAUUAAACGAAUUGUUGGGCCAGCUUAUUGUUAAAGUUUUUCACUUAUAUUGUUACAAUAAAAUAUUUCAAAACAUCCGUAAAAAUAGUUAAUCCAAACAGAGACAUAGCUUUUUAUAUUACUUUAAUUAAAUUUUUUUUCUUUUUUCUUCUUUGGCUGCAAAAAUUACACACCACCAUAGGAAUAAUUCACUUAAUGAACUUCGGAGGUCUCUGACUAAAAAUAACGGAGCAAUCAUUGAUGGCAAUUUGGUAAUGGUAAUGAUGGCAUUUGACCAUGUUAUUAAUGGCACUUUAGAUCUAGCCUCAAAAAAUGCUGAUUCUAAACAUGAGGAUGGUUUCUUCGAAAAAGGUUGUCCUAUUUGUUCUCUUGCAACGGUAUCUGAAGACAAUCACUGUACGUAAGCAGAAAUGCCUAAUCCCUCCUUUCACUCAGUCCCUUCAUUUUUUCUUCAUUUCUCACUUGUUUUUUUUUUGAAUUUAUAGAAGAAGUGCCUUUUAAAUUUACAGAACAAGAAGAAGAUGAUGAAUGCGAGAGAAAAGAACCCUGUGGUCAUAGCACACUGUGCUUCCUAAUUUGCCUCUCCAUUAUGUCUAGUGAAUCACACAACGGUAGAAUCUGACAGAAUGACUCAGAAUCAAAUACAUACUUUAGAUAGUUUAGUAGCCAAAACCAAAUUGUUAAUAGUUCAGUGGCCAAAACUCAAUGAUUACAAAAGUUCAGUGGCUAAUGAGGUAAUUUGCUCGAAAAAUAAUGAUAGAAGCAGCGAAGGGUGAAAUUUCGAUGUUCAUGCCGCUGAGAAAGUUUUUGUAUGACUGAUUCCCUGGGAGUGGGAGAUUGCCAGAAGAUUCAAUAUCACUUGUGGUAGGGAAACCACAAUGAAGGCUCUCUGUCUUGGAGGUGUCUGAAGCAAAAAGUCCUGGGCAGAAAUGUGAAACAAAAUCUGAAUUGUGGGCUUGUGUUUGCGGCUGAUGACAAUAUUAUUGUCCACCGGAGUCUUCCGCCCAAACAAGGUGACCCUCCUAUUAUCCCUGCCUCAUUAUCUACUUCAUGUUUUGCUUUUGCUAACUCCCUUACCACUCAAAACGAGUUUUGGGUCGAGGGUGAGGUUAGGGCGAUAGAACUCGAGAAGGGGAUGGAGAAGACUGAAGCUUCUGUGGGCUGGAGCUUAGGAUUGCGGAUGCUGGAGUUGGGUUUGGGUUUUGCCUGCCAAUGAUCACCCCGAGUUGCUUAAUUUGGUAGAGAAAAAUCAGAACAUAGGAAUGGCCUGGAGGCAGGUUAACUCGUGCUAGCGACCUAAUUAAUAUUCAUAUGGGUAAAAUACAGUAAACGCAUCUGUGGUUAGGAAAAUAAAUACGAAACUCCCUCAUUGUUUAAAAACACUCAUUUAACCGCCCUUGCGCUUUAAACUUCUUUGGAUUGUACCUGCUAAUAGGUUGGGAAGCAGUAAUAAUAUACAAUACCAAAAAUACCCUCAUUUAUAAUAUCUCAAAAGGCACAGCUGUGAGACCCCGGUUAGUCCUUAAUUUUGAUAUUAUUUGAAUAAGGAGUAUUAUCGAUAUUUUGGUAUAAAAUUUGGUUUUAAGGUUGGUGGUAAUACUUUAAAAGGUUAUUUCGUCUAUAUACUAUGAAAACCCUAAUUUGGGUUAUUACUAAAACCCUAGUUUUUGUAAUGAAUUACAAGUUUGUGCUAUUAUAUUAAUAGGCAUGCUAAUAUAUGUUAUCGUGCAAGUAAGUAUAGGAUUCGAUUCUUUUAGCAAAGGUUAGGUAGGUUUGAGAGCUAGAAAACUCUAAAUUAGUCAAACCUCUAGUGUUACAAUCCAUUAGAAAACUUAAGUUGGGUUUAAAACCCUAAUUUUGCCAAUGUUAUAAAGGUUGUUGUUUCAUUGUUUUUAUUAUGGAGAAAGUAUGAUUAAGUAUAGGAGGUUAAGAUAGGAAGGUGAUUAGUGAAAUGAUUAAGUGUGACUAAGUAUUUUAGACUAGAUUAAGUGUAUGACCUAUGGAGUUAAUUGAAAGCUUUUCAUAUAAUUGUGGGCAAGAGUGUAAGAAACUUAAACUAAGGUUGUAAGGGCUUGGGAGCAAAUUGUAAUCUUUUAUGUGAUUGGUUGGGUGCAAAAUAUCCUUAGUGGUUGAUGACUCACCUUAACUCUAGAAUAUACAAGAGGAAUCAAGACAUAAAUGAAACCAUCACCAAGGGAAAAAGCAAGAGAAAGGGUCGAAAUUUUGAGAGCAAAAGAAAGGGAAAUUUCCUCCAAAGUUCAUCAAUUUUUAACCAUCCAUCUUGCUUUUGAAGCUUAGGGUAGCAACUUAAGCACUUGAUUGUUGUGGUUUGAUCAUCUACAAAGCUUAUUUGAACGUAUAUCAUCUUACUUGGAAGUUAAAUUUUGGGGUUUUAAUCUUGAAGCUAUGGAAGUGAUGCUUUUGUUGUGAUUAUGCAUUUUUAUGGGUUGUAUGAUGAUUAUGGAGUAGUUUUAUGGUUUAUUUUGAUAGUUAUAUUGCUGAUUUUGGUAAAGGCUAGGAGGAAAAGGUAGGGUUUCUUGAUUCAUGAUUCAUAGAGUUGGUUUGGUUGAAUUUUGACUUGUUAAUGGCAUCGUUGAUGUAUUAAUUUCACUUGUAUGGUUGGUAAGUAGCAAAUUCCAGAUUAGUCAUGAAACCCUAAUUCAAAGGAAAGUUAGUUUGGUUGGGUUAGGGCUUAAGUGAUUAGAGUUUGAUUGAUUAGGUGGUGAAACUAGUAAAGUUAGUAGGAUUAGCACCUAGAUUAUGGUUAGUAUUGGGUAAGUCUUGGGAUUAAAUUGGGAAAGGAAUUUUGGUUCACCUGUAGAGCAAAUAGGAGGUGAUUUAUGUGUGUUUAUUUGGUAUGAAUUUGCUAGGAAAACUUGCAUGAGAAUGGUAGAAACGAAUCAUGCAUUUGAGGCGCGCGGAAUCGUUCAAUCUGGAAACAGGGCAGCCCAGAAACCGAACUUUGGAUCCAUUGUUCUAUGUGCUACGUAUGGAUUCAGGGUUUGCCCAAAACAUAAAAGUUGUAGCUGCUAAAGUCCUUGUCGUGUCUGCAAAAUUUCAACCCAAUCUGAUCAGUGUAGCCUGAGUUAUGACCAAAAACCCCAAAUGGCUGUACAAACUUCUGGAUUUGGUGACGUUUCUUGAUUUUGCUUCUGACCAUGCUCAGUUCACCUUAACGUUUGAACUGGGUGUUGAGGUCUUCAUAAGACUUGUAGAUCUUUGUUUUAGUUUCAAAACAGUAUAAAUUUCUUCCAAAUCUGAGACCCGCAGCUCCAGUUAUACCCAAAAUAAGAUCGGGUGUCAGAACUGCCAUUGAAAUUGGGCAGUUCUGACAGGAACUUUGGACCCGUUUUUCACCCUGCUCUGUAUUGAUUCAGGUUUUGACCAAAACAUAAAAGUUUUAUCAUUAUGACAUAUCUUUCUAACACCUUUGGAAUUUCUUGAUUUGGAUUUGCGAGCUGUGAGUUAUGGUCCGGCAAACAGACCCUGUCCGUCACCCUAAAGUGCAAACUUCUGGUACUGUUUUCCAUAAUUUCGACCUGCUUCCAUUCAGAUCUAGAUUAAGGUGUCUUCAUGAAAAUUUUAACCCUUCCUCUUAGCUUCGCAAUGGUGUCUCAUACACUUUGAUCCGACAUUCCUAGCCUAACUUUUAAUCCAAACGGUUCGGGGUAGCAAAUCUGCCCUUUUCCGUUUCCCGUUUACCAAUUCCGCACGUGCUCAUGUGCCAAUUUUGCCGUUUUGCUUGCUUUAGGCAUGUUAGUAGCCGUUUGUGAUAUAAUGUGAUGCAAUCUUUUAUUUCAGACGGUGGUGAGCUAGACAGAGCCGAUGGGGCCUACUAGCUAUCACACACGAAGAGAUUUUCGCACUUGUGCUAGUUUUGUACUUUGUGUAAGUAUUCAGGCUGUUCCUAUGUGUUAGUUGCUUAUGUGUUUUGAUAUGUAUGAGAGGGUGCCUAGGUGAGGGUGUAUUUUAUCGCACUCGACCUAAACCCUAAUUUGCACACAUAUUUGUACAUGGCAUAUGUAUAUGAACUAUUUUGGAACUAAAACCCUUGAGCUUGUAGCUCGGGGUGACUUUUGGGUGAUUUUGUGAAGUUUGUGAGUUUGGGGCCCGAUCUCAAGACCUAGAUGGACUAUUCGAGCCGGUCAGGGUUUGGUCGAAAUCAGUCCAACCUAGUCUGAGGUCACCAAGUUUGUGAAUCCGGUUCACCGAGUAUGUGAACCAAGUUUGUGAACCAAGCUCAAUUUCGUUUGCUUGAGCCAUUUUGUGAGGUGACUGGCCAGUAUGGGGGAUAAGGUGUAUGGUGGGAGUAAGUGGAGUUCUACGGACCCUUAUUUGUGGUCUACGGAGUGUCGACAGGAGGUCACACAUGGCACAUGACGUGGCUUUGGAGCCAACCUGUAUCCUUAACUUGUGUUGUUACUUUUAUAGUUUCAAUUUGACAUCAUUGUGACGUAAUUGUUCGUAUUACUGUGAAACUUACAUUUUUACCCCUGUUUACUUACUAAGCAUCUAUCUUACCCCUUUUCCUUUGUUUUCCUUAACAGGGGCCGACGCGGGGAACUUUUGCCACUAUCACUAGUAUAGUUAGGCUUGGUUUGUGAUAGCCGAAGAACUAAGAUGUUUUCUUGUUUUAGUGACCUGUAUAAGGACCCCUCUUUGGGUCUACUUUCUAAUUUUGAUUACUAUCAUACGACGAUGUAGUGAUCUGGAUAUCUACUUUUGAGAAUGUAAAUAGAAAUCUUUUGGGGAUUGUAUAUUCUGAAUAGUGCUCUUUUGGUUUCUUUAGUUUUUAUUGUUUUGUAUUUUCAAGUCCUGGCGCGAGUUAGGCAGGCGUUCCGCCGAUACCCUUGGGUUCGCCCUUGGGAGAAGUGGGGGCAUCACAACAGCUGCAAUUAGUAGAUCUUGAGUGGUACUUCAGGUGUAGAGAGAGAAAGUGGAUGAAACCUUAAACCUAUAGCCAAGAUCUGCCGCAAUCACUAUCAUCUUCCGCGACAUCAAUAAACUAUAGAAUUGUCGUGUGUAUCUCACAAAUGAAAAAGGCAUUUCUGUGCAGAUUGAUUGAGAGUUACGAAGCAUCGAGCAUAGCGAUUAACAAGGUAAUCUCAUAUCUGAACCCUAACUUUACUUGUGUUGAUUGGUUUCAUGGUAGACGUUUGGUAGUAUAUUGUUGGAGAUAUUUCGAAACUUGGUAAAAGAAGUGAUAGCUUUGGCUUAGCCAAAAGUAUUGUCGACAAUCUUUAUCGAAAAAAUUUAUAAAAAAAAUUGCUAAGUAUGCAAAAAGGAGAAAAGAAUGGGUCUUUGCGGAGUAAUCUAGACUAUUGUGGUCAAUACUGGUAUUGAUUAUGUUUUUUAACCUUUUAGAUGAGUGUGUUAAUGUUGACUAUGCUUUUUUGAAACUACAAGUGUAUGAAAUAUUGCCUGUCGUUUUCGAUACAUCUGAAAAUUAAAUUAGUAAAUUUAUCUCUGUUACUUUGGUUUAGAUGUAUAAGAAUGGAAGAUAAUCUGUUUAAGAGUAUAGACAUAUACAUGCAUUAUGGUGGAAAUUUCAAAUGAAACUGAGAAUUAGAUACACCGGCGAACAAGUGAGGAUAUUUUGUGGAUGGGACCCUGAUGAAUUUUCUCCAUUUGACUUUCAAAAGAUGUAUGACACAAUUGAGUGUGGUGUAAGCAAUAUGAAUUUCUAGUACUCUAUCCCCUUUCAUGACCUUGAUGUUGGUGUUGUUACUAUUAAGGAUGAUGCCGACAUCGAGUUAUUGACAAUAUGUUAUGAAAGGCUUCCAGAAAUACACAUAUAUGCUGAGAAAGGGCCUGAACCCAUUGAAGUUGUGUCUUUGGAUGAAUAAUUAUUGUACAAGAAAGUGACUGGUGAUAGCUUACUUGCACUUCCAUUUCGUGAUAAUUGGCAAUUGGUGUGUUCAUAUUGGAUUAUCCGCAUUUGUUAAAGGCAGUGAUAACUUUGACGCUACAGUUAUUGGGAAUGAGUACAAUAAUGAUAUUUCACAUAUUAACUAUAGAAGAAAAGGCAUCUGUGAUGAAGUGUCAUCACAAAUGGAGUUGGAUCCAAUUUUUGUGGGACCACAUAGAGAGCAGAUACAUGAUUAAACUAAUAAAUCCAAGUGGAAGAAAACAAUAAAUGGUAAAAAAACUGAGUGGCAAAGAGUAAAAUUAACUGCAAGGAAGUUAGUCCAGCAGUUAGUUAAAGAGAAGGAAAAAGUUGAUACAACUACAGAGGUCUAGCAGUCUCCCACAAGAAAUUCAGCAGAAGAAACAACAUUUGGGAUAGAUCCAACAGAAGAAACAACUAAUUUGAGGGGAGAAAAAAUAGCUGAUGAAGGUGGAGAAAAAGAUGUUGUCAUACCAGACUAUUCAGAUCUCCCGGACUGGCUAAGAGAAGGACUAGAAUGGCCUGAAGAUGAUGAUAUAUUUGCAGGCUUAAAUGGUCAAGAAUCAACAUAGGCAUCUAUUAAUUUAGGAUCUGUAAAUUUUGUUAGAGUUGGUUUAGAGUAGCAACAAGAAAAUCAGCAAGCCAAAACUAGAAAACAAGCUGGUAUAGAUCAACAACAAGAAAAUCAGCACUCCUAAUCCAGAAAACAAACUAGUUCAGAGCAGCGGCAAUAACAUCAGCAAUCGAAAUCAAGAAAACAAGCAAAGAACCAGACCCGUGAAGAGGGGAGUCAACCAACACCAGGUGUGGAUGAUAGAUGCCGUGUCAAUGAGUAGGAAGAGAACUAGAAUGAGCCAGUAGAGGAUGAUGAAAAGCUAUUUGACAAUGGGAUAAGAUCUGAUAAAGAAAGCAUCCCUAUUUACAGUUACUUCAAUGAGAAGAAAAAGUUUAGGAAAGAGCACUUUGAACUAAAGGUCUGACAGAAAUUUACUAGCUUCUUUAAAUUUAGCAAGACUUUAGUGGAGUGGGAAAUUAGGGAGGGUAUAGGCACAAAUACAUCAGAAAUGAAGGCUCUCGAAUCACAAUUAAAUGUACGAAGGGGUGCAGUUGGAGAAUUCAUGCAUGCAGAAUCCAGAGAACAAAGACUUUUAUGAUGAGAGCACCAUUGUGCAGGGAGAGCACCAUUGUACAUCAGAAAUGAAGGCUCUCGAAUCACAACUAAAUGUGCGAAGGGGUGCAGUUGGAGAAUUCAUGCAUGCAGAAUCCAGAGAACAAAACUUUUAUGAUCAAAACUCUUAAGGGAGAGCACCAUUGUGGUAGAGAUUACAGCAAUAGACAUGCCACUUCAACAUAUCUAAGUGAAAAAUUUCAGGCCAAGGUGAGGGAUGAUCCUGGGUGCAGUACUCUUGGCAUAGUAAAUGAGACAAGAAGACUAUUUAUGUUAGACAUUAGUAGGAAGAAAACUGCUAGAACAAAGCAGUAAGCAUUAGAGGCACUUAGGGAAAAUGACAUGGAUCAAUAUCACAGGUUUUGGAAUUAUGUAGCCACUGUAAAAAAGUCCAAUCUUGAUACUCAUAUUUCACUGCAGAUUGAUAGGCAAGGUGUUGAGGAAAAAGCUACAUUUCAGAGGAUAUUCUAUGGAUUAGGUGGUCUAAAGAAUGGUUUCCUAGAAGGUUACAAACCUAUAAUAGGACUAGAUGGCUAUUUCCUGAAGAGUCCCUUUGGAGGUCAGCUGCUUACAGCCAUGGGUAAGAAUGCCAAUGAAAACAUGUUUCCUAUUUCCUUUGCUAUUGUUGAGGUAGAGAACUACGACAACUGGAGCUAGUUUUUGAGAGAAUUAAUCACCCAAAUUCGAGGAGGAAACAAAGAAGUGGCUUACACUUUCAUUUCGGAUAGGCAAAAGGGUCUUGUCUAUGCAAUUGAGGAGUUGUUCCUAGAACUAGAGCACAUGCCUGAAACACAUGUUCAAGAACUUCAAACAAAGAUUCAAGAAUCAAAACCCUAGAAACAUGUUCUAGGAAGUUGCUGCAGCAGCAAGCAUGCCCGAAUAUGAUACUGCCCUAUCAAAUCUUGAAAGGGCUGACCUAAAGAAAGGUGACAAACUAACAAUUGCAGAUGGUUCAAAUGGUUACCUCUAAAGCUUUGGUCCAAAGCCCACUUUAGUACUGCUUGUAGAAGUGACAUGUGCGUCAACAACAUUAGUGAUUUUUAGAACCAAAGGGUAUCCAAAUAGGGCUAAGAAGGUUGGUAACCAAACGAGAGGGCAUGCUGAAAUACGGUAGCACUUUAUGUCCAAACAUUCACGAGAAGUUAGAGAAACUAAAGAUAAAAGCAAGAAACUGUGUCGUGGUUUAUGGAGGAAAUAGGAAUUUGGAAGUUGAUGGCUAUGGAAUGACUAAUGUCAAUUUGGAUAUGAAGACGUGUACCUGUGGCCAUUUUCAACUUAGUGGAAUUCCAUGGGUGCAUGCGGCUACUUGCAUUCAAAGCAGAAAGUUGGAAUUCGAGCAAUUUGUUGAUGCUUAUUACUAUAGGGAAGCAUAUUUAAGGGCCUAUAACUUCACAAUUGGUCUUGUUCUUUCGAAACAGUUCUAGGUGGAUAGCAAAAUGCAGUAUUUGAACCCUCUAUUGGUAAAAAAACAGCCUGGUAGGCCAAAGAAGCAGAGGAAGAAGGGUCCAAAUGAACUUACAAAUUAGCAUAAAGCAAGCAGGAAGGGUCUGGCAGUCUACUGCCGGAGGUGUUUGAAAUCUAAACAUAACAUUAGAACCUGCAAAUUAGCAAUUCACCCUAUGUCCAAGCUUUACAAGAUCAUGUAACAUUCCAGAACCAAAUCAUUUUUCUAGUUUGUUUUGUUGCUGCUUAUACAUCCAGCCAUUUCGAUGUGAACUAUAGGCACCAAAACCUGGUCUAACAACUUCAAAUGCAACAUUCGUGGCUUCUGUAGCUUAGACUAGUGUCUCAAGUACUACUGCUACUACUAUCUCACAGGUACUAGUUCUCAAUUACCUAUUUUUGGAUGCUGUGAUCUGCUUGCAUACUAAGCAGUGCCACUUAUAAGUAGGAACCAAGUUAGCCUAUAAGUGGUACCAAUCAAGAAAGCUAGAGGAGUAGAUCUUCAAAGAAGAAGCAACCAGCUACAGGAAUGUCAAGAUUGUGACAUUGUGGCUCCAAGAGACCAAGAAAAUGAACUGUAGUUAUCUCUCUUUUGUUUGUUGAAUAUACUGGUUAUGUUAAUCACAUUGAUCCCUUCUGGGAUUGAAUUGUAAUAUUUUUGAAGCUAGAAAACUCAGUUUUUGGUUAUGUUUUGGUAGAUUGAUACCAUUAUGGUAUGGAUGUGGUAAUAUACUGCCUUUUUGUGGCAGUAUUGCUGGUGACCCUUUUUGGGAUUGGAUUAUAAUAUUUAUUCAAACUAGAAAACUCAAAAUUUUGGCCUUGUUACGGUAGACUGAUACCAUUGUGGUAUGGAUGCGGCAAUAUGCUAGUGAUAUCUUUGAAAUAGACUGGUGCUAUCUUUGUUAAAAAUGAUUUAAUUUGACAAGUUCAUUGCGGUGUAAUCUCAGGUCUUUCAAUUUUUUUGUCAUGUAUUUUUUAAAUGUCCUACAACAAAACAACAUAGCUUCAUUUGUUCAUCUUAAUUAAAAUCAGAAUGUCUACUUCAUUACAUGCAAUUGAAACUAGAUGUGGCAACAUAUUGGACAUAAAAAAAUCUACUAUUGUGCCCAACUCUCUCAUCUACUACACAUUUUUUACACUAAUUUGUCCUAAACAUUCAUCUCAUACAUAUAACAACCAGUGACAAAAGAGACACAACUACAAACACCAUCAUCAUCAUCUUCAUUAGCUCCAUCAUUGCUUCGACAUUGUGAAUCUUCGACUGUAGUGUCCCAUAAUGAUGUUAUAGUUAUUACUUUCUAUCCUUUGCCCAGAGAUGAAAAAUCUUUCCACCAUUGCAGAUCCAGUUGGUGAAACUCCUUCCAUGUAUGAACUUUGGCAGGAUGAUUCAUUAGCGUCUCCCUCUCUACUAAUUGGGUUGCAUCAUGUCCAAAAUGAACAAACACCAUUUUCACAUACAAAAUACAACAUAUCUUUUGAUAGUUUUUCAGAUUCCACUAUCUUAAUCUUUACUUUAUUCUUGCAGAAACAUCAUCGAUUUUGGUAUCUUAGGUCCCUUGAUCCACCGCCAAAGUUUUGGGAGCUUGACAUUUUCAGUUUCUCCCUUGAACAAAGCUAUGUUGUGCCCUCCAAAGCUGCGCUCUUACGAUUUUUGUCUUAAUUUUGUGUCUCUUUGUCCAAUUUUUCCAUUUGCAGAACAACAACUAUGGUGGGUUUCAUUUGUAAGAGACAUGGACAGCAAAAUGGGAAUGAAAACUAGUCGCUUUCAGUCACAUGCGGCCAUUAGGUCGCAUCAAUGUCACUUGCUAGCUUCCUAGCCGGUUAGCAGGUAAAAUCCAAAGAAGUCCAAAGCAUCGGGGGAGGGUUAAGUGGUGUUUUUAAAUAAUGAGAGGGUUUCAUGUUUAUUUCCCUAACCACAGGGGGAUUUACUGUAUUUUACCCUAUUGAUAUUGGUGGUCAAACUAGAAAGAGGUGGAAUUUGGGGCAGAACCCCUCUAAGAAUUUGUGUUUCUCCCUAGUGUCUCAAGAGGAAAUCAGGUCCUGCUUGAAUUCUAACCCAGCUGGUAGACCUAGUUUGGAAGAACUAUUCAGGUGAUUUGUUUAAGGGCCUUAAGCCAUUUGAAAAGGUGGUAGGGAAAAUCUUUGAGGGGUGCGUUUUUUAUGGAAAGGGCACCUACAAACUGGUGAAAAUUCUUGGCCACUGGUUUACCAGGCCAAGUAUGAGCCCAUCAAAAGCUCUGAUCACUAUGUGGCUUCGAAGGUAAUGGAGAAGGAGAAGUGAGUUGCUCCAGCAAUCAGCUGAGAUCAGUGUGGAUGCUAAUUCCCAUCCGUGUAUCAUCGGGUUUAUAAACGAAUUGGCAAGCGGUACAAGUUAUUGUGUCUCGAUGCCCUUAUUUGAUGAGGGUUCACUGAGGCUUCUUUCAAGGAAUUGAUGACAUGAUGGUUGACCCGAGGAUUGUAUUGCCCUUGUUCGGAUGGAAACCUUAAAAGGUCUUGGUUUCCUCCAUGAAAAUCAUAUGGUUCUCAAACGUGCCAGUCCAGACCAUAUUUUUUUUCUAUAGGAAUCCUUUAUGCAUUGCUUUGGGUCAUGAUGCAACUCUGUGUCAUGCUUGGAAUUCUGACAAUGCUAAAAAUUCAGUGAUAAAUUCAACGAUUGAUGAAUUCAGUCAUGCUUAGGAAGUCUAUGAUGCUGGGGAGGCUUAUUCCUCCAAGGCUGACAUAUGGCUCCCCAGAUUAACUGCUUUGGAGUUGGCCUAUCACCGCAUCCCUGUCAAGACAAGAGCAGGCUUAAUGGCUGUUAUACAUCAAUCAAAACAAUUGUUUGCCUACAGGACUGAAGCACCGCUUGUCUAGGGAGAAACGAGACAGUUCGCCAGCAAUUUCGGUCACGUUGUCAGCCUAUGCCUCCCUGAAAAUCUAGCACAAAGACCAUUAGCUAUCCAGCUGUUGGAACAUCCAUCUUGAGAAGUUGCACUAGUCUUGAAUGUUUCGAUAAGGUGCUUUAAGUAAUAUGGCCAUUUUGAAGCUUCUCCUCCCGAGUCUGCUUGAAGUAUUUCGUGUUUUCGACUUACUGUUUUUGAUGCUUAAAGGUGUUUAAGUAAUGUGGCAAGUUUGAAAAGUUUUCCUGCCUAUGCUAAAAUGAGAAAUUUCAUAUUUUCGGUAUACUGUUUUUUGUGCUCUCAAGUUUAUCUUGCUUACUUUUUGACAUCCUUUUGUGAAAUUUAAGUACUUAGAUUUUUUUUUACUUUUGGGUUAAUUAUUGACCUUUUGAAAUUGAGAAUGCUUGGAUGUUGGUGUUAUAACAAUUUUUUUUGGGCUGCUUCUUCUCAAAUUGUUACUUGGGAGCUUUAUUUUCCCCUGAUAAGAAAGAAGAUGAGGCAUCAACAAUUACUAUCCGUGGCAAACCAACAUUUAUUUGCAACAUGUCUUAGUAUAAUGAUGGAAUAUCUUAGUGCCUUUAGAAUCAUAUUGCAUUUGGUUAUGCAGGUAAAAUUUUCACAGGAAGGGGAAAAUUAAAAGUAGAAAUGCCUUUAAUAAUCAUUUCACCAGUCAAUAAUUCCUUCAGAAUGCCAAUUGACACUGGAUGUUGAAACUUUGAAUGCAUAAAACUACUUUAUUGAGAGGCAAUUGGUGACAUUGUGUUUACUGAAGUGAUUCUUUGCAGUGCUACAGAACGAAUGAACUAGUUAUAAAACCAAACCGCAUUGAUAGCCUCUACUCGUGUCCUACCUCGUGAGAGCUAGAUUUGCUAAUGCUUUGAAAAUUAAAGUUUUUUCACAUUUUUAUCAUUUUUGGCACUGACGGGCUAUGUUAUUGCAUCUGGAUAAUCCACCUAAUUCUACCCUAAAAUUCUAUGCAGUUGUGUUUUUCUUCUUCAUCUCCUCAAAUCUUUUUUCCUUUUUCCCCCCCUUUCGUCUCUGUUUUGAACUUAUGCCUCAUGGUAUGCCUAACUUGCGACCUUGAUAAUGAUAUGGCCUAUUUCUUAAUGUCAGUUUGCUGGCGCCUUCAAGCAAUCUCAAGUUCUCAAACAUUACUAAAAUCUUUUUAUUUGCUACAAGAUCAACACUAUGUGCAAGGAAAAAGUGGAAUAGGAUCAGAGAGUUUGUCCAAAAUUGUCUUAUUUCUGCAGCUCUUUUGCGGAAUAUCCCAUUCUGCUGGAGCAGCAGACCUUUUGGCAAAAAGUGCUUGUGGCUUCAAUGUUUUGGAGCAGUUAGUCUUUCCUAGUCCUUUUUUGCAAUAUCUGCUGGAUUUGAAUUCUACUUAACAUCCUCAAGAAAGAAGGACAACUUGUAGUUUCCUCUCUAGACAUGUAUUAUUGAGGUUGACGUUAGUGUGUUUUAGUUCUUUGAUGCUUGCUAAAUUGUGUGUUCAGUGCUUUGUACGGUUGUAUGACUUUCUUCAAGCAAUCUGUGCAUUGUUGUUUUCUCAUUCAGAAAACUUGCAAUCCUUAAUAGUUGUAAGAAAUGGAUUUUCUGUCUCCUGAUUUCAAUUAAAUAUGUAUGUAUGUAUAUCUAGUCUUUCAAAAUGGAGCUUCUGAAGUAUCAGCAUAUUUUACACUUGCAGACACUAAUUCUGGAAAAACUAGAGAUAAAUAUAUAGCGAGUCAGGAUUUGUUGUUUUUUCUUUCAUCCUUGUAGUCACUGUGCUGACAACUUCCAAAGUCUCAUGAAGAGCUUAUUGUUUCCUAAAUUAUCCAUUAUGUUUGACAAUUGGCAGUAGUUCAACUUGAGGAUAUGCUGGCUUCUAGCCACUCUGGUAUCUUCAGUGCUUUAGUCUAGAUAUAUAUUGAACUCUUGCUAACAUCCUGUAUAGCAACUUGUUAUAGCUUCAACUUGAUCCAUUUUUUUGACAUGCUGGCUUUCAGUGCAUGGAAACUUGAAUUUACUUGGUCUAAUUUUAUCAAAAGUUUGUCAGAGAAGUUUGUUUUGAGUAUCUUUUUAGUUGAUAUAGAAGACGUGCUAUGUUGAUGAAUGCACAUAAUCAGUUGCAUCGCUCGUAAAGAGCAUGCUUGGAGCAGGCUGAUGACUCCUGUUAGAAGUUUUUGGAACUAUAUAGAGUACAUACCUCAAAUAUGAUACUUGAUAUGUGCCCUCUUAAAGCUGUGAAGUCCUUGAAUGUUCCGUCUUCUGUGAAAGAUGUAUAUAUCAACAUCAUAAUAUCUUGACCAUGGUUCGAAGUCUCGGCCGAGACCGAGACGACUCGGCCGAGUCGUCACCGUCUCGGCCCCCACUGAUACGAUACCAUGACGAAACGAUACCGAGAUACUUGACUCGCCGAAAAAUCGGCCGAGACGUCACCGCGACGGAUUGACUCGGCCGAGUCACACCGAGUCACUCCGAGUUAUCCCGAGUCAAGAUGAGAAAUCAGUCGAGUUACACCGUGACGGAUUGACUCGGCCAUUUCUUUUGCUAUUUUUUAUUAUUUUUGUUUAGCAUACUAUUUUUAUAUUAUUAACAAUUUUUAGAAUAUUAAAUACUUUAAAAUUUGCGUUUCACCGAAACCGCAACCGAUAUGCCGAAACCGAUGUGGAACGUUCCGGGCCGCGACCGUGACCGUGACCGCGACUUUGAACCACGAUCUUGACUGUAGGUUAGCAUCUGGACUGUAGAUCUUGUAAGGUCCAAUCAUAGAAGAAGUGGUUUAUCACCUCGAUGAAGAUUUGGUCUUUAUAGCUAGUACCUUACACAACCCAAGGAGAAAGCCCAAUGGAAAAUCAUAGGGUUUUACCUAUAAAAACCUAAGUGUUGACAGUGACUGGAGAAAUGUAGCGUUCACUGUAAGUGUUACUUUUCUACCAGGAGAUGCCUGAUAAUGUGCAUUACUGACUUUGAGUGUGUUAUAUGUGCAUUUAUGAAUGUACACAUAAAAUUCCUUUAUUGUGUCAAAUAGUUCUUUAGCUACAAUUUCAGUGAGAAUCCCCUCCCAGACUUGGUGCAGAUGUUGUACAUUUCUUUCUGUGCAUGAUAUAUUUGGUUCAUUAAACUGCAAGACAUCUUAAUGUUUUUUGGCUUCUGAACUCGCAAUAAAUUGGCGUUAUGGUAACGAAUGGUUUAUGAAUCUAUUCAAAUUAAUCAGCAUGUUUUGUUGUGGCUCACAUUCAUAAUUCAACAAGAUACCACUAGGGGUGUCCUGGCAUGUAGCUCACACCAUCAGGGUGACACAGCCGAGCAUUAUUUCUCAAAUUUUGUAGUUAAUGCGAGACUGCUCAAUCUCAAAUGGUUCAAUAUAAUUGAGCAUAAUAUUAAUGUGUGGAAUGGUAUGAUGAAAGUGGUUACUUAGAUUUGUAUUUUUGACUAGUGCACUUUAAGUUUUCAGUCUAUACCUUUUGCUUAUGCUUACAAUUUUCUUCCAGCUUCACAAUGUUCUGACUUCUGGACCUUUACGUUUCUAAAUGUUUAACCAAAAACUGAUGCAUAGAUUGAACUCUUUUUCCUAAUCCUCUUGUUCCACCGUGUAUUUUAGAUCCUUGCACUAAUUCAUAUUUUGCAAGAUCUCUACAUAUUCUUUGCUUAGAAUUUUUUUCUUCCUGAAGCUCAAAAGUUUUGGACAUGAUUUGGUAGGUCAAUGGAUGCAACAUAAAUGAACACUGUAUUACACAGGAAGACAUCCCCAAGGCGUUCCGCCCUGGAAAUUCAAAGAUGUCUCCUUGAGUGAGAUUCACAUUAAAGGCAUCGAACACUGUUCCCCUUUCAUGUGACCAGUCGUAGCAUCCAUGGGAAGGCAUUGGGAGAAUGCAGAACUGACAAAAAUAUCAAGCAAAAGACUAACAUUAUUGUAGGAAGCCAUGUUGUGAAUUUGCUAGAGGGUAGCCAAAAGUGCUUAUUAGCUUCCUGGUUGCUAGGAAUUAGGUAAGUUGGUAUAUUUACAGAAGCCCCUUAUGCACGGCGUUGGGGCAACUUUUCAAAUAUGGCUGCCAAUUAACGGAGGUUGUGUUGGAUGCAUUGAUUGUAUCUCGUUACAUAUUUGUUUGGCAUGUGCUUAAUGUCGUGCAAGUUAUCAAAUAAGCAGUCGAUUGACACUUUUUUCUUCAUUUAGCUAAGUCUGUAUCUCAUUGCAUCAUGAUUUAAAAUGACACUUGAUCCUUCAUUUGGAUUGAGUCGAUCGUGAGAUUUAACUCCUUUUUGAAUUUGAAGCUGUCAAUUCUCUAGUUUGCCAUUCUUGAUCAGAAAAAGUAAUAUGAUGAUAUGAAAUAUAACCAGUUGCAUCACUUACGUGGUCAUUAACUCUGACUUUUUUGUCUCAACACUGGUUAAGUCGAGCAAGUAAACUCAAUUGCUAAGAAGUCGCAUGCAUUUAUCUGAUAAAAUUGAAGAUGACAGCUUCGAUCUUUUCUUAUUGUUUUCUGUAGUAAAUUAUACUUCUUUUUAGUUUUAUAAUUUUGAAGAAUACUGUUUAUAAUUAUGUUUACAAUUAUAUUUCUUCAAAAAACUCAAUAGCGCCAGAAACUAAUUAGGAAAAUUCAAUGGGCUUGCAAUGCUUCAGUUUUUCUUCUUGUUUUUGGUUGAAACAUAAAGCAUUCUACUUGAGUUGUGUGAUUUUAUCUUAGGUUUUGGGGUUGAGGGAUAAAAGAGGAAGACUAUUAUAUUUUGGUUUUAAAAAACUUUGUAAACUAAUAGCUACUUGUGUGUAUAUUAUGGCAUCAUUUACAAGAAGUUUUGUGUUAAUACAGUAACAGUAGUAGUAUGCAACUUGCUUAGAUUAAAGCUGGCAAUAGUUCGGUAGAGAACUAAGAUAGUUGCUAAUCUGGAUUUUUAUUAAUUUCAAUGCAAUUGUUCAGUUUUGUUGGUACACUUGCACCAUUAAGAUUAAGUUAAUUUAGUAUUCCUACUUUUCAUGAUUUACUUGUGAAAAGUCAUUCAAAAUAGAAAAUAUGAAACCAUAUAUCAAAUUUCAAGAAUCAUAAGAAUCACAAGGAUUGCCCAAAUUAACAUUUGAGCUAACCUUUACUAAGUUGAUGAACCAUAGAAAAUUAAUUGUAACUUGUUUUUUUUUUGGAUUAAUUUUUCUUACACUAUCCGUGUAUAUACUUACAAACCUAUAUACAUGUCGCAUUAUUUCAAUUUGAAUUUAAAUACUGAAUUUUUGUAUACGUGACCUGCAUCUAAAUGCGUUAAUGUAUACAUUCAUCUAAAUGCAUUAAUGUAUACAUUGACCAUGCGUAAAAGAUGUUAAUGUACAAACGGACAAUUUAUAAAUAUUCCUAUACUUGUCAAGCAUUUACAAUGAUAUAAUGACAGUACUUAUCAGUUUACAAUGAGAUAAGAUACGUUGAAUUUGAACGAAUCUAAAUUAGUAAGUAAUCUAAUCCAAAUCUGAAUUGACCACUAAUUUGAAAAUUCAAAAGAUAUUUACAAAUGUCUUUAACUCAGUCCAACAAGAGUACGGUAGAGCAAAUAGAAUGGUGGAAUGAUCCACCUGAUUUUGAACCACUAAACUUGCUGGAUAAUUCAUUUGCAAGUUGAUGCAUCAAAUCCUGCUUUGAUGUCAUAAAGAAACCAAGAAAAGAAAAAAGGUUCAAUAGCAGUAUAGCACUCGUGGGAUUGCUGUUUGAAAUUUAAGUUAGAUUAGUAUUGCAAUUGUCAAAAGUCAAUUUGGGUAGCAAAACCUCAGAGGAAAUGAUUUCGUGUCCUUUUUUGUUUGUUCCAAAUUAAUCUUAAACGAGAGGUUCUGUUGUUAACUUGUUAAGGAUGUGAUCAUGCAUCGUGGCUCCAUAGUCAUCUAGAGGAAGAAGUGAUACAAAUUAUCAAAAGGGGUAAUUAAAAUUCAAGCUUUUUCUUGUGUUUCAGGCUUUGAAAAUUUUACCCUAAUGAUAAUAAUUAGGCAAUAAGAAAAGCUAAUACAGUAAUUAACAGCAAAGUCAAAUGCUGUAACGUGCUUUAUUGGCAACCCUUUGGAUUUUAUCAGUUCAAAACCAAUUACAUUUGGCAUGACAGGAUUUGUAUACUAGUUCUUAAUUUAUACACCCUCAAUUAUGGCCAAAGAAGAAAAAGGUGUACACUUCAAUAUUUGGUCAAAAAAUGGCCAACCUUAGUAAUUGCUAAAUGCCAACAGCCUCUUGGGUUGUUGGUACCACCGUCUUGAUGGGAUGAACCCUUGUCUUCCACCGUGCCACUUAAUUAUGGCUGUCACUUAAUUGAGCUUCCUCCGAUGGGAAAAUCCUGACAAAAAAAAGAGUAAUUGCUAAAUGUCUAAACUAGAUGUGCCUCUGAAUUUUUGUUCUUCAAAUAUUUCUGCUGAAUCAGAUAUUCAAUGCAAAAAAUCACCCAUCAAGAUCAUCUUUAAAUACAUCCCCCAUAUUUGAUCUCUUGCAAACAUACUUCUUUUAAUAUAAAUUUUAGUAACUAACUACAAAAAAGUAUCCUUUGUCUGCCCUAGCCGAAAAAACACAUAGUCUCCUUAAAUGUUAUUAUCAACCUGAUUAAACAAUUAUUUUUGUAUUUAAAUAAUUUCCUUAUUCAAGAUUUAUAGGUUUUAUAUAUUUCAGCCAUAAAAUAGGUAUUGAUGAUUUCAGAAAUUUGAAGUUUCUCAUAAUAUCACUUAACACCUCUAAAGUUUAAAAUAUUUUCAUAAAUUAUUAUUGCUAAUUUAUUAUAAGUUUUACAUUAAACUUGAAAGUUCGUGCAUAUACUCUCAUAGCUUAUAGGUUUUGAGCGUCGAGCACUUUUGAAAGAAAGGAUUGCUUUACAGGUACGUAAUCCAAAAACAAUAGGAUUUGAAACUUAGAAAGUUGAUAAGAAGGUAUUAUAUAAUUAUAAGGUACCUGUCAUGGUGCGAUACGUUGCUCUACUGUCCAUCAUGUUCAACCAAAUAAAUAAAGUAAUUCUAUCAUGUUUAGCAAGGGCGGAACUAAGGCGAUGGGGAGUGGCCUCGUCCCCCAAGUUUUAUAAAAUUUAAUUUUUUUCCUGUAAAAUUAAAAUUUAUAAAAAUACUUUUUAUAAAUUUAAGCUCUCACCCUUGCAAAAACCUAAAACAUUUUAGUUUACAUGUUAAAGUUUAGGUAUCCUAAAGGUUGCCCCCUCAAAUUAUAUUUUCUGGUUUUGUCUAUAACGUUUAGUACCUACUAGACAAAUUAAUAAUUCUAUUUUUUCAUUGUCAAACCACCUAUCUCAAAAUUAACAAAAUAAAAACUCUUUCACUUUCACUCAUGUGGACCACAUUGAAUAUAUUCCGUCAUAAAGAAGGCAUGAGGGUCGUCCACAAGUGCAGGUCCAAUUGUACAUCUGCAAUACACGACAUGGAAUGUACCUAUCUUUGAAUUCCAUAACCGUAGUUAGAUUUUAUAAAACAAAUCUUCGAUAAGAAGAAAAUCAUGUGUACACGCACAUGUGUAAAGAAGUGAUAAACCAUUGGAGUUUACCUAGUGAUCAAGAGAAUACUCUUAGAAUCUUUUUCCACUGUCAAGUUCAGGAUUCAAAUUUCAUGCUUGGUAGUUGGAGGUAGGAAGUAUGUAAAGAAGUGAUAUAUUUUGAUAAUAGGUACUGUGGAUUUUGAUUGCAAGUUAUUCAAGAAAAACUUUUAGAAUAUUUCCUAGACAUGUUUCUCAUUUACCUGUUUACAUUGUAUAGAUUACAUCACUAAAAUGUAUUUUUCUACAAAUUCUCCCAUCCAAAUAGAUCCAGUUCUUGAUUUUUUCAAAACUAAACAAAAAUUUGUAUUGCUCAGAAUCGAUGAUGGAAGAAGCUUGAGUAAUAGAAGAACAAGUGGAGAAUGGAAACAAGGGUAGAAAUGAAAGUUUGAACAUCAUUGAAUGGUCAUAGACUGAAAGCUGUCGUGGCUUAAAUUUGAAGUCCCGGGAGGGGAAAGGAGAAUUUGAAGUUCAUGAAUUGAGAUCUUGAUUUCAAAUCUCUCUAUUUUUCCCGCUUUUACGGCCCCACAAAUUUUCCCUGCUGAAGAAAAAAAGAGAGGGGAUUAGUGUUUGUAAGCCUAAACAUUUAUUAUGCUUGUCUUCAAGCACUUUGAUAUAUAUGAACAUCGUACUCAACGAUUGCCAUCGAAGAUUCCCCUCAGCCAAUAAGUACAGAAAUGAGUGAUCGUCUUUUUCUGCGUUUUAGGUGCCUUUCUAUUUCCAUUUCCCACUCGGCCAAUAAGAAUAGAAAUGAGUGAUCAUCUUUUUCAGAGCUUUAGUUGCCUUUUGAUUUCCUUCCACGAUAGUUGGGACCUCUUGGCUACAACCUUACAAAGGAACCUUGUGAAGGGGAAGAAAAAAACAGGAAAGGAACCUUGUGAAGCCCUAGUCGUUUCUGCUACUGCUUUUAUUCUCGCACGAUAUUUAUUCUCUUGGUCGAGAACGUAGCAAUAGAUACUGUUCAAUUAUGUCUCAGCAUAAGAGGAUAAUUUUAGAAACCUCCUCUAAGGUUUCUGACAAUUUUAUUUAGCACCCUCAAAUUUUAAAAAUUUUCACUUGUCUCUCUAACUAUAAGUUUUUUUGUAUCAUUUACGACCAUUUUAAAAUAUAAUAUUAAAAAUUUAUUUUGGGGUGAGAGAAUACAAUUUCAUUCCAAACUUGCCCAUUUUCUUGUGAUUUCUUGAUUGUCAAAAUACACCAAAUUUUUUCUCUUAAUUUUUGUAAAUUGAUCGAUAAAAAUUUAAAAAUUGAUAACAAUAUCAGAAAAUUCUUUAAUAGUUUUUGCAUCAUUGUUUUGAACAAGAAAUGUUAAAUUACUUAAAAUUAUGAAUAAUUUACAAUACUCUUAAAAAUAACUUGAAAUAAUUUACAGUCACAAUAUUACAACCAUAAUAAUACCAUUUUGUACUAGCUUAAAAAUAAUACAAACAAAUUUUAUAUAUAAGUUUUAGCAUCUUGUAUCUUUUAGUUUUUAAACCAUCAAUUUAGAAAAAAAAAUUAGAAAAUUGAAAAAAAUGUAAAUGAUUUAUGAAACUUCUUAAAUUUACUCAAAACACUUUACAAUAAAAAAAUACACUAUGGGCCCGUUUGGAAUGUGAGUUUUUUGGGUGUUUGUAUAAAAUUUUAGUGUAAAUCACUGUAGAAGUUGUAGAAAAACUUUGUAAGAUGAAAUUUUUUUUCCUUUUCAUUUUCUUUCUUUUUUUUCUUUUUUCUUUUUUUCUUUUUUUUCUUUUUUUUCUUUUUUUUCUUUUUUUUCUUUUUUCUUUUUUUUCUUUCUUUCUUUUUUCUUUUCCUUCCUCCCUUUCCACUUUUUUUCUCUUCCCCUCUGCCUCCCCCGCCACCCCUCCCCUCCCCCUCUCCUCCUCUCCCCUGGCAGUCAAAUUGGAUUAUGAUCACGAUGGAAGAUUAGAAUUAAAAAGAAAGAAAGGAAUAAGAAAUGAUGAUCCCAGCUCCAGGGACAAAAAAGUGAGGGAAGAUUAGUUUGCGGUCAGAGGAAGAAGGAAAUGGGUCCCCAUGCUUUCGCCGGUUUUCGCCGCAUCCGUACUUACGCUCCCCCACCGGCCCACCGCCCGACUGCCAGUGCUUCAGUCAUGUGCACGCGCAACUCCCUUUUUUCUCCUUGGAACUGCCCACCCAUUGUCGCUUCUUUAGGUGGACAUCCCCAUUAAUUCCUUCUACUGCUCUUGCUCUUUAUAUUUUGCCCAUUCCACCCUCCCCCUCCAGAUCGCAGCCCCUCUCCCUCCCCCACUUUCCGAUCUGGUCAUGCGGUUGCGAUCUGGUCGCGCGACCAGAUCGCUGCUAGCGAGAGGGGGAGGGUGCCGGGGGAGGCCGAGGCGAAGAGGGGAAGAGGAGGGAGAAAGAAAAAAAAAAAGAAAAAAAGAAAAAGAGCACCAACAGAUCGGUUAAAGGGGAGGGGAGAGGGGGUAAGGGAGAGAAAAAAAAAAAGUUUGGCCGGAACUGGCCGCCGGAAUAGUGAUUGGCACCGGAAGUGGUGGUGGUGGUGGCCGCCGGCGACGGAGUAUGUGGUGGGUUGGGUUGGGGAGGAAAAAGAAGAAAAGUUGAAGGGAAAGUUUUUUUGUGUAUUUUUGAAGUGUGUAGGUUAAAAACUUUGAUAAGUUUUUUGGGUUCCUGUAGCAAAAGUUGUUAAAAAACUAGUAUUAUAUAAACUUGGUAAAAACUUGAGGUUCCAAACAGGCCCUAUAUUCUGUACAAUAAGAAUAAGUCUUCAAACUUUUUGUUUUUAUUUGUUAUUAAUAUACUCAAGUUUUUGUAAUAAAAAAUAAGAUAAUAAAACUGCAAAUUUGGAACGAGAUUAUAUUUACUCUCUCAAAAUGAAUUUUUUAAUAUUAUAUUUUCAAAUGGAUUGUAAAUGAUACAAAAAAAAUUUAAAGUAAGAGAGGCAAGUGAGAUUUUUCAAAAUUCAAAGGUGCUAAGUGAAAUUGUCAAGGUUUCUAAAAUUAUCCCCAAUAUUAAUAAGGAAUACUUGGUACUGCAAAAGAAGCAAUUAAGUAUACCUUUUAUGCAAUUAACCUACAGCAGUUUUGUUUUUUUUUUUUUUUUUGUGCCUUGAAUUUUCUUUUUUUUAUAAUCAACAGAGAUAUCCACAUUUUCUUGAAAACCUUGAAGCCAUUUCAAUGCAUAUGGUGGAUGAGAAAGGAUACACCAAUUGGUUCAGUGAUACAAUAGUAUGUACCUACAGUUGUCAACAGACAUACAAUUGGUUCGGAUUAACUCUACUUGCACUUUUAAACUUGUAUCACUUUUUCACUUUGCACCAUGAACUUCAAUUUUGAACACUUUACACCCUAAACUCUUAAUUUCAAGCACUUUGUACCCUAAAUUCUUAAAUUUAUUUCAUUUAAUUUCAAUCAAUUAUUAUAUUCAUAAAAUUAAUGAGAUAAAGGGAGGUAAAAAUUAAUGUCAAUGUACUUUUGUUAUUAUAUUCUUAAAUUUGUUAUUGUAGUUUAUCAUGAUUUUCUUCAGGAAAAGACUUAAACCCACCUGCAAAGACUUAAACCCCACCUGCACUAGGGUACAACAAACAAAGGUGAGUUGGAUAUACUUCCGUAUGACUUCAGAACUCAUUUACACAAUGCGAUUUUGAUGCAGCAAUAAGAAAUUAUAUCAAACUUGAAAUCAGUCAUCAUUUGGGGUUCUAUAAAUACCAUCAUCCCUGUCAGUUAUGGACACAUUCCUGCCUAGCUACUUUUAGUUUCAGCCAAACUACAUAUUCAUACCUAGCUCAACUGAAAUUAAAGUUUCCAUGGCAUACCAGAGCGCCUACAAUAUGAAUUACCAGAUACUACUAUGCUUGAUACUCUUCUCCCUAGUCCUUCUCCUGCCACUGCCAUCCCAUUCUGCUGAUCCAAGCCCAUUGCAAGAUUUCUGCGUUGCAGAUCUUGAUUCCUCUUUAUACAUUAAUGGCUUUCCGUGCAAAAACCCUGAUAACGUAUCUUCACAAGACUUCUUCGCCAAUGGGUUCCAACAAAGUCCAGGAGAAUUCAAUAUUUUUGACGUCAAUGUCACUCGUCAAGAUGUGCAUCGAUUUCCAGGACUCAACACUCUAGGGCUGUCAAUGAACCGAGUGGUUUUGAAGCCUGGAGGGCUGAAUGCACCCCACGUCCACCCUCUUGCAUCCGAGCUGGCUCUAGUCAUGGAUGGAAAAAUAUUUGUAGGCUGGGUGACAACCGGAAACGUUUUCUACUGGAAAAUUUUGACUUCAGGAGAGUUGUUUGUGAUUCCGCCUGGGCUAGUGCACUUCCAACUGAAUAUUGGACACGAGAACGCACGCUUCUUCGCCUCGUUCAACAGUCAAAAUCCAGGGAUUCAGUUCGCCCCCCUUGCUCUUUUUAACUCCACGCCUUCGAUUCCUGAUCUCGUGUUGAGUAAAGCAUUUCAAGUAAAUCAAAGUAUCAUUGAGCUCAUUAAGUCUAGGUUUGCAACUGUGUCGACUGUGUCGACCGUGCUUAAGUCAUCUUACUAACGUCCAAUUCCCGGGUGUUGUUCAUUAUUGUUGGCAUACUAAAUAAUAAAAACUUCUAUAUUAUUGUUUAAUUGUAUUUUGGUCAAGUUAAUUUUUAGUAGUUUUAUUGGCAUCAAAUUGGGAUAGUGUUACGAUUUAGAAACUAGUAUUGUAUUAAGUAAUUUCUUAUGGUUGUCAGUAGUCAUGAUAUGUAUUUAGUUGGAACAAUAAAAGUUUGAGUCUUGUUAUUGAUAUUAGUCCUCUUCAUGUAAAUUAGCCUCCAUAUAUAUAUAUAUAUUGGUUUUGUGAAAGUUAUCUCCUAUAAUUUUUCUUGGGUAUAAUUAUUAGGCUCUACAUCUGGUAUCGAAUCCUAUUUUCAUGAAAUUAAUCUUUGGGUGAGUUGUCAGAGUUCGGACACAAGAUUUGCCGGGACUGUUCAAUUGAUCACAUAAUACAGAUUUUGUAUAUAGUAGUGAGUAGGGUCGAAUCCACAGGGACUGGAGAGAAAUUUCUUUCUUUCCAAGUCAAUAGAACAAAAUUGGGAGAUAUUCAAUGGAAUGAAAGUGAAAAUAAAAUAAAUAAAAUUUAAAAGCUAACUCACCAAGUGCAAUUUACUAAAACUAAUAAUUAAUAAAAUUCUACUCAAAGGAUCAACUACUCAGGUACGGUCCAAUUAAAUGAUCAUCGAUGCAAAGAUAUUUCAUCCAUUCAUCACUAGGUUGGUUAUAGUUAUCAACAAACUCUGACAACCAGUUCUUCUUUACUUUUUCGACAGUCAAGGUACGACCAUUGACUGCUUCUCUAACCAGAUAAUAACCCUAGAUACGACCGUAGGAAUUUAAUUACCCAAUUGCAUUAAAGUUAGAAGAACCCAACCCUAACUAAUAAACACGCUAAGAGGGUUUAUUUAAACUAGAUCUUACGUUUCCCCAACAUAAAGCCAAUUAUGGUGGUUGUCACUAGGUAUCAACUAAACGAACAAUUACGAAUUCAAUUUAGUUAAUGUGACAGUAGGCUAAUAAAUUAAAUCAAAUACCCGGCCGUUGAUGUUCAAUUAAUAAAAUACCCAUGAACAAUUAAUUCAGGAAACGCACGAAUAGCAACAAAUUAGAAGAAAUAAUGAAGAUUCGAUUAGAUCUCACAAAUAUUAUGGACCGCGCUUUCGCGUCAACCUUUGGGUAGAGGAGAGAAUUAGCCGCUCCUCAUCAUGUCAAGCUCGUGUGAUUUGAUUAAUAUCAUCCACACAAUUGCCCAGAAAUUAAUUGUCGAGGAAUUGGGGAAGGUGAAUUAAUCGAAAUAAUAACAAAGGGAAACCUGGCUUCGUCUUCGUAUUGGAGCCGCAAUUACAAAGCAAAAGGCUUUUCUAAUUGCUGCCGAGAAGAAAAAGGGAAAAAGCGUCUGACGGUGAAAAGAAAACAAAAGCUAGCCUAAUUGAUUGCUACCCAAAAAGAAAAGCAAAACGUCUGACAGAUCUCGCAAAAGAAAACUAAAACUAAGGUAUUGAUAUCACGUGAAUCUCGCUUCUUCUUAUUUGUAGCGCUGCCAGUAGUAAAGCAUUAGGAACAAGGCUUUUUGUCCCAAGGCUCUGAUCUCACGCAUCUAGUCCACGUAGACCGGGUUUCUUAAUUGGGUCUCCUGCUAUUGGUCCCACGGAUCCGGCUUUUCGGCAACAUCUACCUUUUCUGGCGUGGGCACGCCCUGAGAUGAAGGGUCUUCUGGAAAUUUGCCUCAAGAAAUUACUUUUAACGCCAGUCAUCUAUAACUCAUACAAAUAUGAAAUAUGAGCAAAAUCUCAAUACUUAGCACAAUAAGUAGCCAAAAUUUGGAUAAAAUAACAGUGCAAAAUAUGCCAAAUAACUGCUCUAUCAAAUCCCCCCACACCUAGACAAUGCUUGCCCUCAAGCAUUUCGGAGCUCAGAAGUACAACCAAGAGAGCAGAGGUCAUGCAGUAAUUUAUACUAACACAGGCACCCCGCGACCCCGACAAGGUCGUCGAAAUGAGAAUGUACUGGACAGGCAAUUUAACUACAGAAUGUGCUCAGUAAGACUCAUCAGUAUCAAGAGAAUGUAUAAAUACUGGGAACUCUCAAAUCAACAUCGCGGAAUGCCAUUACCAUAGGCUUGCACAUUUAUCAAAUCUCCAUCACUCAAAAUUGAACUAGAUACACUAAUCAAAGAGACUUUCAUAGGGUUGUAAUAGGGUUGGGCAAAAGGUGGGAUAAAUGGUACAGGUAAGGUGUAAUGUAUCAAGAAGAUGCCCGAUAUUCACUUCCCAACCACAAAGCUUCACCAGGGAAUUUCACAAGCAAGGCAUUUCCAUUUGCUAUACCUACUGUGCAAGGGAUGACUUUCACUUUUUUUUUUUUUUUUUUUAGGGAAACCUUUGCAAGGCGUGGGCAUGCCUUGAGAGCCAGAGUCGGCUGUUCACCAUUUUGCUAACAAUGUCCCCCCCCUUUUUUUUGAUUUUUUUUUCUUUUGCUUUGCUUCUGAUCCCAGAUGCACAGAAACAACACCAUACAACAUCAAAUCUGCCAACCAACACUUGCUACCAUUGAUUCCCUCGCCUUGAAUAAGCAAUGAGUUUCAGGCAUCUCUUAACAACACAAGGAAGUCUAAGAAAGGUCUCGGGGUUUCAAACAUGGUUGACAAACAAAAAGAUGGAUAAAGGCUCAAAUUGGUUCACUAUUGGGAGAUAAGAUGAGGGUGUGGUUUGUAGAUAGCUAAAGAAGGUUAAAUCCUAAAUGCCCUUAUCAUUUCAAAUGCAUCUAAUUCAACAAAAUGUGGUCUCGACAUGUAUAAAAUAGCAAGUUCUAGAAUGCCAAUACCAUGUGUGAUACCCACUCAAUCAAACAAAACUAGAGCAAACAAGAAUAAUAUGCUCAUAUAUGGCUCAAAAGCUCUCAAAAGUUUCAAGAACGGGUAAAAUCCAGCAUAUUCAACAUCUCUUAACAACACUGUCAAGGGAAAACAAAAUGCACAGCUAGUAUAUUUAACCACACACCCAUGCACUGUGAUUGUAUAAUUCAUCAUAGCAAACAGAAAGUCAACUAACUACCCCUUUUUUUUCUCCAUUUUUUCUUCUUCUUUUUUUCUUUUCUUUUUUUUUCAUUUCUUAUUGUUCCCAUUUUUUUUUUUUUUGAAUAAAAGGAAACAAUGGAAGUAGACAGAAAUAAUAGCAACCAUCCCCCCCCACACCUAAAAUCGACAUUGUUCUCAAUGUAUAAAUGACAAAUGAAGUAGUAGGUGAUAAGGAGAGAAACUUUCCUGACCACUGAGAGGGAGCACCGAGACACUAAGGUGGAGGAGGAUGAGGCGGGGUGAAUCCGAUGUGAGCGAAGAAGGUCGCUUGAUUCUCUGCCUGAAUACGGGCGAAGACCUGUAGCGCUGCAAGACGGCCAUCUAAUCUCGCCACCUGGGUGCCUAGCUCAUCGAAGGAAUCCUGGAGGUUUUGGUAACGGGAUUCCCAAACGGGAGGAGUCUGAUAGGAGAACGGACCCGCCUGAUCCAGAUGGGGUGGAAACCCAGUGGAGGAAACAGUCAGAGGCACCCGGGGCCGUGGCUCGCCCUCGCCAGGGGGUGUCAUCUGGUAUACAUCUUCCACUUUGAAAAUGACCCCCAUCCUCUCUAAGCUACGUAGAUCCAAUGGCUCAAUUUCCCGGGCAAGAGUGAACUGGUGCUCCUGAUCGAGGUCAAGCAAUCCCAAUUGAACGGCUAAGUGAGUAAUGAGUGAACCCAUAAUCAUCGGCUUAUGCCGCUUCUGAACGACGGACUGCAUUUGAGUGGCAGCCCAACACCCAAAAUUAACCUGCACCUUGUUGCGCAUGCACCAAAGAAAGUAGAACUCCGCCUUGGUAAGGGUGCCGGAGGAGUCCUUUCGGCCCCAGAAGUUAUAAGCCAAAAAUCUGUGAAUAACCUUUAAGACCAGGUCCUUAAGAUAAGAGGCCUUAGAUUGACUCGGAUCAUAGAGUUGGCGGUUUGUGGACCAUUCCCUCUAUAUGCCAAUGUAUUCACUAGAAAAGAGCCGGGUGUAAUCACAGGCACUGUUGAUGUACGUCCCUGAGGAAAGAGUAUCCUCAAUGACAAACCCCAAAGUCAAAUUGAAGGCAUUAAUGGACAUAUCCUGCGGGGUACCCCUUAAUCUAAAUGUAAUUACCCCUGGCUCAUCCAAAGUGAUGAAUUCGUUUGUCUUGAACUCAAAGAUGGAGUAGAAUUCAUAACACAACUCCUCAAAUGUAGGGUAGUCAAUGGUCAAGUAUCUUUGCCAACCAAUUGCCGAGAACAACUGUUCAACCUCUCGGGCAAUCUGCAAAUGAUCUAGGGUGGGGGCAUGGAAACACUUACAAGGGGCAAAAGGACGCGGCAAUAAGCUAGUUAAUCGGUCCUUUUGUGCCUGUGUAAGGUCAGUAAUAGGCUCCCCCCAUUCCCUAGGAGAUAUAGUGGGCUUGUUGAGACCCAACCGGGACCGACUAGGAGGUUGGAGUGGGGCUCGCCUCUAAUGAGGUUGGGACCCCGAUGGCCCAGCAGUUGUUGCCUUUUUCGGAGGCAUUCGGAGGCCACAGACAUGGUGUAAUCAGCACAGAAACAGCCAGUCAACAAACAAAGGGAGAUAGGGGACCACAGGCGAUAAGUGAUGCUCAACAGUCAAUAUUCCAGCACAGAGAGACACAAAUAUUCCCCCCGAAACAACGACAAGCUGACAAACACCAAAAAUACCCCACUCGCGUCACGUGCCCGACACAAAUCGAGAGAACCAAUUCAACACCUUACACAAGAAGUUAUCAGGCAAUUAUGUCCAGCAAAGGGGAAACCACUAGCCACGUGUAUCACUUUAGAUCUCCAGAGUCCAAAGAUGUCCCCAAGACAAAUAAUCAAUUAAAGACAAAUAUGCAAUCUCACUCUUUCAGUCAACAGUUAAAUGGUCCCCCGAUAAAACCAAUAAGUAUGUCACCCCGACAGGAGGCAAAUAAUUCAGCAAUAAAAAUUCCAAAUCGAAGUCACCAAUUCAACAAGAGAGGCAAAUAGGGGUACCACUUUUUCUAUCUGCUUCGCUAGAGAAGAAAACGGCAGAGAAACACGGUGGAGAAAGAGAGCUGGUGGGCUGGUCGUGCGCGCGUAAGUAGGAGAAGUCGCGCGCUAGGCGUGCGGAGUUUGGGCGCGCGAUGGAGAGGCGCGCACACUUGGUUGCGCGAUCUGUCUCCGCCUAGGGCUGGUCACGCAGGGUGUGCCUGGGCUCUACUGCUGUCUGCGCGCCCAGGUGCGCGCAAAACUGGGCUCGCCUGUCGCGCGCUGGUACACGCGGAUCUGCUGCGGGCGACUGCGGGUAGCGCGCAGGCAAGGGGGGAGCGCGCGCGCUGAGAGCCUGUUGCUGCCUGGUCGCGUGCGGAACUGAUCUGGGAGUCGAGCGCUGCUCGGGACGGCGCGCAGGUGGGCCGACGAGCUGUGCUGGCGACGGCGGCGACUGGAGGGGCGACGAACAGCGAUAGAGGGAGGCGCGCGGCGGAGGGCGGAGUACAAUGGGCAGGCUCGCGAAGAGAGAGAGAGAGAGAGAGAGAGAGAAAGAGCUGGUGGGGGGGCCGUUAGCGAUGGCGGCACACGGCGGAGGACGGCCAACACAAAAAAAAAAGAAGACGAAAGUGAAAUGGAAACUAAGACAAGAACAAAGGAAAUUUCAGCGGGGAAACUUAGACAGAGGUACUGGGCAAGACCAAACAAAGAAGAAAGCAAAGUGGAAAAGUAGGGUCUUGGUCAAAAACCCUCUUUUUCUUUGACUUUCGUUAUCGGAAUGGUUGGAAGGCGUGGGCACGCCUUGGAGGACCUGGUCUUCUGACCAUCGCAUCCUAAUGAUGCUCAAAAGAAUUUUUUUGUCAAGGCGCGGGCACGCCUUGGGGCUGCCAGUCUCCCACCUGCUCAGGACACCCGGUGCACCCCUUCCAAGGCGUGGGCAUGCCUUAGAACUGCUAGUCUUCUGUCCAUUACCACAAAAACAAUCAAAAUAGUAAAAUAAAACUGAAAAAAUAGCAGAGUAAUGAAGAAUGAUCACAACUAAUACUGUAAUCCUUGGGUUGCCUCCCAAACAGCGCCUUUCUUUAACGUCUUUGGCUAGACAUGGCCAUCAGUUGUUUAGACCUCACCACUUGGAUCAUCAAGGAAUAUAACCUCUACUUGCUCACUAUUAAACCCUUCAUAAUAGGGUUUCAAACGAUGACCAUUGACUACGAACUUUUUCUCUGUUUUCAAACUUUAGAUUUCCGAUUUUGCUUCUCUCCUUAUAAAUUGCCACGUUCUCAUAGGGUUCAUUUCUCAGUUCCUCCAAUUCUUGUAGUUCGAGCUUUCUAUGUCCUCUGGCCUCCAUAAGGUCCAUGUUACACCUCUUAAGCGCCCAGAACGCUCGGUGUUCAAAUUCCACAGGGAGGUGGCAGGGCCUCCCAAAGACUAACCUGUAUGGGGACAUCCCAAUUGGUGUUUUGUACGCGAAGCGGUAAGCCCAGAGAGCAUAUUCCAGCUUCAAACUCCAGUCUUUCCUAUUAGGCCGCACCAUCUUCUCCAGGAUUGACUUAACUUCCCUAUUCGACACUUCGGCCUGACCAUUCGUUUGUGGAUGAUAUGGAGUGGACACUUUAUGGAGCACACCAUACUUACGAAAGAAUGCAGUGAUUGUCUUAUUGCAGAAAUGGGUGCCCCUGUCACUCACUAUAGCUCUUGGCAUUCCAAAACGGACAAAUAUGUUAGAUUUGAUAAAUUCUGCAACCACUCUCGAAUCGUUAGUCCGGGUGGCUUUUGCCUCCACUCAUUUGGAAACAUAAUCGACGGCAAGUAUAAUAUAUAAGAAACCAAAGGACGAGGGGAAAGGACCCAUGAAAUCUAUGCCCCAGACAUCAAAAAUCUCAACAAAUAAUAUGGGGAUUUGACUCAUUUGGUCUCUACGAGAGAUAUUCCCCACUCUUUGACACUUAUCACAAGAUUUGCAGAACAAAAAUGCAUCCUUAAAAAGUGUAGGCUAAUAAAAACUAUUUUCUAACACUUUACGAGCCGUCCGCUUUGGACCAAAAUGUCCUCCACAUGCAAACGAAUGACAGAAAAUCAAAAUAGAAUGAAACUCACCGGCACUUACACACCGUCUAAGUACUUGAUCCGAACAUUGCCUCAACAGGUACGGGUCAUCCCAAAAAUAAUGUUUGGCAUCACUCUUUAGCUUAUCUCUUUUAGCUUUGGACCAACCUGCAGGUAAUUGAUUCGUUACCAAAAAAUUGACAAUGUCAGCAUACCAAGGUACCGACGAAUCAAUGGCUAGUAGUUGCUCUUUAGGGAAUGAUUCUCUCAACGGUAGAUCCUCUUGAUUUGUGAGCAACCGACUCAAAUGAUCAGCCACCAAAUUCUCGGCUCCGCUCUUAUCCCUGAUUUCAAGGUCGAACUCCUGCAGGAGCAAAAUCCACCUUAUAAGCCUCGAUUUUUCAUCCUUCUUCGCCAACAGGUACCGCAAGGCUGUAUGGUCAGAGAAAAUAAUCACUUUUGCACCCAAUAAAUAUGACCUAAAUUUUUCUAGUGCAAAAACAAUGCAAGUAAUUCUUUCUCCGUCGUGGAGUAAUUAAGUUGGGCUCCACUCAAUGCUCUUAAUGCAUAGUAGAUCGCGUGUGCCGCCUUGCCUAUCCUUUGCCCCAGCAUGGCCCUCACGGUAUAGUCACUCGCGUCGCACAUGAAUUCAAACGGAAGGCUCCAAUCUGGGGCUUGAAUGACGAGCGGUGAUGUCAACGAUUCCUUCAAUUUAUCAAAAGCCACCUUGCAUUCAUUUGUGAAAUCAAAUGACACGUCCUUCUGCAGUAACUUGAACAGGGGUGCUCCUAUCUUUGAAAAGUCUUUGAUAAACCUCCUGUAAAAUCCUGCAUGGCCCAAAAACGAACGUAGUUCCCGUACAUAUACGGGGUAAGGUAGAGCAGAAAUAAGGCCCAUUUUAGCUUUAUCUACCUCUAUUCUCUUAGCCGACACAACGUGCCUAAGACAAUGCCGUGAUCUACCAUAAAGUGACAUUUUUCCCAAUUAAGUACCAAAUUCGUCUCUAUGCAUCUUUUUAAAAUUAAAGUAAGAUUGUCAAGGCAUUCCUCAAAACUAUCCCCGUAUACACUAAAGUCAUCCAUGAACACCGCGAUUAUCUUUUCUACAUACUCUGAGAAAAUACUUACCAUGCACCUUUGAAAAGUUGUUGGAGCAUUGCAAAGACCGAAAGGCAUCCUACGGUAAGCAAACGUACCAAAUGGGCAGGUGAACGUGGUCUUCUCCUGGUCCUCCGGUGCUAUCGCGAUCUGGAAGUACCCUGAAAAAUCAUCUAAAAAAUAAUAGUAAACACGACCUGCCAAUCUCUCAAUCGUUUGGUCGAUAAAGGGGGAGAGGAAAAUGGUCCUUUUUUGUCACAGAGUUUAAUCUCCCGUAGUCAAUGUACUGACGCCAACCAGUAGCUUUCCUAACCGGGACCAUAUCACCCUCUUGGUUCUCCUCCACGGUUACUCCCGCUUUCUUCGGGACCACCUGAAUCGGGCUCACCCAGGAACUGUCCGAAAUAGCGAAGAUGAUCCCCACCUCCAGGAGUUUGAGUAUCUCCUUCUUCACAACCUCCAUCAUUAAGGGGUUCAGUCUUCGCUGUGCUUGCCUCACCGGCUUUGCAUCAUCCUCGAGUCUUAUCCGGUGCAUGCACAAGGACGGGUUUAUCCCCUUGAUAUCGGCUAUGCUCCACCCGAUUGCCUCCUUAUGAUCCCUAAGGAGUCGCACCAGUCUUUUCUCCUGACUGGGAGACAGAUGCGCAGAAAUAAUCAUAGGAAGUGUCUCUCUGUCUCCCAGGAAUACAUACUUCAAAUGCUUGGGGAGAGGUUUGAAUUCUAAUUCGGGUGCCUGCACCACCGAUGGCAAUAAUUUUGCGUGAGUUUCUAGCAUAAAAAGGGAAGUGAGCUCAUACCUGGGUUGAAUGGUUGGGAGUGAAUGUAAUGCUUCAAUUACUCGAUGCAACUCGUCCCUUAUGUCCACAUCAGGGGUCACUCCCAACUCAAGAUGCUUUUUUAGGGCCACUUGUAGUGCGUUUUCACCACCUAACUCGAAAGUUUCCUGUACAAGAGCCUCAAUAACACUCAAAGCAAAGACUGAUUUAGAACCUUCUGGAUAUUUCAUCGCCUCAAAAAUAUUAAAAUGCACCAUUUCACCAUCAAAUUCCAUUGAUAAAGUACCAUCGUUCAUAUCUAUCUUAGUCCUGGCAGUGCUAAGAAACGGUCUACCUAACAAAAUAGGCGACGGAUUGAACGACUUUUCAUGUCCCAUGUCCAGGAUAUAAAAGUCUAUAGGAAAAACUAAUUCAUUUGCCUGAACUAAAACAUCCUCAACUAUCCCUUCUAGGUAGGCGUUAGUGCGAUCGGCUAGUUGGAUUAUGAUGGCUGUUUCUUUUAGUGGCCCAAGGUUUAGAGAAGCAAAAAUAGUUUUCGGCAUCACAUUAAUUGACGCCCCCAAAUCUAGCAUGGCUCUUGUGAUCGGUGUAUUCCCUAUCUUACAGGGGAUCGUGAACAUAUCUGGAUCUUCACACUUGGGUGGAAGCUUCCUUUAGAGCAUGGCCGACACGUUCUCCCCUACCGCUACUCUUUCAUCCCCUCUCAACUUCCUCUUAUGGGUGCACAAGUCCUUGAGAAAUUUCACGUAUUUCGGUACUUGCUUGAUUGCAUCCAACAAAGGGAUGUUGACCUCUACUUUUCUGAACACGUCCAGGAUCUCUUUCUCCUUUUCCGCCUUCUUCGCCUUCUCUAACCUGCAAGGAAAAGGGGGUAAAUUAGAUUUAAUAGGCACCGAUUGAGUAAGAGUUACCUCAGGAUUGACACGGAUGUGUCAUUCCUCUUCCAUCUCCUUCUCGAUUUCAUCUUCACUCUUACUUUUCAAGUUCGUGGCUUUGGACCCUUCCACUUCUCUACCAAUCCUCAGUGUCAUGGCACUAACAUUCUUGGGGUUUGCCUCGGGCUGCGAUGGUAAUUUUCCAAAAACUUGGGACUCCAAGCGAUUAAUCGCGGUUGCCAUAUGGCUUAUCUGGUUCUCUAGGUUUUUCAUACCCGCUCUAGUCUCCUGUUGGAACUGAGUGGUGCUCAUGGCUAAGCUCUUGACGAUUUCCUCCAAAGAGCUUCCUGAGUUAGAUGACGAAGGUUGUGGCUUUGGUUGCCACGGUUGUUGGAAUCCCGGUGGGCAAUUUGAAAAUGAAUUUUGUGGCCUAUUCCCGUAGCUGAAAUUGGGGUGGUCCCUCCAACCCGGAUUGUACGUGUUGGAGUAUGGGUCGUACUGCCUGCGAGGCGCGGGCGCGCCUCCAGCCAUGUUCACUUGUUCAGCCCCAUCCUCUUGCAACAAGGGGCAUGAGUCAGUGGGAUGGCCCACAUUUGUGCAAAUUCCACAGAUCUUUGCUUGUUGCACGUUCCCCACGGCUAAUUGCCGCAUGAAAGACGUUAACUCAGCUGAAUGGACGACGUCUCUACCUCAUUAACCCUACGGGUAGGGUUACUUUCACGAAAACCAAACUGUUGGGAAUUUUCCGCCAUCGAUUCAAUAACUAGCCAUGCUUCCCUUGGUGUCUUGUUCACCAAUGCUCCCCCACUCGCAGCAUCAAUGAUACUCCUAUUCGACGACUGUAGUCCCUCAUAGAAAUAUUGGAUCAACAGUUGGUCACUAAUCUGAUGCUGUAGGCAUCUAGUGCACAACUUAUUGAACCUCUCCCAAUAGUCGUAUAGGGAUUCUCCAGGGUACUGCUUAAUGCCGCAUAUCUCUUUUCUUAGACUUGCAGCUCGGGACGCAGGGAAAAACUUUUCUAAGAAUUUUUUUUUGAGUUGGUCCCAUGUGAUGAUACUACCUGCAGGUAGAUAGUACAAUCAAUCAUUCGCUGCAUCCUUAAGAAAGAAGGGGAAGGCUCUGAGUUUAAUCUGCUCCUCAGUAAUGCCUGGAGGCUUCAUAAUGGAGCAUACCAUGUCGAACUCUUGAAUGUGUUUAUGGGGCUCCUCACCCGAGAGGCCAUGGAAUGUGGGUAGGAGGUGAAUUAGCCCCGACUUCAGUUCGAAUGAGGUAUUUUCAGCCAAUAUUGGAAAUGUAAUGCACAAGGGCUGCUGGGGCAAUUCUGGAGCAGCCAACUCCCUUAGUGUCCUUGCAUUCGCCAUAAGGAUGUCCUCUUGGCCUUGGUCACUUAAACUAUCACCACUUGAAUCUGAUGAUUCGAUCUCUGAAUCUAGUUCCUGAGAAGCUAUGCUAGACCGCUCCUCUCUGAGUUGUCUAGUCUUUUUUCUAGUUCGGCGUUCAGUCUUCUCUACCUCUGGAUCAAAAAUCAAUUCACCUGUGCGAGAAGAACGAGGCAUAAACUAGAAAAAUGCCAGACAAAUCCAAAUAAAACAACUUAGAAGGAAACAAAAUUAACCAAAACACCGCUUCCCGGCAACGGCGCCAAAAAUUGACAGGUGCCGAACCUGUGUAAUAAUAAUUACUAAAAAGUCCUAAUUACCACCACAAUUAAUUAUAGAACAAAUCCAAGUACUGGAGCAGGGACCCUAGGUGUGCAAUGGGUUACUUGAUUCACCCUGUUCCCGAAGAGUUUGUUUGAUCCGAUAUACCAGAUUUGUCUAUACAAAUAUUAAUUUUGCGUACAAUGGCAAGUAGGGUCGAUUCAACAGGGAGCGGGUAGGAAAUUAUUUCUUUCCAAGUCAAUAGAAUAAAAUUGGGGGAUUUUUAAUGGGAGGCAAAUAAAAAAUAAGAAUAAAAAUAAAGCAAACUAAAUUCAAAACUAAUUCACAAAGCACAAGUUACUAAAAGUAGCAAUUAAUAAAAUUCUACCCAAAGGAUCAACUGCUCAGGCACGGUCCAAUUAAAUGAUCAUCGAUGCAAAGAUAUUUCAUCCAUUCAUCAUUAGGUUGGUUAUAGUUAUCAAUAAGCUCUGACAACCAGUUCUUCCUUACUUUUUCGACAGUCAAGGUACGACCAUUGACUGCUUUUCUAACCAGAUAACAACUUAGGUAUGACCGUAGGAAUUUAAUUAUCCAAUUGCAUUAAAGUUAGAAGAACUUAACCCUAACUAAUAAACACGCUAAGAGGGUUUAUUUAAACUAGAUCUUACGUUUCCCCAACAUAAAGUCAAUUAUGGUGGUUGUCAUUAGGUAUCAACUAAACGAACAAUUACGGAUUCAAUUUAGUUAAUGUGACAGUAGGCUAUUAAAUUAAAUCAAAUACCCGGCCGUUGAUAUUCAAUUAAUAAAAUACUCAUGAAUAAUUAAUUCAGGAAACGCACGAAUAGCAACAAAUUAGAAGAAAUAAUGAAGAUUCGAUUAGAUCUCACAGAUAUUAUAGACCACGCCUUCACGUCAACCUUUGGGUAGAGGAGAGAAUUAGCCACUCCUCAUCAUGUUAAUCUCGUGUGAUUUGAUUAAUAUCAUCCACACAAUUGCCCAGAAAUUAAUUGUCGAGGAAUUGGGGAAGGUGAAUUAAUCGAAAUAAUAACAAAGGGAAACCUGGCUUCGUCUUCAUAUUGGAGCCGCAAUUACAAAGCAAAAGGCUAUUCUAAUUGCUGUCGAGAAGAAAAAGGGAAAAAGCGUCUGACAGUGAAAAGAAACAAAAGCUAGCCUAAUUGAUUGCUACCCAAAAAGAAAAGCAAAACGUCUGACAUAUCUCGCAAAAGAAAACUAAAACUAAGGUAUUGAUAUCACGUGAAUCUCGCUUCUUCUUAUUUGUAGCGCCGCCAGUAGUAAAGCAUUAGGAACAAGGCUUUUUGUCCCAGGGCUCUGAUCUCACGCAUCUGGUCCACGUAGACCGGGUUUCUUAAUUAGGUCUCCUGCUAUUGGUCCCGCGGAUCCGGCUUUUUGGCAACAUCUACCUUUUCUGGCGUGGGCACGCCCUGAAAUGAAGGGUCUUCUGAAAAUUUGCCUCAAGAGAUUACUUUUAACGCCAGUCAUCUAUAACUUAUACAAAUAUGAAAUAUGAGCAAAACCUCAAUACUUAGCACAGUAAGUAGCCAAAAUUAUGACAAAAUAACAGUGUAAAAUGUGCCAAAUAACUGCUCUAUCAGUAUUUAUUUGGAACAAUAAAAGCUUGAGUCUUGUUAUUGAUAUUAGUCCUCUUCAUGUAAAUUAGCCUCUAUAUAUAUAUAUAUAUAUAUAUAUAUAUAUUGGUUUUGUGAAAGUUAUCUCCUAUAAUUUUUCUUGGGUAUAAUUAUUAGGCUCUACAUCUGGUAUCGAAUCCUAUUUUCAUGAAAUUAAUCUUUGGGUGAGUUGUUAGAGUUCGGACACAAGAUUUGCCGGGACUGUUCAAUUGAUCACAUAAGGCCAUUAUGUUGGUUUUGGAGUAUUUAAUUGGUCAAAAUUUGGCCAUAAAAUUGGUGUGAAAAUUAUGAACUUGAUUGUGGAUAUUGCUAAUGGUGACAAUUUUUUACAUGGUACGUAAACAAAACACAAAAUCCUAAAUGAAACAUGACACGGGAUAAUUUAUGUCAAAAAUGGAUCCACACGAACAUGAUGAUGCACAAAUAGAAUGGGUUGUAUUGGGCCAAUCCGUUGGUUGAUAUGACUUGCAUGUUUUUGACACAUUAAGAAUUUUGAAAAAAUGUUACUCACUUCCCACCUAGCACUACUCUUAAAAUAAAUGGUUUUGUAUUAAAUUUUAUAGUUUAAGAACUAAAAUAAUAUAAUCAACCUCCUAUAAGAAUACAUAAACAACACAUAAAUCGAGACUCUACAAAUUCACAUAUGCAACUGUUAUGAUUUUAAUUUUUUGCUUCCUUCUUUUAAUAUUCUUAUUUUCUCAAAUUGACAAGCAUAAACAACCUCUAUGAUUUUAACUUUUCACUUCCAGCCUUCACUCUUCAAAUUGAUCGAAACUUACCUUUGGAUCAAAUAUUGCUCAAUUUUUCUUCCUUUCUUGUGAUUAAAUAUCUUUUCUAGGUAAUCUUUAAUAUUUCACAAAUUUUCUAUCAUUUUUGCCUAUUUUAUUUGAACAUUUUCUAGUUUAUACUGCUCCUCUAUUUUAUCAUUUUUCCUAUCAUUUUCUUUCUAAAGUUAUUCUUUCCUGUGAAAGAAAAAUAAAAUAGGCUUUUUUUGUAUAUUACUAAUGAGAUAAUAAUGCAUCCAAAACUUAUACAAGUAAAAAUCCAAUGACAGGCUACAACUAAAAUUGAUUAAGAGAAUAUUACAUAUUUUCUUGAAAGAGAACCAUGUUUUAUUUUUUUGCAAUAUUUCUCCUAUAAUUUUUAUGAAAAAAUUUAAAUGAGUGAAUUGGGUAAAAACAUGAGAUGAACCUGUCCAAAUGCAUGGAGUAUUGCAGCAACAAAUCUUUUUGAAGAUUAAGAAUUCAAAUUUCUAUUAAUGAAAUUUACAAAUGAGAUUAUUAUUGCUGAACUUGAUUCAAUAGAGAGUUUGAUUUAAGGGAAACAAUGUUGGCAUAUUAAAUUAAAGCUAAAAAUUUGAAUUUUCUAUACUAUUAUUUAGUAGUAUUUUGGUCACACAAAUUUUUUUAGUAGUUCUAUAAGAGCUAAGUUCUGGUAGUACAUUCAAGAAUUGGAGGCUCUAGGACAUAGAGGUUCUACGUUCAGAUCUCCGUUCCUCCCCCCCCCCCCAUUUCUUAAAUCCUAUCCCUCCCCUUGAUUAGAAAAAAUUAAAGAAAAAGUUAAAAUAAUUAUUUAGAAAUUGGUACUGUAUUAGAUAAUUAUUGUAGUUAUCAAUACUUGUUUAUCAAAUCAUGUAAUCUAUAAGUAGAGUCAUAUUAUCAUACCCACUUGAGAAGAUUGAAAGUUUAAUAGUCUUGUUCUUGUGGUGUUAUUAAUAUUUUAUCAUUAAUAUCAUUGUUCUUUUCACACAUAUACAUGUAUAUGUGUAAAUUAGCCUCCCAUAUAUAUUGGAUUUGUGGAAUUCAUCUCUCAUAAUGAUUUUUUGGGUAUAAUUGUCACGCCCCAUGCCCAGAACGUAGCACCACCGUGCCCUAGACAAUGCUAAAGGCGUAAGACAACAAAUUUCCUAAGCAACUACAUUCACCUUUAUAUAAACAUUUUAAAUCCGCAAAUACUAGAUCAUCUAUAACAGCAAUUUUGUGUCUUCCAAAAUAAAAGCAAUAAAAGCAAGAUCAAACCUUCUACAUUAUGUACAAAAUUCAAAUCCUAUCAUAAGGUAUCUUAUAUAUAAGUACAAAAGUCAUCCUCUAACCCAAAGUUAUCCCCAUCUCCAUUACAACCCCCAAGAGCUAUCAAGGUCUACUUCAAUGAACUCAUCAUUAACUGCAUAAUUAUAACAAAGGGGUGAGCAAAAUCUCACUCAAUAAGUAGUGCAUGUAUCUCAUUAUUGGCCUGAGCAUGUUACAUACAUAAUAUAUAUUUCAAACGUCAUUAACUUACACAUAUAACUUUAUAAGAACAUGGUUACUAUAAACAUUUCAAUGGCAUAUCAUACAUCACACACACAAAGGAGCUCAAACCAUAAGACAACAAUUGACCCAAGAUAUCCAGUUGUUAACUUAAACUUAACCAGUUAACACAGUUCAUAGUGCUAACCACACAUAGUUAGCCCGUUUCAUAUUGCUCACUACAACACAGAUAGCUCGUUUCAUAUACCAACUACUUGUGAGGAACUAGUCCUGUCAAAAGUCGCUUAUACAAGAGCUCAACAAACAUAAUAUUUCAUUUCACAAAUGACCAUGGCAAGAGUAAUAAUGAAUAUCACAAAUUAUACUUGCUCAUGCCAUUUUAGCAAGCUUUCAAAAUUUAUCAUUCAAAAGAUAAAGGAUACAUGCACCACUUACCUCGAUCCAAUCGAUACCCACGCUAUUUCAAGUAAUCGGAAAAAUAGCUACCUUCCUCACCUAGACAUAAUGAUAAAAUGUUCAAUUACAAUCUUAAAGAUACCAAACUACUCCAAAUUAUCAUAAAAACGAGCCUAAUACUACCCUUAACCACUAAUUCCUAAUAAAAGAUCAUUUCCUCAUCAAAGUAGGACAUGCAUAAAGGUUUAUUUAAAGGGUCACUAACUUCCAAAACUACAGAAAUAGGGCAAGAGAUUUAUAUAGAGUUAAAGCGCUCUGAAUCUAGUUUCCAACGCAACAAACGGCACCUAAAUCCGAAUUUUCUACACCAGGUUAUAUCCAAAGCAUUGAAAUAUGUCUAUACAGAAAAUUCAAUCUGUCCGAGAAUUAUUGCCAAUCCAUCCAAGUAUUUUAGCCAAUCCAUCCGAGGAUUAUAGCCAUGGAUUUCCAGCAAGUUUUCAAGGUAAAAACAAGUUCCAAAUUCAAUAAUCAAGUUCCAUUUCCAUCUCAAGUCAUCUUCCAACCUCCAUAGUUGUCAAAAUCAACAUAUUUCAGCGCCCAAAGUCAUGUAAAUACAUAAAUAAUCUUGAAAAUGAAUUACUAGCUCAAGUCAUUCUUUCCCUCAACAUUUCUCCUUUUUAUAUUGAUGAUAGCCCUAUACCCAUAUGAAAAUAGAGACCAAAACAAACUCCAUAGACCAUAGCCGCCAUGGAAGCUAACCAAGGAUUUGAACCAAAUACUACCCAAUCACCCAACCAAAGAAAACCAAGAUCAUGUUCAGGUUUCAAGAAAAUAUCUUGGUUAGUCGUCAAAGUAGAAUCUCCUAACUCCUCACUCCUUACUUGUGCUUGAUUUGUCAAGAAUCGUCGUUGAUUGUAAGGAAAAAGGAGAGAAAUAAGAAAGGAUUUUGUUGGAGAAGGAAGGAAAAAAGGAAAUGAAGAAGAUGAAGAAAUUUUUUGGUAAAGAUGAAUAGUGAAAUCUCAAUAUCACUUUUAUUCUUUCAAAAUUUCACAUAUUAACACAUUGGUCACUCAACUUAACAUCAUUCACUUUUCACCCCAAAAUAGUAUUUCUUCACACAAAAUUCUCUACAAGACACUUGGGUAUCACAUUCUAAAAGUUUUGACCUCGAAAUUUAACGUACCCCGUUGGUUAAACAAAUGUGAAUACUUAGUUCGCAUUUCCUCUUCGAGUUCCCAAGUGGCUUCACGAGUACUAUGAUUGGACCAUUGAACUUUAACAUAGGGAAUUAUCAUUCUUCUUAGCACUUGAUCUUUGUGACCCACAAUUCGAAUUGGCUUCUCACUAUAAGUUUGAUCCUCUCAUACCAUUAAUGGCUCAUACUCCUGGAUAUAACUUGGAUUAAAUACUUAUUUUCUCAAUUGCAAAACAUGAAAUACAUUGUGAACUCUUGAUAAAGAUGGUGGCAAGGCUAACUUGUAUGCCAAUUCUCCAACUCUAUCCAAAAUUUCAAAAAGCCCAACAUAUCUUGCACUCAAUUUUUCACGUUUCCCAAAUUGCAUGACACCUCUCAUUGGUGAAAUUCUAAGAUAUAAUUUAUCCUCUUCUUGAAACUCUAAUGGUCUUCUUUUCAAAUCGGCCCAACUCUUUUGUCUAUCUUGUGCUGUUUUCAACCUUUCUCUCACUAGUGCCAUCAUCUUGAUUGUAGCUUGUACAAGUUCGGAUCCAGUAAUGAUCCUUUCACCUACCCCAUCCCAAUAUAAGGGCAAUCUACACUUCCUCCCAUAUAGAGCUUCAAAAGCUAGCAUGUCGAUACUACUAUGAUAACUAUUAGUGUAAGAGAACUCAAUUAGCACCAGAGAAUCCUCCCAACUGCCCCCAAAAUCCAUAACAUAUGCUCUAAGAAUGUCCUCCAAGGUUUGAAUUGUACACUCUGAUUGCCCAUCGAUUUGAGGAUGAUAAGCUGAGUUGAGGUUUAACUCGGUUCUUGUGGCUUGUUAGAGACUUUUCCAAAAUUGAGAAGUGAAUCUAGGAUCACGAUCAGAUACAAUACUCACUGGGACACUAUGAUAACGAAUAAUACAAUCCAUACAGAGAUUAGCCAAAGUAUCCAUAGAUGCAGUAGCAACCAUAGGUACAAAAUGAGUUGAUUUUGUCAGUCGAUCAACUAUCACCCAAAUGGUGUCAUUACCUCUCCUAGACCUUGGUAAUCCAACAACGAAAUCCAUUGCUAUAUGCUCCCAUUUCCAUUCCGGUAUUGUCAAAGGCUUUAAUAAUCUAGCAGGUCUUUGAUGUUUGGCCUUUAUUUGUUGACAAACUAAGCAUUUAGACACAUAAUUCGCGAUCUCCCUCUUCAUACCACUCCACCAAUACGACUGCUUUAAGUCUCGGUACAUCUCGGUGUUAUUAGGAUGAAUAGAGGCUUGGAAGAGCGAGCCUCCGCCAUUAUUUAUUUUCGUAACUCUGGAUCUUUAGGCACUACAAGCCGAUUCCACAUCCAUAUACUACCAUCCUUGAGUAGUUGAAAGUCGGGUAAUUCCUCACUUUUAACUUUUUCCUUGAUUUUCGCCAACUCAGUAUCAUCUUUUUGAGUUUCCUUGAUUCUCGAAAUUAAAGAUGGUUAGGCAACUAGAGUUGCGAGCACAUGCGUGAAGGAUUCUACCACCUGUAAAUUCAAUUCCUUCAUUUGUUUGACAUGUGCUGAACCUAUACAAUAAUAAUAAUAAAACCUAACUACCACCAAAAGCAAUCAAUAAUUAAUUCUAGGUACUGGAGCAGGGACUCUAGGCGUGCAAUGAGUUACUUGAUUCACCCUAUUGCUAAAGAGUUUGCUGAAUCCGAUAUACCAGAAUUAAUUAGCUGACUAAAUUUACUAACCAGUAGACAGUGGCAAGCAAGGUCGUUUCCUCAGGGACUGUGGAGAAAUUUGUUUCUUUUUAAGCCAAGACAAACGGGGGGUUUGAGAAUUAGAUGCUAAAGAAUCACUAACUAAACAAAUUAAAUGCGAAAAAUAAUUAAUUGAGAGAAUUAAUUGGAGAAACUCUAGCCAAUGGUACACUUCAGAAAUGGUUCGUGCAACUAAUCAUCGAUUCAAAUAUAAUUCCAACAAUUAUUAAUAGAUUGGUUAUAGUUGUCAUGCACGCGAUAAACAACCAGCAUUUCCUUAAUUUCUCCAUAGUUAAGGUACGACCGUUAAGUAUUUCUCUAACCAAAAAACAGCCCUAGGUACGACCGUAGGAUUUAAUUUCUAGUUUGCAUUAAGAUUUAGAAAAGCCCAAUCUUAACUAACAAACACGCUACGAGGGUUUGUUUAAAUUAGAUCGUAUGUUUUCCUGACAUAAACCCAAUUACGCCAAUUGCUACUGGGAUGGAGGUAAUCAAACAAUUACGGAUUCAACUAUCCUCAAUUAGCAAAUUAACUACGUGAAUAACUAAAUAUUGUGCACUAUUCAAUCAUACACAAUAGCUAUGACAAUUAAAAGCAGAAAACAUAUAAAUACUAAUAAAUGAAGGAAAUAGUUAAAACAAUUUAGAUCUCAUAGUUAUUGUUGAACCAAAUCUUCAAUUGUCUCCUUAACUAGAAGUGGGUGAUUAGUUCAUCCUCAUUGAGAGUAACUCACGCAAUUCCAUUGAAGGAACUUGUGUCAAUGUUUGACAAUAGAAGAACUACUCAGAGGAGAAGAGAGCCAAGCGGCUGCCUUCCUCCCCUUUUCUUAUUCCCUGGCCGAGUAGUAAUCACGCGGGAUCCAGCUUUUGUUCUUCCUAUUUUCUAGCUUUCUAAAAACACAUUGAACUUCCUCCCUCAUAAUCCGUAGUAAAUGAUUCCAAAAAAAUCUCUUACUAUAGGAAAACUAACUUCCCAAAAGAUAGAUACUCAAGCGCUUAAAAGUCUCCUAAACCAACCCAAUUACUAAUUAGAAACUUGGCAGAUAAUAUCAUCUUCCAGUUAUGAUGAUGACUCCCACUUGGAUUAGGAUACUGCCCUGCAUAGAAUCUCGCGCACUCUGGACUUGAUUGAUGUCUUCUCACGCGUCCACACUUACUUGGAGGAAAAUCUUCUACAAACUGCUAUUUCUGCACUUUCCUUCUCCAAUUGGCUAAACAUCCCCUAAACAUAAAAUUCAAACAAAAUAUGUCCAUUAAUGCAAUAUCCAAUCUAAUAGAAAAGGAAAUUAUAACAAAAUUAAUGCUAAAUUAGCGUUCUAUCAUUGUUUUACUAACAUAACUGCUAUCAUUCCUGAAUUUUUCCUGCUCAAAGCAUCGGCAACCUUGUUUGCUUUUUAUGGAUGAUAACUAAUGAUAAGAUCAUAAUCUUUCAUUAACUCAAGCCAUCUUCGUUGUCUCAUGUUUAGCUCUUUCUGCGUGAACAAAUACUUUACGUUUUUAUGGUCUGUAAAGACUUCACAUUGCUCCCCAUACAAGUAGUGCCUCUAAAUCUUCAAAGCAAGAACAACGACUACCAAUUGCAAAUCAUGUGUAGGAUAGUUUUGUUCAUACCGCUUCAAUUGACGAGAUGCAUAAGCUAUGACCUUCUCAUUUUACAUUAGCACACAUCCCAACCCAUUUUUGGAUGUAUCGCUAUAAAUAGUGAAACCUCCAGAUCUAGAAGGUAAGGUGAGAACUGGUGUUGAAACAAGCUUAUUCUUCAAUUCUUGAAAACUAUCUUAACAUUUAGGUGUCCACUCAAACUUAACAUGCUUUUGAGUUAGACGAGUCAAGGACAAAGCAAUAGUAGAAAAUCCUUCAAUAAAUUUUCUAUAGUAGCCAGUUAAGCUCAUAAAACUCCUCAAUUCUACCACAUCAGUAGGUCGGGACCAAUCCACAAUAGAUUCUAUCUUCUUAGGAUCCACAGAGACACCAUCUUGAGAAAUAACAUGCCCAAGGAAGGACACACUUUGAAGCCAAAAUUCACAUUUGUUGAGUUUAGCAUAAAGCUUCGUACACCUCAAGAUUUGUAAAACAUCUCGCAGGUGAUUUUCGUGCUUCACUUCACUUGGGGAGUACACCAAUAUAUCAUCAAUGAACACCACCACAAAUCUGUCUAAUUGCUUUUGGAAUACCCUAUUCAUCAAAUCCAUAAAGGCUGCAAGAGCAUUAGUCAACCCUAAAGGCAUGACGAGAAAUUCAUAAUGGCCAUACCUUAUUCUGAAUGCACUCUUUGGAAUAUCCUACAGUUUAAUCCUUAAUUGAUGGUAUCUGUAACGAAGAUCUAUUUUUGAAAAUACCUUAGCCCUUUUUAAUUGAUCAAACAUGCAGGUCGUCAAUACGAGGCAAUGGAUACUUGUUCUUGAUCAUAAUUUUAUUGAGCUCCCAAUAAUCAAUGCACAAUUGCAUGCUUCCAUCAUUCUUCUUUACAAACAAAACUAGUGCACCCCAAGAGGAUACACUUGGUCGAAUCAAUUUCUUGUCAAGCAACUCCUCAACUUGAACUUUAAACUCCUUCAACUCUGUGGGGGCCAUCCGAUAGGGUGCCUUAGAUAUAGGUUCUAAGUUGAGUAUUACAUUAAUCUCAAAAUCAAUUUCUCUCUUAGGAGGUAGACCUAAUAAGUCAUUUGAGAACACAUCUGAAAAUUCUCUUGCAAUUUGGAUAUCCUCAAGUUUUAUGUCCCCUUUCUUACUAGAGUCUACUAUAUAAGUCAGAAAACAUUCACAUCCCUUCCUAAUUGCUCUCCAAGUUUGUAUGACAGAUAAAAUGGGUAGAGACUUCUUUUUUGGUUUUCCUCAACACCCUUGAAAAGAAAAAUGUGGAAUGUUUGGGGUUUAAAAAUCAACACUUUUACCCAUACAAUCUAUAUGAGCAUAAUUUUGUGAUAGCCAAUCCAUACCUAAGAUAGCAUCAAAUUAUAUUCAAUUGCACUAGAUUUGCCUUAAACACUCUCCCACCUAAAUCUAAAGUAUAACCUUCAUACAUAAGGUGAGAAACUAAAACUUUUUCCCCGGGAAUGGCUACACGAUACAGGUCAUCCAAAACACAGGGUUUAAUAUCUAACUCUCAUGCAACUUCUUUGAAAUGAAAGAAUGGCAAGCCCCACAAUCAAAUAACACAUCCGCUGGAAGAGAAUUAAUCAUUACCAUACCUGUCACAACAUCCUCUACUCCUGCUGCUUCUUGUUCAGUCAAGGCAUAUACCUUAGAGUUUGAGUAAGGUCGAUCUACACUAGAAUUCAAGCUGUUUCCUAGCCUAUUGUUUCCUCUAGUUUGCUUAGAAUUCGGGCGAUUACUCACUUUAUGCCCCACUUCUCUACAACUAAAACAAGCUCUCGUUUUCCACCUGCAUUCUCCCGGAUGAACCCGAUGACAAUAAUCACAUAACUUAGAUGGGUUAGUAAGUAGACACCUUGGAAAAGGUUGUUGAGAAGAAGUAGCCUGUUGCGAAACUAUAGGUCUUGGUAACGAUGCUUGUCAGGGAGGUUGCAUUACACGAGAAGGCUGACCAUGUUGACGAAGUUGGCCUUGUAUUACGAUUUAUCUAUUCUUCUUUGUCUCGUCUCUUCAUCCUCCUGAAGAAUGUCUUGUUCAACAUCUAAACUAGCUUCAUACCUUUGGUCACAAUUGGCAUAGAAAUUUUCAAAUAUUUUUGAUUGAAUAUGACUAUUCAAUCCUCCCUUAAAAGAGACCAUCUUCACAGUCUCAUCGGCCAUUGUAGAAGGGACGAAGCAUCCCAAGGAGAGAAAAAUAGUGUAGUACUCGCCCACAGACAUGGAACCUUGCUUAAGGUUAUUGAAUAUUCGAAUAUUUUGAACUCGAAUAGCUGGUGGAAAGUAAUGCUGUAGAAACAUCUUUUUGAACUCAUCCCAUGUCAAAGUACGACCUGAAGAAACCAUGGUCAAGGCUACACCAGCCCACCAUUUCUCUGCUUCACCAAGAAAGAUGUCACUACUUGAGGUCGAAUAUCUUCUGGCACCAUCAUAGUUUGGAAUUUGUUCUCAAUUUGUGAUAACCAUCUCUCUGCCACAUUCGAGUUUGGACCUCCAUAAAAAGUAGACAAAUAGACCUUGCUAAGCUCCUUGAAAUGGUACUUAACACUAAUCCAUAUCUUGCUCUCUUUCUUCUUGUUGUUGUUGUUGAUAUUGCUGACAUCCAUGCAUGAACUAAUAUGCCACGGAUAAGGUAGCUGGAUCUAAUUUUAGGGGGGAAGGGUACUUUGAUUCGUAUUAUUUGAAUUCAAAGGGGGUGUUACCCUAGACGUAUCUUCACCUUUACGUCUUUGAGCAGCUUGGCGAGCAUCUAACAUAAAUCCCCCAAUAGGGGUAUCCAAUUCAUCUUCAUUCCCAUUCGGUCCAAGAUUUUCAAGUACUACAUCUUCUUCCCCCGUAGCUCGUACAUCAUUCUCUUGAAUACUGACAAUAACCCUUUGCUUUCUUUUUGGUGUCAUCCUGCAAACACAAAUUAGGCUAGGGCAAAAUCUAACUACACUAAGCUACCGAAUCCUCAAGUGAUAGCAACAGGUAUUUGAACGCAAAAAUCAAAACUAAGUCAAUCCACACUAAGGUUGGGCACCUGAAGUGUAAAUCAACUAGCUCCAAUAUUCUGUCCAACAUACACACUACAUUACAUCAAACUUUCAAUAAAUAUUAAUUCUUAAGGUACUAUAAGUAAGAUUCAUACCUAGGCUCUGAUACCAAAUAAAUGUCACGCCUCAUGUCCGGAAUGUAACACCGCCACACCCUAGACAAUGCUAAAGACGUAAGCCAACAAAUUUCCAAAAAAACCUACAUUCACCUUUAUAUAAACAUUCUAAAUCCGCAAAUACAAGAUCAUCCAUAACAACAAAUUUGCAUUUUUCAAAAUAAAAGCAAGAUCAAACCUUCUACAAUAUGUACAACAUUCAAAUCCUAUUAUAAGGUAUCUUAUAUAGAAGUACAAAAGUCAUCCUCUAACCAAAAGUUAUCUCCAUCUCCAUUACCACUUCUAAGAUCUAUCAAGAUCCACUUCAAUGAACUCAUCAUUAACUGCAAAAUUAUAACAAAGAGGUGAGCGAAAUCUCACUCAAUAAGUAGCACAUGUAUCUCAUUAUUGGCCUGAGCAUGUUAGAUACAUAAUAUAUAUUUCAAACGCCAUUAACUUACACAUAUAACUUUACAAGAACAUGGUCAUUAUAAACAUUUCAAUGGCAUGUCAUACAUCACACACAUAAAGGAGCUCAAACCAUAAGACAACAAUUGACCCCAGAUAUCCAGUUAUUAACUUAAUCGGUUAACACGGUUCAUAGUGCUAACUUCCACAUGGUUAGCCUGUUUCAUAUUGCUCAUGACAACACAGAUUACUCGUUUCAUAUACCAACCACCUGUGAGGAACUAGUCCCGUCAAAAGUCGCUUAUACAAGAGCUCAACAAACAUAACAUUUCAUUUCACAAAUAACCAUGGCAAGAGUAAUAACAACUAUCACAAAUUAUACUUGGUCAUGCCACUUUAGCAAUUAGACAAGUAGCGUUCAAAAUUCAUCUUUCAAAAGAUAAAGGGUACAUGCAUCACUUACCUUGAUCCAAUGGAUACCCACGCUAGUUCAAGUAAUCGAAAAAAUGGCUACCUUCUUCACCUAGACAUAAUAAUAAAAUAUUCAAUUACAAUCUUAAAGAUACUAAACUACUCUAAAUUAUCAUAAAAAGGAGUCUAAUACUACCCUUAACCACUAAUUCCUAAUAAAAGAUCAUUUCCUCAUCAAAGCAGGACAUAAGGGUUAAUUUUAAAGGGUCACUAACUUUCAAAAAUGCAUCAACAUGGCAAGAGAUUUAUACAGAGUUAAAGCCCCCUAAAUCUAGUUUCCAACGCAACAAACAACACCUAAAUCCGACUUUUUUACAUCAAGUUAUGGCCAAAAAACUGAAAUAUGUCUAUAUAGAAAAUUCAAUCCAUCCGAGAAUUAUAGCCAAUCCGUCCGAGGAUUAUAGCCAUGGAUUUCUAGCACGUUUUCAAGGCAAAAACAAGUUCCAAAUACAAUAAUCAAGUUCCAUUUCCAUCUCAAGUCAUCUUCCAACCUCCAUAGUUGUCAAAAUCAACAUAUUUUAGCUCCCAAAGUCAUGAAAAUACAUAAACAAUCUUGAAAAUGAAUUGUUAGCUCAAGUCAUUCUUUCCCUCAAUAUUUCUCCUUUUUAUAUUGAUGAUAGCCCUAUACCCAUAUGAAAAUAGAGACCAAAACAAACUCCAUAGACCAUAGCCGCCAUGGAAGCUAACCAAGGAUUUGAACCAAAUACUACCCAAUCACCCAAUCAAAGAAAACCAAGAUCAUGUUCAAGGUUUCAAGAAAAUAUCUUGGUUAGUUGUCAAAGUAGAAUCUCCUAACUCCUCACUCCUUAGCUGUGCUUGAUUUGUCAAGAAUCAAUCUUGAUUUGUAAGGAAAAAGGAGAGAAAUGAGAAAGGCUUUUGUUGGAGAAGGAAGGAAGAAAGGAAAUGAAGAAGAUGAAGAAAUUUUUUGAUAAAGAUGAAUCGUGAAAUCCCACUAUCACUUUUAUUCUUUCAAAAUUUCACUUAUUAACACAUUGGUCAGUCAAUUUAACAUCUUUCACUUUUCACCACAAAAUAGUAUUUCUUCAUACAAAAUUCUCUGCAAGACACUUGGGCAUCACAAUAAUUGUUAGGAUCGACAAUUCUUAUAGACUAUCUGAGACCGCAAUAUUCAUGGAUAUAAAUGAAAGCAAGAACAUUUGAUAUAGCGCUAGGGAUUUUCGUAUCAUCCUUGACAUCUAUAUGCAUCUCUUCCAUUUGGAUAUUUAUCUACAACGAGUCUUUGUAUCGAUAAUGCCCAACUAAAUCAAAAAGAAAAGACAAUUUGCAUUUUUUCUUUUUUCUCUUUUUUUUCCCAAUGUGUCAAACAACAAGAAUAGUAAGCUCCUGUUGGAUCUUUAAUCCAACGUUGGACUUAUAUAUAAAUAAUUAUGUGUUUCAAAUUGUCAAAUAAGGUUAAAUCCAAUUAAAAUGAUCAAAUAUAAUUUGGGCUUAAUGUAUCAAUAGGGUGUGGGUCUUUAAUAUGUAGAGACUUAAGAGUAUUUUUUAUUUUUAUGAUGGGUUGAAAUAGGAAUCCAAAAGAUAACAGGAAUGUUAUCUAUAAAUAGGAUUAUGGUCCCCAGGUCACAAGUAUUCUUAUUAUCGUAUAUUCUAGUACCACAAAACAGCUCUUUCUUGAUAUCCCAUUAUCAGGAAAGAUACCAGAGAAAAACUAAAAUACUCUCUCAAGAAUUGGUAAAUACGUGUUGACCUGGAAGGCCACCCCAAAAUCUUCAAGGAUUCGAAUGCCAAUUUGUCAACAUGAAUUUAGGUACGCUUCCGCAUUUAUAUUACUGUUUUAUUCAAAUAUUUGAUAUUGGGAUCUUGGAAAUUCCUGCACCUCCACCCUUUGAAAUUUCAGAGAACAGAACCAAAUAUUUCAUUCCUACUAACUUAUGGGCACGCAUUACAUCAUUCCUACUAAAUUUAACUAUCUUAACGACUUAGAAAAAGCUAGCUACAUAUACAUUGUCUUCUUACAUAGAUAAAAGAUGUGCAGGGCAUAUAGAAAGAUCGUCCAAAUGGGUUUAAUUUGCUGCUUUUAAGCUUGACAUUUGUAAGACUUAUGACCGGGUAUCAUGGCAAUUUCUACAGGCUGUUCUAAGAAAAAUGGUUUUUCCAGAAUCCAAGAUUAAUGUUGUUUGGAAGAGUAUCUUUUUUGUCUCUUACUCAGUUGUAGUUUUUUUUUUAUUUUUUUUUACUUAGGGUUAUCCCAGUCUUUCGGCCAACUAAUUCCCUAAUAUUGUGUAGCGUCUUAUCCUAAGGAUACAGAGUAAAGUAGUACACGGAAUUCGAUUACGGGACAUGGUAGUAACUAUCAGAAUACGGAAUCAGUCGAACUACUCGCGGGACACUCAAUUGUAGUUAAUGGAGCACUAUCAUCGGUAAUAUAUCCUACCAGAGGCCUUCGCCAGGGAUGCCCCCUCUGAUCAUCAUAUCUCUGUCUUAUACCAAGAGGCGUUGUCAGCAGCAUUAUGUUCUUUGGCAUCUAUAGAAUCUAUGUCCCCAAAUAUUGGUUAGUCGUGCAAGUCCUCCUGCAUCGAAUUUAGUAUUUGCUGAUGAUAGUAUUUGUGUUUUUCAAGUGCUCGGAGGCAGCCGCACUGCACCUGAAGGUGGUAUUGGAGAAAUAUACACAUUUCUCUAGGCAGGAGAUGAAAUUUAGCAAAUCUAGUUUGGUUUUUAGCCUCAACGCGCCUGCUAAUUUGAAUCAAUUAACAUGCAUCAUAUUCUCUAUCCAAUCAGUUCCUACAAUGGGUAGAUAUCUGGGUUUAAAAGACGAAGAACCCACUACUACAAAGGUACAAGAUUUAUCAUCAAAUUACACCGGAGUCAAACUCUAGACGUGACGUUGGGACACAACACCCUAUUGUAACGUUGCAAUGCAAUGACUUAAAAGUACUAUUAGAUAAUUUAUUGAUUGAUUUGCAAUCUCAAAAAAGUUUAUUGAAGAAAUGCAAGCUUGGUCUCCAAUAGUUGGCUCUUGCGCAAUUUUAGUGUCUAAAGUUUCGUCAAAAACAAAUAUAAUUUACAUUUUUUGAGACAAUUCGCAAUUUUAGUGUCCAAAUUUUCAAUUCAAAAUAUUUUUGAGACAAUUGACAAAUUUAAUAAAUUUGAAUUGAUCCCAAUUUCAAGUAAAUUUAGGACAAUUGACACGACCAAAUUCAUUUUUGUUGAAACUGUGGACACAAAAUUUGUGCAGAUAUUAAACAUUGGAGACCAAAUUCAUUUUCAAUUCCUUUAUCUCCCUCUCUUUAUUCUGUGAAGGGAAGAUAUGAUUUUGAAAACCUAUACUUUGACCUACAAAAUCUUAAUUUUUUCCAAAUCCAAUAAAGAUGGAAGGGAAAUAAAAAUAAACAAAUAAAAAGAUGGAAGGGAAAUAUAAAAAAAUAAAUAAGAAACAAAAAAUACAAAAUCUUUUUUCGACUACAAAUAUCAUUAUAAGUUUUUAAUCUAAAACUUUAAUGGUAUUUUCUAUUUCUUAUUUAUCUUUUUUUUCAUUUCAAUUUCUUCCUUUUUAUGUUUAGAGGAAAAAAAGAAGUAAUGAAAGGAUAAAUUUGUCAAUUUAUUAAUUUGAUUUUGAAUUUUACCACUGACUGUAAGUUUUAAUGAAAAAAACUAAGUGACGUUUUAUUUCAAAUUAUGAGGAGAUUAUAUAUAAUUUUCAAACCAUAGGAUGGUUAUGUUGUAAACCACCAAACCAUACGGGAUAAAAGGUAAUUUACCCAUUAAUCUUUGCCCACUAAGUUUUGUUGGAGCUAUUAAUGCAUGAAAAAAAAAAAAGCAUGCUCUUUUCAGCAAAAUGGGGACAUAGACAUAACCCAAAUUUGAAAGUUUCAAUCUCAUAAACAUAAUAACCACCGGAUGUUUUCAUUAAUUCAUAAUGAAAACAAGAAGAUCCGCAGUCCUAGUUAAGCAAGAAAAGCUUAUGAGUCAGUUCAUUCAAAAACUUUCGGAAUUACCUGAAGAAUGAUGAGCUUUGGUGAUACUUUUUUUGGCAAACUGCAAGCUUUCUACAAUUAAGGUCGGAAUAAGAUUGGAUACAAACGUCCUCUUUAAAUACGAGCCAUCAGUUUGUAAAGAGGAAGUUAUAUGGUUUUCUUCGGGAAGCUGCAAAUUUUGGUGAUUUGAAACCAAUUUGAAAAUUGACAAAAUUCGUGCUUUCCUUGGCAGCUACUGGCUUUGAUUGAAAGAGAUGAUCUUGGCAAUGGCUAUAUUGAGUCAAAAUCAGACAACGAUCUUGGCUAUGGAAUUUGGAAUGUUUUGUUUCCACUUUCCAAAUGGUAGUUGGCUUGUUGCAAGAAAGAAGAAAAAUUGCAGUGGUCUUCAUCGGCAAAAUUUGAUAAUAUCAUGGUCAAAAUAUCUAAUUGCUCACGUGGGACAUCUUUUUGUAAGUAUUACUGUAUUGGUUGCUUCUAAUCAACCACAAGUCAAAAGCAAAGUUGUCUUUUAACUACUUGUUCGAAUUUAUCAGGCUUUCCAUUGAGAAAUUGAAGCCACCGCCUUGCACUCCAUGGUGGCUCCGUGCACAAAUCAAAUUGAUUUAGAUGCAUUACAGGGUUAGCAAACAAAGUUGUGGGCUUUCAAAUGAUUCUAACGGAAUUUACUAAUGAAAAGUCUUGCAACUCAAGACACAUACUUCAAGCUUUGUGUUUGGCAAUUGCCAAUCAAUGCCUUACCAAAUCUUAAAGUUGGGGCAUUUGCAGAAAAUAAAAUUUUUAUUUAAUUUAUUUAUUCAAGAUUUAAUAAAUUGAGUUGAUUUUAAGUAAACUAAAUUAAAUUAUGAAAGCCCUUUAUUUUUGAACUAAAAACUUGGGCCAGUAUUAUGUGGACUGUUAAAUCAAUUAAAUAUGCAAGGUCCAUUUAAAUUAAAAUGGAUUAAUGGAUUCAUUGAUUCGCAAUGGACUGUUGGGCCAGCUUAUUACUAAAAUCCAUAUUAAAUGGAUUUCAAAUUGAACCAGUAUUAAACGAAUUGUUGGGCCAGCUUAUUGUUAAAGUUUUUCACACAUACUGUUACAAUAAAAUAUUUUAAAACAUCCGUAAAAAUAGUUAAUCCAAACAGAGACAUAGUUUUUUAUAUUACUUUAAUUAAAUUUUUUUUCUUUUUUCUUCUUUGGCUGCAAAAAUUACACACCACCAUACGAAUAAUUCACUUAAUGAACUUCGGAGGUCUUUGACUAAAAAUAACGGAGCAAUCAUUGAUGGCAAUUUCGCAAUGGUAAUGAUGGCAUUUGACCAUGUUAUUAAUGGCACUUUAGAUCUAGCCUCAAAAAAUGCUGAUUCUAAACAUGAGGAUGGUUUCUUCGAAAAAGGUUGUCCUAUUUGUUCUCUUGCAACGGUAUCUGAAGACAAUCACUGUACGUAAGCAGAAAUGCCUAAUCCCUCCUUUCACUCAGUCCCUUCAUUUUUUCUUCAUUUCUCACUUGUUUUUUUUUUGAAUUUAUAGAAGAAGUGCCUUUUAAAUUUACAGAACAAGAAGAAGAUGAUGAAUGCGAGAGAAAAGAACCCCGUGGUCAUAGCACACUGUGCUUCCUAAAUUGCCUCUUCAUUAUGUCUAGUGAAUCACACAACAGUAGAAUCUGACAGAAUGACUCAGAAUCAAAAUACAUACUUUAGAUAGUUUAGUGGCCAAAACCAAAUUGUUAAUAGUUCAGUGGUCAAAACUCAAUGAUUACAAAAGUUCAGUGGCUAAUGAGGUAAUUUGCUCAAAAAAUAAUGAUAGAAGCAGCGAAGGGUGAAAUUCCGAUGUUCAUGCCGCUGAGAAAGUUUUUGUACGACUGAUUCCCUGGGCGAUUGCCAGAAGAUUCAAUAUCACUUGUGGUAGGGGAAACAACAAUGGAGGCUCUCUGUCUUGGAGGUGUCUGAAGCAAAAAGUCCUGGGCAGAAAUGUGAAACAAAAUCUGAAUUGUGGGCUUGUGUUUGCGGCUGAUGACAGUAUUAUUGUCCACUAGAGUCUUCCGCCCAAACAAGGUGACCCUCCUAUUAUCCCUGCCUCAUUAUCUACUUCAUGUUUUGCUUCUACUAACUCCCCUACCACUCAAAACGAGUUUUGGGUCGAGGGUGAGGUUAAGGCGCUAGAACUCGAGAAGGGGAUAGAGAAGACUGAAGCUUCUGUGGGCUGGAGCUUAGGAUUGGGGAUGCUGGAGUUGGGUUUGGAUUUUGCCUGCUAAUGAUCACCCCGAGUUGCUUAAUGAACAUGGGAGUGGCCUGGAGGCAGGUUAACUCAUGCUAGCGACCUAAUUAAUAUUGAUAUGGGUAAAAUACAGUAAACGCCUUUGUGGUUAUGAAAAUAAAUACGAAACUCCCUCAUUGUUUAAAAACACCCAUUUAGCCUCCCUUGUGCUUUGAACUUCUUUGGAUUUUACCUGCUAAUAGGUUGGGAAGCCUGUAAUAAUAUAUAAUACCAAAAAUAUCCUCAUUUAUAAUAUCUCAAAAGGCAUAGCUACAAUUAGUAGAUCUUGAGUGGUACUUCAGGUGUAGAGAGAGAAAGUGGAUGAAACCUUAAACCUAUAUAUAGCCAAGAUCCGCCGCAAUCACUAUCAUCUUCUGCGACAUCAAUAAACUACAGAAUUGUCGUGUGUAUCUCACAAAUGAAAAAGGCAUUCCUGUGUAGAAUGAUCGAGGGUUGCGAAGCAUCAAGCAUAGCGAUUAAUAAGGUAAUCUCAUAUCUGAACCGUAAAUUUACCUGUGUUGAUUGGUUUCAUGAUAGACAUUUGGUUGUAUAUUGUUGGAGAUAUUUCGAAACUUGGUAAAAGAAGUGACAACUUUGGCUUAGUCAGAAGUAUUGCCGACAAUCUUUAUCGAAAAAAUUUAUAAAAAAAUUGCUAAGCAUGCAAAAAGUAAAAAAGAAUGGGUCUUUUUGGAGUAAUCUAGACUACUGUGGUUCAUACUAGUAUUGAUUAUGUUUUUUAACCUUUUAGAUGAGUAUGUUAAUGUUGACUAUGCUUUUUGGAAAGUAAAAGUGUAUGAAAUAUUGCCUGUCCUUUUCGAUACAUAUGAAAAUUAAAUUAGUAAAUUUAUCUCUGUUACUUUGGCUCAGGUGUAUGAGAAUGGGAGAUAGUCUAUUUAAGAGUAUAGACAUAUACAUGCAUUAUGGUGGAAAUUUCAAAUGAAAACUAAGAAUUAGAUACACUGGCGAACCAGUGAGAGUAUUUUGUGAAUGGGACCUUGAUGAAUUAUCUCCAUUUGAUUUUCAAAAGAUGUAUGACACAAUUGAGUGCGGCUUAAGCAAUAUGAAUUUCUAGUACUCUAUCCCCUUUCAUGACCUUGAUAUUGGUGUUGUUAGUAUUAAAGAUGAUGCCGACAUCGAGUUAUUGACAAUAUGUUAUGAAAGGCUUCCAGAAAUGCACAUAUAUGCUGAAAAAGGGCCUGAACCCAUUGAAGUUGUGGCUUCGGAUGAAAAAUUAUUGUACAAGAGAGUGACUGGUGAUAGCUUGCUUGCACUUCCAUAUCGUGAUAAUUGGCAAUUGCCAUGUUCAGAUUGGAUUAUCCGCAUCUGUUAAAGGCAGUGAUAACUUUGACCCUACAGUUAUUGGGAAUGAGUACAAUAAUGAUAUUUCACACAUUAAUUGUAGAAGAAAGGGCAUCUGUGAUGAAGGGUUAUCACAAAUGGAGUCGGAUCCAACUUUUGUGGGACCACAUAGAGAGCAGAUACAUGAUUCAACUAAUAAGUCCAAGUGGAAGAAAACAAUAAAUGGUAAAAAAACUAAGUGGCAAAGAGUAAAAUUAAUUGCAAGGAAGUCAGUCAGGCAGUUAGUUAAAGAGAAGGAAAAAGUUGUUACAACUGCAAAGGUCUAGCAGUCUUCCACAAGAAAUUCAGCAGAAGAAUCAACAUUUGGGAUAGAUCCAACAGAAGAAACAACUAAUUUGAGGGGAGAAAAAACAGUUGAUGAAGGUGGAGAAAAAGAUGUUGUCAUACCAGACUAUUCAAAUCUGCCGGACUGGCUAAGAGAAGGACUAGAAGGGCCUAAAGAUGAUGAUAUAUUUGCAGGCUUAAAUGGUCAAGAAUCAACAUAGGCAUCUAUUAAUUCACGAUCUGUAAAUUUUGUUAGAGUUGGUUCAGAGUAGCAACAAGAAAAUCAGCAAGCCAAAACUAGAAAACAAGCUGGUAUAGAUCAACAACAAGAAAAUCAGCACUCCUAAUCCAGAAAACAAACUAGUUCAGAGCAGCAGCAACAACAUCAGCAAUCGAAAUCAAGAAAACAAGCAAAGAACCAGACCCAUGAAGAGAGGAGUCAACCAACACCAGGUGUGGAUGACAAAUGCCGUGUCAAUGAGCAGGAAGAGAACUAGAAUGAGCCAGUAGAGGAUGAUGAAAAGCUAUUUGACAAUGGGAUAAGAUCUGAUGAAGAAAGCAUCCCUGUUUACAGUUACUUCAAUAAGGAGAAAAAGUUUAGGAAAGAGCACUUUGAACUAAAGGUUUGACAGAAAUUUACUAGCUUCUCUAAAUUUAGGAAGACUUUAGUGGAGUGUGAAAUUAGGAAGGGUAUGAGCACAAAUACAUCAGAAAUGAAGGCUCUCGAAUCACAACUAAAUGUACGAAGGGGUGCAGUUGGAGAAUUCAUGCAUGUAGAAUCCAGAGAACAAAGACUUUUAUGAUCAACACUCUUAAGCGAGAGCACCAUUGUGGUAGGAAUUACAGCAAUAGACAUGCCACUUCAACAUAUCCAAGUGAAAAUUUUCAGGCCAAGGUGAGGGAUGAUCCUGGGUGCAGUACUCUUAACAUAGUAAAUGAGACAAGACUAUUUAUGUUAGACAUUAGUAGGAAGAAAACUGCCAGAACAAAGCAGAAAGCGUUAGAGGCACUUAGGGAAAAUGACAUGGAUCAAUAUCACAGGUUUUGGAAUUAUGUAGCCACUGUAAAAAAGGUCCAAUCUUGAUACUCAUAUUUCACUGCAGAUUGAUAGGCAAAGUGUCGAGCAAAAAGCUACAUUUCAGAGGAUAUACUAUGGAUUAGGUGUUCUAAAGAAUGGUUUCCUAGAAGGUUACAAACCUAUAAUAGGACUAUAAUUGAUGGCUAUUUCCUAAAGAGUCCCUUUGGAGGUCAGCUGCUUAUAGCCUUGGGUAAGAAUGCCAAUGAAAACAUGUUUCCUAUUUCCUUUGCUAUUGUUGAGGUAGAGAACUACGACAACUGGAGCUGGUUUUUGAGAGAAUUAAACACCCAAAUUCGAGGAGGAAACAAAGGAGUGGCUUACACUUUCAUUUCGGAUAGGCAAAAGGGUCUUGUCUAUGCAAUUGAGGAGUUGAUCCUUGAAUUAGAGCACAGAUUUUGCCUGAAACGCAUGCUCAAGAACUUCAAACAAAGAUUCAAGAAUCAAAACCCUAGAGCCAUGUUCUAGGAAGUUGCUGCAGCAGCAAGCAUGCCGGAGUAUGAAACUGCCCUAUCAAAUCUUGGAAGGGCUAACCCAAAGAAAGGUGACAAACUAACAAUUGCAGGAUGGUUCAAAUGGUUACCUCUAGAGCUUUGGUCAAGAGCCCACUUUAGUACUGCUUGUAGGAGUGACACGUGCAUCAACAACAUUAGUGAUUUUUAGAACCAAAGGGUAUCCAAAUAGGGCUAAGAAGGUUGGGAACCAAACGAGAGGGCAUGCUGAAAUACAGUAGCACUUUAUGUCCAAACAUUCACGAGAAGUUAGAGAAACUAAAGAUAAAAGCAAGAAACUGUGUCGUGGUUUAUAAAGGAAAUAGGAAUUUGGAAGUUGACGGCUAUGGAAGGACUAAUGUCAAUUUGGAUAUGAAGACGUGUACCUGUGGCCAUUUUCAACUGAGUGGAAUUCCAUGAGUGCAUGCGGCUGCUUGCAUUCAAAGCAGAAAGUUGGAAUUCGAGCAAUUUGUUGAUGCUUGUUACUAAAGGGAAGCAUAUUUAAGGGCCUAUAACUUCACAAUUGGUCAUGUUUUUUCGAAGCAGUUCUAGGUGGAUAGCAAAAUGCAGUAUUUGAACCUACUAUUGGUAAAAAAACAGCCUGGUAGACCAAAGAAGCAGAGGAAGAAGGGUCCAAAUGAACCUACAAAUCAGCAUAAAGCAAGCAGGAAGAGUCUGGCAGUCUACUGCCGGAGGUGUUUGAAAUCUAAACAUAACAUUAGAACCUGCAAAUCAGCAAUUCACCCUAUGUCCAAGCUUUACAAGAUAAUGUAACAUUUCAGAGCCAAAUCAUUUCUCUAGUUUGUUUUGUUGCUGCUUAUACAUCCAGCCAUUUCAAUGUGAACUAUAGGCACUAAAACCUGGUCCAACAGCUUCAAAUGCAACAAUCGUAGCUUCCGUAGCUCAGGUUAGUGUCUCAAGUACUACUGCUACUACUCUCUCACAUGUACUAGUUUCAAUUGCCUAUUUUUGGGUGUUGUGAUCUACUUGCAUACUAAGCAAUGCCACUUAUAAGCAGGAACCAAGUUAGCCUAUAAGUGGUACCAAUCAAGAAAGCUAGAAGAGUAGAUCUUCAAAGAAGAAGCAACCAGCUGCAAGAAUGUCAAGAUUGCGACAUUGUGGCUCCAAGAGACCAAGAAAAUGAACUGUAGUUAUCUCUCUUUUGUUUGUUGAAUAUACUGGUUAUGUUAACCACAUUGAUCCCUUCUGGGAUUGAAUUGUAAUAUUUUUUAAGCUAGAAAACUCAGAUUUUUGGUUAUGUUUUGGUAGAUUGAUACCAUUAUGGUAUGGAUGUGGUAAUAUACUGCCUUUUUGUGGCAGUAUUGCUGGUGAACCUUUUUGGGAUUGGAUUAUAAUAUUUAUUCAAACUAGAAAACUCAAAAUUUUGGCCUUGUUACGGUAGACUGAUACCAUUGUGGUAUGGAUGUGGCAAUAUGCUGUUGACAUCUUUGAAAUAAAAUGGUGAUAUCUUUGCUAAAAAUGAUUUAAUUUGACAAGUUCAUUGCGGUGAAAUCUCGGGUCUUUCAAUUUUUUUGUCAUGUAUUUUUUAAAUGUCCUACAACAAAACAACGUAGCUUCAUUCGAUCAUCUUAAUUAAAACUAGAAUGUCUACUUCAUUACAUGCAAUUGAAACUAGAUGUGGCAACAUGUUGGACAUAACAAAAUCUACUAUUGUGCCCAACUCCCUCAUCUACUACACAUUUUUUACACUAAUUUGUCCUGAACAUUCAUCUCAUACAUAUAACAACCAGUGACAAAAGAGACACAACUACAAACACCAUCAUCAUCAUCUUCAUUAGCUCCAUCAUUGCUCUGACAUUGUGAAUCUUCAACUAUAGUGUCCCAUAAUGAUGUUAUAGUUAUUACUUUCCAUCCCUUGUCCAGAGAUGAAAAAUCUUUCCGCCAUUUCAGAUCCAAUUGGUGAAACUCCUUCCAUGUAUGGACUUUGGUAGGAUGAUUCAUUAGUGCCUCCCUCUCUACUAAUUGGGUUGCAUCAUGUCCAAAAUGAACAAGCACAAUUUUUACAUACAAAAUACAACAUAUCUUUUGAUGGUUUUUCAGAUUCCACUACUUUAAUCUUUGCUUUAUUCUUGCAGAAACAUCAUCGAUUUUGGUAUCUUAGGUCCCUCGAUCCACCGCCAAAGUUUUGGGAGCUUGACAUUUUCGGUUUCCCCCUUGAACAAAGCUAUGUUGUGCCCUCCGAAGCUGCGCUCUUACGAUUUUUGUCUUAAUUUUGUGUCUCGCUGUCCAAUUUUUUCAUUUGCAGAACAACAAUUAUGGUGGGUUUCAUUUGUAAGAGACAUGGACAGCAAAUGGGAAUGAAAACUAGUCUCUUUCAGUCACAUGCGGCCAUUAGGUCGCAUCAAUGUCACUUGCUAGGUUCCUAGCCGGUUAGCAAGUAAAAUCCAAAGAAAUCCAAAGCACCGGGGAGGGUUAAGUAGGUGUUUUCAAAUAAUGAGAGGGUUUCAUGUUUCCCUAAUGACAGGGGGGUUUACUGCAUUUUACCCUAUUGAUAUUGGUGGUCAAACUAGAAAGAGGUGGAAUUUGGGGCAGAACCCCUCUAAGAAUUUUUGUUUCUCCCUAGUGUCUCAAGAGGAAAUCAGGUCCUGCUUGAAUUCUAACCCUGCUGGUAGACCUAGUUUGGAGAACUAUUCAGGGUGAUUUGUUUAAGGGCCUUGAGCCAUUUGAAAAGGUGGUAGGGAAAAUCUUUGAGGGGUGCAUUUUUGAUGGUAAGGACACCUACAAACUGGUGAAAUAUUCUUGGCCACUGGUUUACCAGGCCAAGUAUGAGCCCAUCAAAAGCUCUGAUCACUAUGUGGCUUCGAAGGUAAUGGAGAAGGAGAAGUGAGUUGCUCCAGCAAUCAGCUGAGAUCAGUGUGGAUGCUAAUUCCCAUCCGUGUAUCAUCGGGGUUAUAAACGAAUUGGCAAGCGGUACAAGUUAUUGUGUCUCGAUGCCCUUAUUUGAUGAGGGUUCACUGAGGCUUCUUUCAAGGAAUCGAUGACAUGAUGGUUGACCCGAAGAUUGUAUUGCCCUGGUUCGGAUGGAAACCUUAAAAGGUCUUGGUUUCCUCCAUGAAAAUCAUAUGGUUCUCAAACGUGCCAGUCCAGACCAUAUUUUUUUCUGUAGGAAUCCUUUAUGCAUUGCUUUGGGUCAUGAUGCAACUCUGUGUCAUGCUUGGAAUUCUGACAAUGCUAAAAAUUCAGUGAUAAAUUCAACGAUUGAUGAAUUCAGUCAUGCUUAGAAAGUCUAUGAUGCUGGGGAGGCUUAUUCCUCCAAGGCUGACAUAUGGCUCCUCAGAUUAACUGCUUUGGAGUUGGCCUAUCACCGCAUCCCUGUCAAGACAAGAGCAGGCUUAAUGGCUGUUAUACAUCAAUCAAAACAAUUGUUUGCCUACAGGACUAAAGCGCCUCCUUCUUCACAUCCAUCUUCAUCCUAAUCUAGGGAGAAACGAGACAGUUCGCCAGCAAUUUCGGUCACUUUGUCAGCCUAUGCCUCCCUGAAAAUCUAGCACAAAGACCAUUAGCUAUCCAGCUGUUGGAACAUCCAUUCUUGAGAAGUUGCACUAGUCUUGAAUGUUUCGAUAAGGUGCUUUAAGUAAUAUGGCCAUUUUGAAGCUUCUCCUCCCGAGUUUGCUUGAAGUAUUUCGUGUUUUCGACUCACUGUUUUUGAUGCUUAAAGGUGCUUAAGUAAUGUGGCAAUUUUGAAAGUUCUCCUGCCUAUGUUAAAAUGAGAAAUUUCAUAUUUUCGGUGUACUGUUUUUUGUGCUCUUAAGUUUAUCUUGCUUACUUUUUGACAUCCUUUGUGAAAUUUAAGUAAUUCGAUUUUUUUUUAAAAAAAAAAAUUGGGUUAAUUAUUGACCUUUUGAAAUUGAGAAUGCUUGGAUGUUGGUGUUAUAACAAUUUUUUUUGGGUUGCUUCUUCUCAAAUUGUUACUUGGGAGCUUUAUUUUCCCCUGAUAAGAAAGAAGAUGAGGCAUCAACAAUUACUAUCCCUGGCAAACCAACAUUUAUUUGCAACAUGUCUUAGUAUAAUGAUGGAAUAUCUUAUGCCUUUAGAAUCAUAUUGCAUUUGGUUAUGCAGGUAAAAUUUUCACGAGGGGAGGGAUGGGUUGGGUGGUAUUGGGGGAGGAAGUGUAAGCGUGAGAUUUCGGGUUUGAGUCCUCUGGCUUGCACUAAAAAAAAAAAAAGGUAAAAUUUUCACAAGAAGGGGGAAAAUUAAAAGUAGAAAUGCCUUUAAUAAUCAUUUCACCAGUCAAUAAUUCCUUUAGAAUGCCAAUUGACGCUGGAUGUUGAAACUUUGAAUGCAUAAAACUACUUUAUUGAGAGGCAAUUGGUGACAUUAUGUUUACUGAAGUGAUUCUUUGCAAUGCUACAGAACGUAUGAACAAGUUAUAAAACCAAACCACAUUGAGAGCCUCUACUCGUGUCCUACAUCGUGAGAGCUAGAUUUGCUAAUGCUUUGAAAAUUAAAGUUUUUUCACAUUUUUAUCAUUUUUGGCACAGACGGGCUAUGUUAUUGCAUCUGGAUAAUCCACCUAAUUCUACCCUAAAAUUCUAUGCAGUUUUGUUUUUCUUCUUCAUCUCCUCGAAUCUUUUUUCCUUCCCCCCCCCCUUUCGUCUCUGUUAAACUUAUGCCUCAUGGUAUGCCUAACUUGCGACCUUGAUAAUGAUAUGGCCUAUUUCUUAAUGUCAGUUUGCUGGCGCCUUCAAGCAAUCUCAAGUUCUCAAACAUUACUAAAAUCUUUUUAUUUGCUACUAGUUCAACACUAUGGGGCGUGUCAUUUUUGGUACGAUAACUGGUUGGGAAAUGGUGCUUUAUUUCUACAAGUUCCGGUUAUCCCACAUUUAUCAUUCAGAAAUUUCACACUCAAUGGUCACUGGGAUUUGAAUCUUUUAUACCAGACAUUGCCAAGGGAGAAUGUUUUUUCCAUUUUAGAGCAAAUGGUCCCGGAAGAAGGAAAUGAAGUUGAAGUCAUUUGGAUGCCCACAACAUCCGGAAAAUUCUCCCUAAAGUCCGCUUUCGGGGAUAUUAGGCAGGCUCGCCCCACGUCUAUGGUAUUUGCCUCUAUUUGGCAUUCCCGCAUUCCUGUAAAAGUUUCAUUUUUCAUGUUGAGAUUACUUCUGGGAAGGAUUCCGAUACCAGAUCAGUUAUGCAAACUGGGUUUCCAUUUACCUUCCAAAUGCUUUUGUUGUUCUGCGGCAUCUGAGGAGUCUAUUGAGCAUUUAUUUUCCAAUGGCCACAUAGCGACGGUCAUAUGGAAUUAUUUUGGAGGUCUAUGUGGAUUGAAUUUUUCAGGAUCUUACUUACGAGCUCGCAUAGUAGGUUGGUGGUUGCGAUCACAUGACUAUGAGCUACGACGGUUUAUUGACCGCAUUCUUCCAAGUGUAGUUUGCUGGCAGAUUUGGAAGGCGAGGAAUAAAGCAAUGUUUGAGGGUAUCCAGAUGCGAUCGUCGGCCAUUUGCCAAGCCAUCUUCGCAGAAAUCCAUACUAUGGUGGGAAUACAGUUCAAAAAAGUUAUUCGACUGCAAUCAUUCAGUCAGUUGUAUGAUUGGACGAUUCCUUCUGGUGGCAGGGUUGCAUAUAAAGUUAUCCGCUGGGAGACAAAGGAGACAGGAAGGUAUAUACUUAAUACGGAUGGCUGUGCUAAAGGUAAUCCAGGAGUGGGUGGAGGUGGUGGGGUUCUUCGGGAUUCAACUGGCUUACCACUGAUUGCCUUCUCGGCCUACUUGGGAGAAACUACAAGUCUCCGCGCAGAGGCUCGAGCUCUUCUAAUUGGCCUUCAAACGUGUAUACAAAAGGGCUUCGAAGACAUAUGUGUACAAUCAGAUUCAUUGGUUUUGAUUGGGAUCAUUCAGCGUCGUACUCAGUAUCCGUGGCAAAUUCGAAGAGAAGUUAACCAGAUUUGGAAGCUAGUAGAAGAUCCUGCUAGAUUCUCACAUUGCUAUCGGGAAGCUAAUACAGUUGCUGAUGCUUUGUCUAAUGUGGGAAUAUCUCAUCCACAGCAACAAAUCAAGGUUUACGAUACCUUUAGUAUGUUCCCAAGACUGGCUCGUGGAGCAAUCUGUUUGGACAGAUUAGGAAUGCCUUCACUUCGAAAAAUCACAAAUAUGUAAGAGGAAUAUUUUGUAUUCAAUCCCAUGAAUAAAUAAUAAUACUGGUUUAGUAAAAAAAAAAAAAAAAAAAACACUAUGUGCAAGGAAAAAGUGGAAUAGGAUCAGAGAGUUUGUCCAAAAUUGUCUUAUUUCUGCAGCUCUUUUGCGGAAUAUCCCAUUCUGCUGGAGCAGCAGACCUUUUGGCAAAAAGUGCUUGUGGCUUCAAUGUUUUGGACCAGUUAGUCUUUCCUAGUCCUUUUUUGCAAUAUCUGCUGGAUUUGAAUUCUACUUAACAUCCUCAAGAAAGAAGGACAACUUGUAGUUUCCACUCUAGACAUGUAUUAUUGAGGUUGACGUUAGUCUGUUUUAGUUCUUUGAUGCUUGCUAAAUUGUGUGUUCAGUGCUUUGUACGGUUGUAUGACUUUCUUCAAGCAAUCUGUGCAUUGUUGUUUUCUCAUUCAGAAAACUUGCAAUCCUUAAUAGUUGUAAGAAAUGGAUUUUCUUUCUGCUGAUUUCAAUUAAAUAUGUAUGUAUGUGUCUCUAGUCUUUCAAAAUGGAGCUUCUGAAGUAUCAGCAUAUUUUACACUUGUAGACACUAAUUCUGGAAAAACUAGAGAUAAAUACAUAGCGAGUCAGGAUUUGUUGUUUUUUCUUUCAUCCUUGUAGUCACUGUGCUGACAACUUCCAAAGUCUCAUGAAGAGCUUAUUGUUUCCUAAAUUAUCCAUUAUGUUUGACAAUUGGCAGUGGUUCAACUUGAGGAUAUGCUGGCUUCUAGCCACUCUGGUAUCUUCAGUGCUUUAGUCUAGAUAUAUAUUGAACUCUUGCUAACAUCCUGUAUAGCAACUUGUAAUAGCUUCAACUUGAUCCAUUUUUCGACAUGCUGGCUUUCAGUGCAUGGAAACUUGAAUUUACUUGGUUUAAUUUUAUCAAAAGUUUGUCAGAGAAGUUUGUUUUAAGUAUCUUUUUAGUUGAUAUAGAAGACGUGCUAUGUUGAUGAAUGCACAUAAUCAGUUGUAUCGCUGUAAAGAGCAUGCUUGGAGCAGGCUGAUGACUCCCGUUAGAAGUUUUUGGAACUAUAUAAAGUACAUAUCUCAAAUAUGAUACUUGAUAUGUGCCCUCUUAAUGCUGUGAACUCCUUGAAUGUUCCGUGUUCAGUGAAAGAUGUAUAUAUCAACAUCAUCAUAUCUUGACUGUAGGUUAGCAUCUGGACUGUAGAUCUUGUAAGGUCCAAUCAUAGAAGAAGUGGUUUAUCACCUCGAUGAAGAUUUGGUCUUUAUAGCUAGUACCUUACGCAACCCAAGGAGAAAGCCCAAUGGAAAAUCAUAGGGUUUUACAUAUAAAAACCUAAGUGUUGACAGUGACUGGAGAAAUGUAGCGUUCACUGCAAGUGUUACUUUUCUACCAGGAGAUGCCUGAUAAUGUGUAUUAGUGACUUUGAUUGUGUUAUAUGUACAUUUAUGAAUGUACACAUAAAAUUCCUUUAUUGUGUCAAAUAGUUCUUUAGCUACAAUUUCAGUGAGAAUCCACUCCCAGACUUGGUGCAGAUGUUGUACAUUUCUUUCUAUGCAUGAUAUAUUUUGUUCAUUAAACUGCAAGACAUCUUAAUGUAUUUUGGCUUCUGAACUCGCAAUAAAUUGGCGUUAUGGUAACGAAUGGUUUAUGAAUCUAUUCAAAUUAAUCAGCACGUUUUGUUGUGGCUCACAUUCAUAAUUCAACAAGAUACCACUAGGGGUGUCCUGGCAUGUAGCUCACACCAUCAGGGUGACACAGCCGAGCAUUAUUUCUCAAAUUUUGUAGUUAAUGCGAGACUACAAGGUACCUGUCAUGGUGCGAUAUGUUGCUCUACUGUCAAAUCAUGUUCAACCAAAUAAAUAAAGUAAUUCUAUCAUGUUUAGCAAGGGCGGAACUAGGGGGAUGUGGAGAGGCAUCGUCCCCCAAGUUUUAUAAAACUUAAUUUUUUUCCUGUAAAAUUAAAAUUUAUAAAAAUACUUUUUAUAAAUUUAAGCUCUCACCCUUGCUAAAACCUAAAAUAUUUUAGUUUACAUGUUAAAGUUUAGGUAUCCUACAGGUUGCCCCCUCAAAUUAUAUUUUCUGGCUUUGUCUAUAAUGUUUUAGUACCUACUAGACAAAUUAAUAAUUCUAUUUUUUCAUUGUCAAACCGUCUAUCUCAAAAUUAACAAAAUAAAAACUAUUUCACUUUCACUCAUAUGGACCACAUUGAGUAUAUUCCGUCAUAAAGAAGACAUGAGGGUCGUCCACAAGUGCAGGUCCAAUUGUACAUCUGCAAUACACGACAUGGAAUGUACCUAUUGGAGUGUACACGCACAUGUGUAAAGAAGUGAUAAACCAUUGGAGUUUACCUAGUGAUCAAGAGAAUACUCUUAGAAUCUUUUUUCACUGUCAAGUUCAAGAUACAAAUUUCAUAUUUGGUAGUUGGAGGUAGAAAGUAUGUAAAGAAGUGAUAUAUUUUGAUAAUAGGUACUAUGGAUUUUGAUUGCGAGUUAUUCAAGAAAAAACUUUUAGAAUAUUUCCUAGGCACGUUUCUCAUUUCCCUGUUUACAUUGUAUAGAUUACAUCACUAAAAUGUAUUUUUCUGCAAAUUCUCCCAUCCAAAUAGAUCCAGUUCUUGAUUUUUUCAAAACUAAACAAAAAUUUGUAUUGCUCAGAAUCGAUGAUGGAAGAAGCUUGAGCAAUAGAAGAACAAGUGGAGAAUGGAAACAAGGGUAGAAAUGAAAGUUUGAACAUCAUGGAAUGGUCAAAGACUCAAAGCUGUCGUGGCUUAAAUUUGAAGUCCCGGGAGGGGGAGGAGAAUUUGAAGUUCAUGAAUUGAGAUCUUGAUUUCAAAUCUCUCUAAUUUUUCCCGCUUUUACGGCCCCACAAAUUUUCCCUGCUGAAGAAAAAAAGAGAGGGGAUUAGUGUUUGUAAGCCUAAACAUUUAUUAUGCUUGUCUUCAAGCACUUUGAUACAUAUGAACAUCGUACUCAACGAUUGCCAUCGAAGAUUCCCCUCAGCCAAUAAGUACAGAAAUGAGUGAUCAUCUUUUUCUGCGUUUUAGGUGCCUUUCUAUUCCCAUUUCCCACUGAGCCGAUAAGAAUAGAAAUGAGUGAUCAUCUUUUUCUGAGCUUUAGUUGCCUUUUUAUUUCCUUUUGCCACGAUAGUUGGGACCUCUUGGCUACUACUUUACAAAUUGAAAAGGAACCUUGUGAAGGAAAAAAACAGAAAAGGAACCAUGUGAAGCCUCAGUCGUUUCUGCUAUUACUCUUUUUCUGGCACGAUAUUUAUUCUUUUGGUCGAGAACGUAGUAAUAGAUACUGUUCAAUUAUUUCUCAACAUAAAGGGAUAAUUUUAGAAAUCUCCUCUAAGGUUUCUAACAAUUUUAUUUAGCAUCCACAAAUUUUAAAAAAUUUCCCUUGUCUCUCUUACUUGAAGUUUUUUUGUAUCAUUUACGACCAUUUUAAAAUAUACUAUUAAAAAUUUAUUUUGGGGGGAGAGAAUACAAUUUCAUUCCAAACUUGCCCAUUUUCUUGUGAUUUCUUGAUUGUCAAAAUACAACAAAUUUUUCUCUUAAUUUUUGUAAAUUGAUCGAUAAAAUUUUAAACAGAAGCUCUACAUCUGCAACAUCCACAGCUUUGUUCACAACAUGGUGUCCUGCAAUUCAGCAUUGGGAUUACAAGGGACAAGCACGAACCAUGGGUAGGCAUUGGAAUCUGUCUAAUAGGAGGAGCUCAGGGAACACACACAGGCUGGGCAAUGCGUGAAACCAGUUCAGGAUCUUUCUUGCUGGAUGAAGCAUUAGCUCUAAAAUUGGCAAUGUGUAAAGUUGCUGAAAUGCAACACAGAGUGGUCCAAUUCCAAGUGCAGAAUCAGCAGCUCCUCAACCUUAUUCAAUCCAAACAAGCGCGGGAUAUCAGAUUAGCAACUGUGGUGGAGGAUAUUAUUCAACUUAGACUUUUGUUUCAUAUGUGCUCCUUUUGUCUAGUUCAAAAUGAUAACUAUCAUCUAAGCUCCAAGCUUAGUACUUAUGUUUUAGGCAUUACUUUUGAUGAGGAACUUUUGUUUCCUUAGUGGUUAAAUGACCGCUUGUAUAGUUUCAUCGAGCAUUUGUUCGUACUUGUACAUCUUUUGAAAAGGAAUACAACCAUAUAUCGUUUUGGAAAAAAAAAUCGAUAAAAUUUUAAAAAUUGGUAACAAGAUCGAUAAACUCUUUAAUAGUUUUUGUGUCAUUGUUUUGAACAAGAAAUGUUAAAUUACUUAAACUUAUGAAUAAUUUAGAAUACUCUAAAAAAUAACUUGCACUAAUUUACAAUCAAAAUAUUACAACCAUAAUAAUACCUUUUUGUACUAGCUUAAAAAUAAUACAAACAAAUUUAUAUAUAAUUUUUAGCAUGUUGUAUGUUUUACUUUUUAAACCAUCGAUUUAGACAAAAAAAUUAGAAAAUUGAAAAAAAAAUGUAAAUGAUUUAUAAAACGUCUUAAAUUUACUUAAAGCACUUUACAGUAAAAAAAACACUAUAUUCUGUCCAAUAAGAAUAAGUCUUCAUACUUUUUGUUUUUAUUUGUCAUUAAUAUACUCAAGUUUUUGUAAUAAAAAAUAAGAUAAUAAAAGGGCAAAUUUGGAACGAGAUUAUAUUUACUCUCUCAAAAUGGAUUUUUUAAUAUUAUAUUUUUCAAAUGGGUUGUAAAUGAUACAAAAAAAUUUUAAGUAAGAGAGGCAAGUGAGAUUUUUUAAAAUUCAAAGGUGCUAAGUGAAACUGUCAAGGUUUCUGAAAUUAUCCCCACUAUUAAUAAGGAAUACUUGGUACUGCAAAAGAAGCAAUUAAGUAUGUCGUUUAUGCAAUUAACCUACAGUAGUUUUCUUUUUCUUUUAUUCUUGUGCCCUGAAUUUUCUUUUUUAUAAUCAACAGAGAUAUCCACAUUUUCUUGAAAACCUUGAAGCCAUUUCAAUACAUAUGGUGGAUGACAAAGGAUCCACCAAUUGGUUCAGUGAUACAAUAUUAUGUACAUACAGUUAUAACACAGAUACAAUUGGUUCGGAUUAACUCUACUUUGCACUUUUAAAUUUAUAUCACUUUCUCACUUUGCACCAUGAACUUUAAUUUUGGACACUUUACACCUUAAACUCCUAAUUUCAAUCACUUUGUACCCUAUAUUCUUAAAUUUAUUCCAUUUAAUUUCAAUCAAUUAUUAUAUUCAUAAAAUUAAUGAGAUAGAGGGAGGUGAUUUUGUAGAUCGACGGGUCUGGAAUGUGGGCAUGCUCCAUCAAUUCUUAGAUGGAGAACUGGUUAGGCAGGUUCUGGAGCUUGAUCCUCCUUCAGGUAGGGGCAAUGACAGAAUGGUGUGGACAUUAACGAACUCGGGUGUUUUUUCCACUGCAUCGGCUUACUCAUUGAUCAGUCAUUCCAAUGACACCUCUUGGCUUUUUGCCCGUAUAUGGCAGCAAGGCCUUCCAGUCAAGAUCUCUUUUUUUAUGUUACGACUACUACAGGGGAGGCUCCCUCUUAUGGAUCGACUAAAGAGGUUUGGGGUCUAUGGCCCAUCUAAAUGCUUCUGUUGUCAGAACCCUCAGGAAGAGGCCUUGAAUCAUGUAUUUUGCUCAGGAGAAGGGGCACGAUCGGUCUGGCGUCACUUCGAGAGUACUGCUGGUGAAUUUAGUGGGGUGCAUACAACACGUCACAUGGUGUGGUCUUGUUGGGUAAGGAGGGGAACUAAUGACCGUGUAAAAUUUUUACAAAAUAUACUUCCUUCGGUAGUAUGCUGGGUUUUGUGGAAAAUAAGGAAUGAAGGGGUGUUUGAAGAUCGGAAGAUGAGGAUAAGGGAUACGGUGACUCGGAUUGUUCAGCUUCUUCAUGAUUUUCUUCAAUCACGGUUCCCGGGGGUGCAGUGUUCUGCUCCUACAUGGGAAGGGUUACUUCUCGAGUUGGGUAGUCAUCAAAGGCGGAUGAUUAUUAAGCCAGUUUAUUGGGUAACUCCGUGUGGAGGUUAUAAGUUGAACUCAGAUGGAUGCUCUCGGGGAAACCCAGGAAGGAGUGGGGGGGGUGGACUUGUGCGAGACAGUCGAGGAAAUUUUGUAUUUGGAUACGCGGAGCCCUUCGGAGUGAUAACUAGCAUGCAAGCAGAACUUCGAGCGUUGUUAUGGGGAGUUAGACAUUGUGUGAUUCGAGGGUACUUGGAGUUACACUUAGAGGCAGAUUCUUUCACCCUGGUUCAGAUUGUUCAAGGGACUAGUGCGUGUCCUUGGCGUCUACAGAGAGAUCUGGAUGAGUUGAUGAUAUUCAAGCAGUCUUUCCAAUCCAUCACACACUGCUACAGAGAAGCAAACACACCGGCAGAUCAUCUGGCAAAUUUUGGUGCUGAUGCUUGCGCAGGUCAUGUGUUUAAUACAUUUUCAGAUUUACCACUAUUGGUCAGGGGGGCUAUUAGAUUAGAUCGAUUGGGACUUCCUACGUUUCGUACACGGUGUCUGGCAUGAAUGGGAAUAAGAAGCAAAAAAGACCAAUGCAGGUGAAAGUGACAAGAUUAACCGCUGAGCUUCAAGGAUCAACAUUCAGAUUCACUGGAAGACAUCCUAAUAUGGACAACGGAAGAUUUAAUCUUAGUAUCAGAUUUUCAGUGCUUAAUCCUUCGCUAUAUUGUAUAUUUAUUGUCAAAUUGUGGUUUGAUGGCAGGGAGUUUCGUCCUUUUAUAAGGGGAAAUUCUGCCGAAAUUUUUAUAAAAUAAUAAAAUUUUAUGAAAAAAAAAAAAGAGAUAGAGGGAGGUAAAAAUUAAUAUAAAUGUACUUUUGUUAUAACAGUGAUUCCUUAAUUUUUUUAAUCAUUGUUAGCACGUUAUCAUUGAUUUAUAUGGUCUUAAUUGUUAGCAAAAUUAAGGAGAUGAAAGAUGGUGCAAAUUAAUGACAAUAUAUUGUUUUAUUUUUGCUAUGAUACUUUGAUACCUUUUAAUUACUUUCAGCAUAUUAUCAUUGAUUUGUUGAGUUCUCUAUGUCAUUAAUUUUGCAAAAGUUGUCAAAUGGGACAAACUUGAGAGUUUAGGGUGUAAAAUUAUCCAAAUUAAGAGUUUAUGACACAAAGUGUCCAAAAUUGAUUCAGAGUGUAAAGUGAAAGAUUGAUACAAGUUUGGAGGUGCAAAGUGGAGUUUGCCCCAAUUGGUUCAGUACAGCCAAAUGUAUCUACGGUCUAGUACAAAUUAUCUCACGUAUCUAUACUUCCUUCACUACUUUCAACCAAAGCAUGUAAAUUGUUUCCUCAAUUAAUUGAAGUUGAUCAGCUUCACUAGCACCAAAUAAAGUGAGUGUAAAUUUUAUACACACUAACAAAGUGGCAACAACCAAAUAUAUCUACAAUCUGGUUAUCUCACAUAUCUAUACUUCCUUCACUACUUUCAACGAAAGCAUGUAAAUUGUUUUCUCAAUUAAUUGAAGUUGAUCCAAAUUAAGUAAAUGUAAAUCUUAUACACACUGAUAAAAUAACAGUGUAUGUACCAUCACAGUUAGACAUAUAAUACAUAUACAAAAUUUAUAUUUUAAAUUAAAAUUUAGAUUACUUACUAUAUAUCCAAUUGUAAUAAUUUAUAUGUUAUCAGUGUAUAGAGCAUUAAUUCAUUAAUUAUUAUUUAUCAGUAACAUGAUAUAUAUAUACUGAUCUUUCUCUCCCGAGUCAGACACCAUAGCAGAUUGACCAUGAGCAGGAUAUUCAAAUUGGGCAGCUUAAUAAGAAACCCUAAGCCACAUUCCAUCCUCCGUUUGAAAAGUCCAACCCAAUCUAGCUACUUAUGUGUAAACUUGUAAACAUUUCAUCGUCCGUUUGAAAAAGUCGAACCCAAUCUAGCUACUUAUGUGUAAACUUGUACGAAUCUGCCGAGCUAUACUCAAAAACCCAUUAUUCAUUUUCAAAUCCGCUGAUAGCAUGCUGGAACACAAGUACGUAAGGGGAUCAUAUUCUGGUAUUGUAGUUUAUCAUGAUUUUCUUCAGGAAAAGACUUAAACCCACCUGCAAAGACUUAAACCCCACCUGCACUAGGGUACAACAAACAAAGGUGAGUUGGAUAUACUUCCGUAUGACUGCAGAACUCAUUUCCACAAUGCGAUUUUGAUGCAGCAAUAAGAAAUUAUAUCAAACUUGAAAUCAGUCAUCCUUUGGGGUUCUAUAAAUACCAUCCUCCCUGUCAGUUAUGGACACAUUCCUGCCUAGCUACUUUUAGUUUCAGCCAACUAUAUAUUCAUUCCUAGCUCAACUGAAAUUAAACUUUCCAUGGCAUACCAGAGCGCCUACAAUAUGAAUUACCAGAUACUACUAUGCUUGGUACUCUUCUCCCUAGGCCUUCUCCUACCACUGCCAUCCCAUUCUGCUGAUCCAAGCCCAUUGCAAGAUUUCUGCGUUGCAGAUCUUGAUUCCUCUUUAUACAUUAAUGGCUUUCCGUGCAAAAACCCUGAUAAUGUAUCUUCACAAGACUUCUUCGCCAAUGGGUUCCAACAAAGUCCAGGAGAAUUCAAUAUUUUUGACGUCAAUGUCACUCGUCAAGAUGUUCAUCGAUUUCCAGGACUCAACACUCUAGGGAUGUCAAUGAACCGAGUGGUUUUGAAGCCUGGAGGGCUGAAUGAACCCCACGUCCACCCUCGUGCAUCCGAGCUGGCUCUAGUCAUGGAUGGAAAACUGUUUGUAGGCUGGGUGACAACCGGAAACGUUUUCUACUGGAAAAUUUUGACUUCAGGAGAGUUGUUUGUGAUUCCGCCUGGGCUAGUGCACUUCCAACUUAAUAUUGGACACGAGAACGCCCGCUUCUUUGCCUCGUUCAACAGUCAAAAUCCAGGGAUUCAGUUCGCCCCCCUUGCUCUUUUUAACUCCAC